AAAGGACUAAUCACCUUAGGAUUUUUUAUAACCCUAAAUUAAUCCUUCAUCUAUAUUUUCUUGAUGGAUCACUAUUAGAGUGCUACAAACACCAAGUAACUUACAUUUGAUCCGUGCAAUUGAAGGAGCGUCAAGUGAUAUAAAGAAUUGGAACUUGAAAGACCAAAUUAAAAGUUUAUUUGUUUUUAUCCGGAUAAUUUUAAACCUUACUCAAUUAAUAAUAUCGUAUAAAGAUGAUUCUUGAAAUUAUAAAAAAAAUUAAAUACAAUUUAUAACAUACUUCCGCGUGCGUAUAAUUAUAUUUUAUGCACUAACAAUGCAAAAUAUAUAAAGAUGACUAUAAAUAUGUGCUCAAAAUAAUAGUUGCAUUUUUAAUCAUAUAAACAAAUAUAGCCUUAACAUUUAAAUCAUUAUUCCAAUAACUAUCUAUAGCUUUACGCAUCCAGUCCAACUUAUGGCGAACAUUAUACAUAAUUAUCAUCCGUGCCAAAUUAUCAUAUAAUCUACAUAUAUAUACCCAUGCAAAUUCAUUAAAUAGAUUAUAUGAUAUUAAUUACGACAUAUAAUUCGGCCAACAAAAACACAUAAACCAAACUGCGAAGCAGUAAUAGAUUCUCAAAAUCAUAUACGCUGGACAUAUAUAAAUUGACUUAAUAUAUGAAUUUACAAAUUAAUACAGCUACAAUCUGACAAUUUCAUUGUCAUGAAUGGGCCAGAAAGCUUGUUGUUUAAUUUGGUUAUUUUGCUUUUGUUAGCCAAAAAGUAUGCAUGUAAAUUACUAAGCCAAAUUGCUAGACAUCAUCACGUGAUUACAUUAACCAAAUCGAUACACAUGGACGGAUUACAUGAAUUCAUAUCAUAACAAUCAAAGUGACUUUUUGAUUGGUAAUGCCAAAUUUCAAACAGCAGUACGGUGGAAGUUAAACAGUAAUGUCAUGAUGGGUUCGGCAAAAUUAUUUAACGUCCGUACGUUUAAGCGAUAUAAUCGUAUCAUAGGAGAAAUAAAUUAAUUGGAUCCCUCCGCAGAGUCGGUCUUGGGUUUUCUAAGGCUCAGAGCAAAUUUUUUCAAGUGUGUCUUUUUAUAUAAAUUAAAUAAAAAUAAAAAAAUUAUCAACUAAUUAUUUUUUAUUAAAAUUAUAAAAAAUUACAAAAGAUAAGGAAGAACACUUUAAAAUGUCAUCGAAACAAAGAAUUAUCACAUGUACCUACAAAAUAAAAAUAUCAAUGAAAUCGGUAAAACUAAUGAAAUACACAUUGUAGUUGGCAAGUUUUACUGAUUACACAAUUGAACUUUUAAUUUUUUUAAAUUACCACACUAAACUAAUUAUUAUUUUAAAAUUGAGUUAUUCCGUUAAAAAAAAUAAACGGACGUUAAUUUUUUAUCUACAAAACUAAUGAAUUACCCACUGUAGUUGGCACGUAUUACUGAUUACACUAUUGAACUUUUAAUUUUUCAGAUUAUCCCAUUAAACUAAUUAAAAAAUGAUUAUUUUAAAUAUUUUUAAAAAUAAUUAUUAUUUUCAGUAAAAAAUAUUAGAAACUUUAAUUUUUUUUUCCAUAAAAUGAGUAAAGUUUCAUAAAAUAUAGAUUUAAAAAAAUUAAAGUUUUAUGAAACCUUAUUGAUUUUUAAAUUAUUUUUUUCCUUUUGAAAAUAAAGUUUAUUUUUUUGAAUCUAUAUUUUAUAAAAUUUUACUCAUUUUUUUAAAAUAUGAAGAAUUUUCUAAUUUUUUUCUUAAAAAUAAUAUUUAUUUAUAAAAAUUAUUAAUUUCUUUUUUGAAAAACUUGAAUUAGUUUUUCUAUUUAUCUUUUACUGUUUUUUUAUUUUAAUUUUAAUUUUUAGUUUUUUUAAAAAAAUCUAAUAUUAAGAAUGGGUCAUUCUGUUAAAAAAUUAAGUAGACAUUAAUUUAAUUUAAAAUCACUUUAAUUUUUUUGAAUCUAUAUUUUAUAAAACUCUACUCAUUUUAUGAAGAAAAAAAAAUUCUAAUAUUUUUUACUUAAAAUAAUAAUUAUUUUUAAAAAUAUUUAAAAUAAUUAUUUUUAAUUAGUUUGAUGGGGUAAUUUGAAAAAUUAAAAGUUCAAUGGUAUAAUUAGUAAAAUGUGCCAACUACAGUGGGGUAAUUCAUUAGUUUUGUAGAUAAAAAAUAAACGUCCGUUUAUUUUUUUUAACGGAAUGACCCAAUUUUAAAAUAAUAAUUAAUUUAGUGGUGUAAUUUAAAAAAUUAAAAGUUCAAUGGUGUAAUUAGUAAAACCUACCAACUACAGUGAGUAUUUCUUUAGUUUUGCCCAAUAAAAUUUAAACCACAAAACAUCAUUUAAAAUAUUUUCUUGUUAUACUUUUAGAUGCAAAAUCAUCAAUUAUACUAUCAUAUUUAAUGUUUUCUAACAUAUCAUUUUUAAUGUAUAAUAUCGCUAAUCUUUUUAUUAUUUUAUUUUUUCUAUACACAUAAAUAUAUAGCUUAUAAAAAAAUAAAAAAAUAUGGGCCCCUCAACUGUGGGCCCUGGGCGGUUGCCCUGUUGGCCCUUGCCCAGGGCCGGCUCUGUCCCUCAAUAAAUUAUUUUUAUAUAUAAAAAAAUUAACUUUAUUUGGUGAAGUUCUGAUACUAAUUAUAAUUAUUAAUUUGUAAUAAUUCAUUUUAUCCGUAUACAUAAAUAGGAGAAGAACACGUAGAAUUAGACCUGACAAUUUAAUUUAUAAACUGAUGAGUCAACUUAUAUUAAUUAUAAUUAUUUGGCUUGGUUAAUUAUUUUAAAUUCUAUGAUUUGAUUUAAAUUUGAACCUAUAUUUAAAAAAUAAAAAAAAAACAGACCCAAACUAAUUAACUAAUUUUGACCUUUUUUUUUUUCCAUUAUCUUGACCUACUUGAUUUCUUCGUAUGUAAAGGUAUUCCAGAAUUCGCAAGGUAUUGGAAUAUGUAAAUAAAUGAGGUUCAAGGGAUGUGAAUUCAAAUAUGUCUGUCAUGCAAUAUACUGAAUCGUCUUGUUUUGAUUUCUUUUCUUUUCAUGUACAGUCUGUGUCUAUCAAGGUGGUUAUUGCUACUUUGAUUGAACGGAAUUAUACUUAUUUUAUGUUUAAUUAAAAAAAAUUGUUAAUUUAAAAAUAAUAAUAUAAUAAUAAAAUUAUUAUGGCAUUAUGUCAUUAUAUACUAGGAUCAAUAAAAAUAUUACUUUUCUCAUUCCAAAAUUAGAUAUAUAUUUUGAUUUUUUCGAGUUAAUUCGCGAAAUUUUAAAAUUCAAAAUUGAUAUGAAUUUACUUAGUUUUAAUACAAAUAAAUAUAACAAUUGUAAAUUAAUUAUAAAGUACUAUUAAUUAUCAUCUUUGUUGUUUUUAAAACUUAAACGAAAUUAUAUAUCAAUUUGGAGUUUUCGGAUUUUCCUAAUUGAUUUAAAAAAGUCAAAAUGUAUUUUUGAUUUUGGAACGAAGACAAUACUUUUUUUUCUAAAAAAAAUACAAAUUAGACUCUUUUUAAGAGUACAAGGUUGAAUGCAACUAUAAAAAUACUUAUACAAAAUAUUUGGUAAUUAAAAAAAAGACAAAAAAAGAAAAUGUUAUUUUGUGAUGAAUGGACUUUUCUAAAUAAAUGUGCUUUCUAAGUGUUGGGUCCUGACCUACUGGACCGAAUGGAUUGAGCCACUUAUUUGGUUAUUCUCUUGGGUCAUUAUUAUUGGGCCUUGUUAUUAGACUAAUUCAUUGGAUUAUCUUGAUUAGAUCUUACAAAGUCUUGGGUCGAAUUAUUGAACCGGCCCAUUAGAUAAUUUAAAUAUCUACAUCUUUGACUUGUAAUGAUGGAAAAAGAUAACGGUUGACCGAGAUCUCUGCCAUGCAUUAAUGUGGAUGAGAUUAUAGUCGGCCGGCGGUGGUGACCAGUGACAGUAUGUAGUGGGUGAGCUGCAUGCAGUCGGAUGAGACCGUCAGAGUCAGUGGAUAGACGUCAGAUAGCAGUAAAAGGCACGGUUAACCGGGCAGGAGAGUAUAACAUAGCAAAGAAGUCAUCCAAGUAAAGGUAACUGAUAAUUUUAUCUUUCUCAAUACACUAGAUAUUUUAUCCUCCAUUGUUAACCUUGUGAUCGCCUGUACUGACUCUCACGCCUGAGCUAUCCCCCGACGGUCGAAGCCGUCAAGCUUUUGGUAUUGAUCGUGUUUAUUGUGCAUGAUCAGGACGUCUUACGUGAUAGGGACGUGGCAGAAGAUCUUGGCGUUAACAUUGGCGCUAAAAGGAGGGGUGUGUUCUAGUGUUAUUGAGAUUUCAAUCACAAGUUCCCAUUUGUUCUACUUCGGAAGAUGGUGAGAAGUAGAGAUAAUACACCGGAGGGACAGCCGGAGGCUGUAAGUUCAUCCUUGCCUCGUGUUUCAGUUAAGAAUCGUCUGGGUCCUUCCAAAAGUGCUCAUGAGAGUACGGCUUCCAAGCAUGAUUCAGGGGGUUCUCGUUCGAGAGCCCAUGGUGAAGCCCGAAGAAGAUUGAACUUUGCUGCUGAUAAGGAGCGUGACCAUGGCCGAAAGCGGGUAGAAGGUUCACCGCCUAGGACACAUCAUCGAAGUGGUCGAGAUGAUAAAGCUGCCAAGUUGGCAAGGAUGGUAGAAGAAGCGGAUAAAGCUUUGGAUGUUCUUCUAAAGCAAAGAGAAGAUAUAGCCGAACAGAUGCUUCGGAUUGCAGAGUUGAGGGACGAGGCGUCUAGUCAUGUUCAAUCCGAGAGGCGUAGUAGGCCUAAGGAUGUACAGCAGCGAGACAGAAAAGAGCCGGAACAUUCUAUUCGUGUCUCUCGAGGAUAACCUCAGGAGCGAAGGAGAUCAAGGAGCAGAACCCCUGAGGUGUCAAAGAAAGCGUUUCUGGUUAUCGAUUCUCAAGGUCGUGAUGGAGGCAGACAAAGGAGCCGGUCAAGAGAGCAUAUACCUGAGAAUAGAAAGAGAGAGCACCAGCAUGAAUAUUCUCAUCGUGAUGACAUGGCCACGCGCCGAAGUAGAUCCAAAAGUCCAUCAAAGGCAGUGGGGUCUGAUAGAGGAGGUCGGUCCACUCAGAAGAAGAAAAUAUCUCCAGAGAAGGAAGUCUCCUCGAAACCGGAAUGUGUGGAUUUCUUGGUGAAGGAGUUGAAGGAGCAGACCUCAACGAUCUUCAAGCUAUCGGGUUAUUUCAGAAUGGGUUAGAUUUGGUGAAAUUGGAGAAGUUGGUGAAGAAGUUGAUGUUUCACCAUCCGAAGAGCUUAGCCGAAGCCUUUGAUAAAGCCGAAGGCUAUAUUGUAGUGGAGGAGGCUAUGAAUAGCCUGAAACGUCCUUCUUCGGACCGCAUGAAGGAGAUAGAUACUUCUAAGGCUGAGGGCGAUUAGAAGAAGGUUGGAGGGAAUAAUGAUCGGCCAGAGGGCAGCUCAAAGAAGUACAACAACACAUGGCGACAGGGAAGUAUCGCCCACCUGUUCCUACCCAGAAGGUGAACAAGGUUUACACUAAACUGAACAUGGAUAGGUCGGUGAUAUUGGAUCAGAUCAGGAACCAGCCGUUCUUUGAACCACCUCGUGAUAAUUUUAAGCCAGGACAGGGCAAUGCUCGAUAAUUUUGUGGCUAUCAUCAAGCUACAAGUCACGAUACAAAUGAAUGCUGUAAUCUGAAGGACUUUGUGGAGAGGAAGAUUCAGAGCGGUAUGUUAGUUCAGUAUGUGGCCAGAAGGGAUCAUCAGCAGGAACAACAGAAUGCAGAUCGGACUGUUCAAGUGGUUCAACUGGUUCCACCCAUACAACCUACUCCAAAUCAGCCACCAAGGCACGUCGUUGAUGUAAUAACCGGUGGGACGGCAGGAAAGUUGGUAGGGAAGAAGAGGAGAGGAUAUCUGGACUCGGUCAUGUCCGUGGCGGGUGUUCUCCCGAAGGUUGAUAGACCGUUUCCAGGGACAGUUAUAACUUUUAUUGAUGCAGAUUAUCCUUCGGAGCCCAUCGAACCCCAUGAAGGAGCACUGGUGAUCAUGGCACAAGUGGGUUCGGUAGACAUGAAACGGAUGAUGAUAGACAACGGGUCUUCCGUGGAUAUUCUGUAUGCCCAUGCUUAUCAGAGGAUGCAUCUUGAUGGGCGAAAGAUGGAAGUGGGUCAGGAGGCUCCUUUAUAUGGCUUCAGCAAUGAUCCGGUUAAAGUGGCAGGAACUAUUGAGCUACCAGUCAUCUUCGGUACCGCUCUACAACAGGUAGAAAUAACUUGUAAAUUCUAUGUUGUGCAUGUAGAUUCGGCCUACAACGCCAUAUUGGGACGACCUACUUUGACAGCUCUGCAAGCUGUGACUUCCAUUCCUCAUUUUAAGAUCAAGUUCCCAACAACACAUGGAGUUGGGGAGGUAGCGGGAGACUUGGAUCUGGCCAGACGAUGCUAUCAGAACGCUAUGAUAGCUUCGGGAGUAGGUGUCAGCAAGCAGAAGUAGACCAUGGCGAUAGAAAUCGAGCCAUUUACCGAAAGCAGUUCGGAGCCAUUUGUUAUGCCUGUAGGAGAAACGGAGGAGAUCGAGCUGGUUCUUGGGAAGAAGGACAAAACAAUGAAGAUAGGUUCGGGUCUGCCGGAACCCCUUCGGACAAACCUUAUGGAACUUCUUCGCUGUUAUGUGGAUAUUUUUGCAUGAGAGCCUCAGGACAUGUCGGGAGUCAGCCAAAAGAUUGCUGAGCACCGGUUGGACGUAGAUCCUUCAAAGAAGCCAAUUCAGCAGAAAAGGCGUAUUUUUGCACCUGAGCGUCAGAGGAUCAUUGAUGAAGAGAUUGCAAAGCUGAUAGCUGCUGACUUCAUCUUUGAAAUAGAUUACCCGAAGUGGAUGGCCAAUGUGGUGCUGGUGCAGAAGCAGAAUGGAAAGUGGCGAGUAUACAUCGACUACACAGACCUGAACAAAGCUUGCCCGAAGGACUUCUAUCCUCUACCUCACAUUGAUUAACUUAUCGAUGCGACUUCGGGGUAUGCACUACUAAGAUUUAUGGAUGCUUUUUCAGGUUAUCAUCAAAUUUCUAUGUGCAAAGAGGAUAUUCUGAAGACAACUUUCAUCAUGCAUCGUUCGAUGUACGCUUACAAGAAAAUGACAUUUGGCUUAAUCAAUGCUGGAGCCACUUAUCAAAGAAUAAUGACUUUGUCUUUCAAAAGCAGCUAGGAAGGAAUAUGGAGGUAUAUGUGGAUGACAUGAUAGUGAAAAGCAUGAUCGUUCAGAAGCACUUGGAUGAUCUUGAGGAAUGCUUUCAGACGGUUCGUCAUCACAAAUUAAGGCUUAAUCCCACCAAAUGCACUUUCAAACUCGGUGCAGGGAAAUUCUUAGGUUAUCUGGUCAGUCAGAGAGGCAUUGAGGCCAAUCCAGAGAAGAUCCAGGCUAUUCUGAACAUGAAGACUCCUCAGUCAUUCAAAGAUAUUCAGCGUCUGACAGGGAGGAUUGCAUCUUUGAGGAGGUUCAUGUCCAAGUCAGCAGAGAGGUGUUUGCCGUUCUUUAGCACGUUGAAAGGAUCGAAGAAUGCCAAGACGUUCCAAUGGAAUUCAGAAUAUGAAGAUGCUUUCCAAGGCAUAAAGACGCAUUUGUCUUCGGCACCUUUGCUGGUGAAGCCAGUUCCUGCUGAACCACUGUAUCUGUAUCUGGCAGCUAGUUCGUUGGCGGUGGGAGCAGUGCUGGUUCGAGAAGUUGGGGGGAAGUAGCAUCCAGUUUACUAUGUCAGUCAUGUUCUAAGGGAUGCUGAAACCAGGUACCCAAAUAUUGAAAAUUUUGCCUUUGCUUUGAUAAUAGCCAGUCGAAAGCUUAGGCAAUAUUUUCAAGGUCGAUUCUUGGUCGUUUACACGGAUCAACCGCUGAAGAAGGUGAUGAGCAAACCAGAAGUUUUGGGGAGAUUGGUUGCAUGGACAAUGAAAUUGUCCCAAUUUUUCAUCGAAUUUCAUCCCCGAACAGCUAUAAAGGGGAAAGCCUUGGCUGAUUUUAUGGUGGAGUGUUCAUUUUCCGAAGCUGAUGCAGAGUUGCCAAAGGCUGAAGUGUCCGACCGAGCAGUUGUAGUUCUUCAGCACAACCAGAGUUCGUGGACGCUGUAUGCAGAUGGAUCUUCAACUACGGAUGUCAGUGGAGCAGGGAUUAUCUUGACAAGUUCGGAGGGAUUCAAGGUGCAGCAGGCCAUCAGAUUUGGGUUCAGAGCAACGAACAACGAGGCAGAGUACGAAGCAGUGCUAGCGGGAGUUCGACUGGCGAAGAGUCUCGAAGUUCAGAAGUUGAUCAUCUAAAAUGACUCUCAGUUGGUCGUCAAGCUGGUUUCAGGGGAGUAUGAAGCUCGAGGUUCAAGGAUGAUCAAGUAUUUGGCCGAGUUGAAGGAUCGACUUCAAUAUUUUCUCUCCUAUGAGUUUCAGGGUGUAGAUCACAAUGACAAUUCUAUUUCCGAUGCAUUGUUGAAGUUGGAUACUACAGAUGCCAACAAUUUUGAUGGGUCAGUUUAUUUGGAGGUUCUGCAACAGCUGAGUAUUCAGCAUGAAGCCGUGAUGUGCAUUGAACGUUCUAACUGUUGGAUGACUCCCUAUAUAGAAUAUCUGGCAGAUGGCAUCCUUCCUUCGGAUCAGAUGCUAGCAAAGAAGAUCAAGUAUAAGAGCGCUAAUUUUGUUCUCAUUGAUGGAGAUCUUUAUCGAAGGGCUUUUUCAUCACCUUUGUUGAAGUGUCUAGUUCUAUCUGAAGCCGAAUAUGCUCUUCGAGAGGUUUACGAGGGCAUCUAUGGCGACCAUAUGGCUGCUAAGUCAUUAGCCUUCAAAGUACUUCGACAGGGAUUCUACUGGCCUACUAUCUUCAAGGAAGCUACAGAGUACGUGAAGAAGUAUGAAAAGUGUCAGCUCAAUAGCCCAAUCCCGCAUCAGCCACCAGAAGAGCUAUACUCGAUCUUAUCUCCUAUACCCUUUGCUGUCUGGGGGGGUAGAUAUACUGGGUCCAUUGUUGAAAGAUAAGGGUCGGGUCAGUUUUGUUAUAGUCGCUAUUAAUUAUAUGACCAAAUGGGUAGAAGCGAAGCCACUUAGGUUGAUAACGGAACAAGAGUGCUUGAAGUUCAUGGAGGAGUCAGUAGUGUUUCAUUUCGGAAUUCCUAAGGUGGUGAUAUCGGACAACGGAUGCCAAUUUGUGGGAUCGAAGUUUGAAGGAUUUCUGAAGGAGUUGGGAAUUCAACAUAGAAAGACUUCGGUGGCUCAUCCACAGUCGAACGGGCAGGUCGAGGUGACCAACAGAACGCUGCUGAAUGGGAUCAAGCGCAGACUGGAUGAAGCUAAGGGGAGAUGGCCUGAAGAGCUUCUCAGCGUGUUGUGGGCUUAUCGAACUACUCCGAGGACCACUACAGGGGAUUCACCUUUCAGACUGGCCUAUGGUACUGAUGCCUUAGUCCCAGUUGAAAUUGGAUCUCCAAGUCUUCGGGUUAGUUAGUUCAAGGAGAUCUACAAUGAUGAAGGACUGAAAGUCAACAUGGAUCUGUUGGAAGAAGUCAGAGAGACAGCUUUGAUCAGAUUGGUAACCUAUCAGCGAAGAGUGGCUAAACAUUACAAUAAGGGGGUAAAACUUCAUAGAUUUGAAGUGGGAGAUUUUGUCCUCGGGGAAGUCGAAGCUUCUACACCUCAGAACUUGGAAAAGCUGAUGCCGAACUGGGAAGGACCGUAUGAAGUAGUUGAAGUUCCGAAGCCAGGAACUUAUCGGUUAAGGGCAUUGGACGGAUCCGAGAUCAAGAACACUUGGCAUGCUGGUAGAGUUCAGAAGUAUUUUCAGUAAAGAUCGAGUCAGUAUCCCGGAAGUCUGUAAAUGUUGGAUCAUCAUCAAUAAAAUAUUCACUUUUUCACAAUUGAUCUUCUUCCUAUUGGUUCUAAAUUCACAAUGGUGUAAAGAGGACGGGGUGGACUCGCUGACCAUUCGAUGGUAGCCUUUUUGGCAGGUGUUCCUUAUAAAUUUGUCAGGCCCUUCGUGGUAGGCAAACUUCAUCGGUGUAAGAAGGACGAGGUGGACUCGCUGACGAUUCGAUGGUAGCCUUAUCGGCAAGAGUGUUCUCAUGGGUUUGUUAUACCCUACGUGGUAGACAAAUUCCAUAGUCCUUUUAUGAUUUGUUUUACACCCCGAGUGGUAAACAAAUGCACCGAAGUAAGGAGGUUCGGUUGGACUCGCUGACCAUUCGAUGGUAGCCCUAUUGUUAGGUGUGUCCUAUUGAAUUUGUUCUACCCCGAGUGGUAAAUAGAUGUCCUUAUAUACUUGUUUCACCCCGAGUGAUAAACAAGAUCCUGAUGGUGCAAGGAGGAUCAGCCGAAUUCACCUUAUGCCUAAUCUGUCUCACACUUCGGUAACGAUAAGUAUGCAUUAUUUUAUUUUGUUCAAGUGUUGAGUUCGGUUCAUUAUGUCCGGUAUAUGAUAUUCUUUAACUUAAUUGAUUAUAUGAUCUGUUUGCUUACCUGGUUCACAAAUUUAAGUUAAGUUCAAACGCAUCUUAUACAGUUUUGAAGUUGAUUGAUGCUGAAUUAUUGACAAGAAAUGAACUAUACUGAAGUCAUAAGGAGUAAAGUUAACUAUUCAUUAAUACUUAACCGAUUACAUCAAAAAGGAUGAAAAUUCUUUACAAGAUAAACUUAAAUCUAGGAAGAAGUGAUAAACUAUUUCAGGCAUCAUCCUCGCCUUCAGAAGAGUACAGAAGAGCUGGGUCUAGAUGGGCUACAAUCAACUUUUCCUUGCCCCGACCUCUGCAAACUUCAUAACCCUCAGAAUAUACCUUUAGAACUUCUGCAUUCAGCUCAUCGGACUUCCGAUAUUCUUCUUGGAUUUGUUUACGCAGUUCUUCGGUCAGAGGAGGGCUUAACUCCUCUAAUGCCUUUAGUUUAUCUUGAAGCUUGCGACGUCUGGCCAAGUGUCUUUCUUUAUCAUCUCGAGCCUUCUCCUGGAGUUCAUCAACUCGUUUGGCCAAACUCAGAUUGGUUGUAGCCAUUUUUUCAUUUUUUGUCUUCAGAACCUCGUUCUUUUCAACAAGAUUGAUGUUCAUAUUGGUCAGAUCUUGUUGGCUGGCCUUAGUUGUCUUCAGCUCUUCUGUGAACGAGUUCAGUUCUUCCUUGGACGAUUUAAGCUCUUCCUUGGUCUGAGUUAAAUCCUUUUGAAGGCAUUCAUUGUUGAAGAGAGAAAUAUCACAGUCAUGUCUUGCCUUCGCCAUCGCAGACUGUAAUAUUACAUUCUCUUUUCUAGCCGCUUCUUCUGCGGCUUCGGAUUCAAGAUGUUUAGGGCGUAAACGCCCAAAAAUAGCAUUGGCCUGUACAUGUUCAGAAUUAUUUAAUCAAUCUCAGAUAUCUAACCUAAGCAUGAAAAGGAGUAUGAAGAUUGGGGAAGAUCUUUACCUGCGCUAUAUAGCUCAUGCCUUCAUCAAGUAGAUCCCCGAUCGAGCUGUUGCCAAAUCGAUGAUCGUCGGUUUCCCGAACAAACGAAUUGAAGAGCUGGAAGGGAAAGUUGGCAUUAAAUCGGGGCCAUAGAGUUGGCGAUGCCAUUGCUUCAUUUUGGAACUCGUAGGAUGAAGGUCCUAGGGGAGUGGGUAUGGGUUGAUCACGAGGUGGUGAUGGAUCCAUAUAUACAUUCUCAGGAGAUGGAGAUCGAAUUGGAGUAGGUUCUCGAGGUGGUGAUGGAGCAGACGUUGAAUUUGGGUGACUAUCUGAGGGAUGUUUUCUCUUUCGAGACAAUGCUGGAACAGGUUCGACUUGCUCUUCAUCAUCAGAGACAUGUAUCUCCACAAGGACUACAGGAGUUGGAUUAGCUGAAGAUGAAGGCACUCGAAGUUCAUCGGUUGUCAGAGGGGUGACUUUGGUUCUUAAUUUUUUGACUCGAAGGAGUCGUUUCCGAUCGUCUACGGGUAGAUCGAGUAAACUCCCUCGGCCAGAGGUUGGAUUGGUAGUUGGUGCAGGUUCUGGGAUAGUUUCAAUUUCUGGGAUUGUUUCAGGUUCUAUUGGUGUUGGUUUGGAUCUAGGUUUUCGGAUACCUCUCUUUUUUCGGUGUGGUUGAAGGGAUUCUUCUAGGGGAAUGAGGUCAUCGGCUUCUGGCUCAUUUAUUUGAGGUUCAGAAGUAUGUGUUUCAAGGGUUGGAUUGUCUUCGGGUGCAGCUUCUAUCAGGGGAGUUUCAGCAGCUUCCGAAGAUUUUCCAGACAGAAAAUCUUUCAAGUCUUUCACAUCCGAGGAUGUUUGCUUAAUCAAAGACACUGCAAAAGUCAAAAAGUCAUAUGUCAGAAUCUACAUCACUUCAAAUUUCAAAUAAUUGCACAACAAAAUAAUUCAGAACUUACAUUUGUGUUCAUCCAACCAGGCUUGCUUAGUAAGAAGCAGGUAAUUCCAUUCCUUUGACGGGAAGUUCUCGAACAGUUCUAUCAUUUCACUCACAUGUUCCUCUGGGAUGUCACCAAAGUCGGCAGAAACUACGUCAUCAGUGGCCCAGUUCGGCAAGGAGGCAAUCUCUGGUCCCUUAAUGAAGAACCACCCUUUGUGUCAUCCUUUGUUGCUAGAUGGGGUGGAGACCAACGAGCGUCUGCCAAAUUUCUCUCCUAACUUCGGAGAUUGUUUACCCAUGACCUUAAACCCCUUUUCUCGGGAUUGGCUGACCUUGUAGAUAGUGAAGAAGAAAUCGAGAGUGGGCUCUACUCCAACUUCAUGACAGAAUGCGAUGAAGGCCAGAAUAUGGAUGUAGGAGUUCGGUACCAACUGGGCGAACCCAACGCCAAUAAACCCUAGGAGGGUUAUUAUGAAUACAUGAAGAGGGAAUCGAACCCCCUUCUCAAGGAUGGUCACAAGAAUGGUCGUCCAACCUUCUGGCCUUUGAUACAUUCUCUCGCCGGAUCUAGGGGCUCUUACCAUGUGGGUGUCCGGAAUAUGAUAUCGAGUUCGAAUCCUUUUCAGUUCAAUUUCAGUAACGGUUGAUGGAGUGUUAGCAUGAGCAUAGCGUUCUGUACUCCUAUAGAAUUCAGAGGGGGUAGGAGAGGUUUUUGGAGGUGGGUUCUUGCUUGGAUUUGCAGUUUUGGGGUUCGAACUCGAGGCUUCUUUGUUAGGGCUUGGGUUAGGCAGAACGGUGGUGAUUGGAGUCACAGAAGAGGUGAACCUUGCUCGAAAUCUUGAGAAGCCAUGGAUAUCGAGUUGCAGUAAGGAGAAGAGAGUUCGAAGGAGAAGACAAAGAACUCAAGGGUCAGAAAUUCAAAUUGACAGGUAAAACUAUCAAUUUAGGGGAAAUUAUCUUUUAUACUAACGGUUACACAGUACACGAGGGCAGCACAUUAAUUGACAGUCAUAAUCAUGAAUUUGGAGGGGUAGCGUCCAAGAGAAGUUUUGAUAUUUAACCGGUUUGGGUCUUUCAUUUGGGCUUUCGGUUUUAGUUCAUCUUCUUAUUUUAAUUCAUUUUCGUUUGGGCCUUAAUGAAUUUCGUUUUGGGGGUCUUUCAAUCCUAUUUGAUUCUUCAUAUCAUGGACCAUUUAUUUUUUUCUAUUAAACACCUUGUUUAAUAAAAAACUAGGGGGCAAUGUUGGGUCAUGAUAUUUCACCUACUGGGCCGAAUGGAUUGGGCCUACGUAUUUGGUUAUUCUCUUGGGUCAUUAUUAUUGGGCCUUGUUAUUAGACUAAUUCAUUGGAUUAUCUUGAUUGGGUCUUACAAAGUCUUGGGCCGAAUUAUUGAACCGACCCAUUAGAUAAUUUAAAUAUCUACAUCUUUGAGUUGCAAUGAUGGAAAAAGAUAACGGUUGGCCGAGAUCUCUGCCAUCCAUUAAUGUGGAUGGGAUUAUAGUCGGCCGACGGUGGUGAACAGUGAUAGUAUGUAGUGGGUGAGCUGCAUGCAGUCGGAUGAGACCGUUAGAUUCAGUGGAUAGACGUCAGAUAGCAGUAGAAGGCAUGGUUAACCGGGCAGGAGAGUAUAACAUAGCAAGGAAGUCAUCCAAGUAAAGGUAACUGAUAAUUUUAUCUUUCUCAAUACACUAGAUAUUUUAUCCUCCAUUGUUAGCCUUGUGAUCGCCUAUACUGACUCUUACGCCUGAGCUAUCCCCCGACGGUCGAAGCCGUCAAGAUUUUGGUGUUGAUCGUGUUUAUUGUGCAGGAUCAGGACGUCUUACGUUAUUGGGACAUAGCAGAAGAUCUUGGUAUUAACACUAAGUAUGUUUCGUACAUACGUUAAAACUAGUGCUAAGACACUUAUUCUCUUCUAUGAUAAUCAUGUGUUAGGUAUUUUUCUUUUCAUUGACGUUGAUGAAUUUCUGGUUUUGGAUUAAUUAAUUCUCAGGUUUAAUUGAUGCAUAAGUUUGAAAAAAGGUUAAUUUUGUCUAACAAAAACUUAAAAACAUCACAAGUAAUUAAAUUUUAGAGAGAGUGUGUGUAUAAAAGUUUUAGAGAGAGAAGUUAAAAGGAAGAUAUAAAAAAUAAAUUUAAAGUAAUUUAUUUAAUUGGACCAUAAUAAAUUAAUAAUGGUAAGCUUGAAAUUUGAAAUACGUGUUUACCUAUAUUUGACCCAUAACUAUAUAGUUUCAACCCACAUAAUUCAUAAUUAUAUAAUUCCAACCCACAUAAUCCAUAAUUAUAUAAUUUCAACCCACAUAAUUCAUAUUAAAAAUAAGUAAUAUGGUUUUAAUUCUUAAAUAGAAUCAUAACUAAAUUAUAUAAACCAAAAUUAACCCAUUACCAUACCUACGUAUAUAGAAAAUAAUAAUAUUGUGUAACUUAUUUGGAAUUCAUAAUGAGCUACCGCAACAGAAUUGAUCUUUCUGAAUGACCAAAUUACUACUCCCUUAAUGCCUUAAAUGUUGGCUUGAUGAGAAACCUUCAAUAGCCUUCCUAGUAUUAUGAAAAUUGGUAUGUGUAUAGAAUCAAGGGGGAUGACAUAGUUCUUUAUUUAUAAUAAUUCUGAUUAGCAAUCCUAGUGAAACUACUUAUCACAAUCUCAAAAUGUUAUUUAAAUAACUCAUACUGGUCAAUCUAUAACGCUCCCAAAAUAAGUAUACAUCAUCUAUUUUGAGUCGUCAAAUACAUGGUACAAAAUACAAAUACAAACUUAAUUAUAGAACAUGAGCUGAGAGUUUUUACACGAAUAUUGUCUUCUAGACAAUAUCUAAACUCAAAUGGAGUCCUCAUUAUAAUUAUUAUCACAUUAUUUCAUAGAAUAGUGAGUACUACUACAACACCAUCUCAAAUCAUUACUCCGUUCCCCGACAAGUCCCGGCUACGUUUUCAUUUCCUGAAGAGAACAAUGAAAGCAAAAGGGUGAGCUCAACUAGCCAGUAAGAAAUAUUAUGACUAAGUUAAUACAGAAUAAAUUAUCGUUAGCCUUCAACAGUGUUAAGCUGAUAAAAUACAAUAAACAUCAAGUUUAACUGCAGCGGAACAAGCAAUCCAUUAGAAGAGUAAAGUAGAGCAUGAUAUCUACUAUCUUCUAUGAUUUAAAAAGGUUAUCAUCAAUUUUAUCGUUGAGACUCAGCUUAAUAAAUAAUCCACAUCACUAAAUUAUCCAUGCACUACGGGCCAAUGAGGACUUUUACCACAUUAUAUGUAACAUUACGGUCAUGAUUAUACUGAAUAAUCCCUGGUCAUAAUCAUACUAAUCAACAGUACAUCUAUGCACUACGACCAAAGAUGACUUUCAUCACAAUAUAAGCAUGAGGAUGAUGACAAUGAUACAAGAAUUCAAUUAAAUAAAAGCAAAGAUAAAUUUUAAAGAUUUAUAAUUUAAUUUAUCCAGAAUUCAAUAGCGCCCAAAUUGUCAACAUGAUACUGCUUUGUGGAGUAAAUUAUUAUAUCAAAAAUAAUUUGGACAGAGAAGAAAUUAAUUUUUGUCAUGAAUAGUACCUGAGUGAAUAGUACCCCAUGAAUAGUACUUUAUAAAUAGUACUUCGGAAAUAGUACUUUAUGAAUAGUACCCCGUGAAUAGUAUUUUGUGAAUAGUACCUCGUGAAUAGUACUUUGUGAAUAGUGCCCUAUGAAUAGUACUUUGUGAAUAGUACCCCGUGAACAAUACUCCAACAUGAAAAGAUUAAAAAUUAUCAAAAAUGUUCAGAAAAAUAUCCUUCUGAAAUGAUACUAGAUGAAGCGCAAAUUUCAAGGAUAUUCUACUAAUUUCACGGAAUAUAGAAUCAAUACUUUAACAAAAUGAGUGUAGAAGUAGGUGUAAGACCCCAAAUUUUAUAAAUAAAAUUGAAUUUCCUCUAUUUAUUAUUUUGAAAUAAUAAGGUGUUAAUUUGAUAUAAUACUUUGGUUAUGGGUGAAAUGAACAAAUUUUGCAAAAUAAGCAAGUAGUUAUAAAAUAUUCAUUGUUGUCGGGGAAUAUUCGUUUGGUCGUGAAAUAUUCUUGUUGUCACGAAAUAUUCGUACGACGGCGCAGCCAUUUGUGGGCCCUAUAACGUAAAACGUUCAGAUGAAGACAAAUGAAUAUUUGGUUCAAGAUGUAUAUUGAUUGAUGUUUCAGGGAUAAAAUAUUGAUGAUGGACUUUAAAAUCAUAGAAGACAUUAGAUUUUAUUCUCUACUAAACUCUUCUAAUGAAUUGUUAUUUUCGCUGUGAAUAUUGAUCUAAAACUUGUUGUCCAUUAUAUUUUAUCUGAUUUGUUGAAGGCUAACGAUAAUUGUUGUUCAUUAUCUUAGUCAUAAUAUUCUUUACUGGGCUAGUUGAGCUCACCCUUUUCCUUUUUGUUCCAUUUUUUUCUCAGGAGGCGAGAAUAUAACGGGAACUAGUCGGGGUAUGGAAUGAUGGUUCUAGACAGUUAUUUUAGCAGUUCUCACUAUUUUUGUAAAAUAGUGUAUCAAUAAUUAUAAUGAGGACUUAUUUGAGUGUGGAUAUUGUCUAGAAGACAAUAUUUGUAUUUAAACUCACAGUAUAUGUGUUAUCAUAUUUUGCACGACAAUUGUAAUAAUAAAGUUGUAGUUGUUUUCUGUACCAUGUUUUUGGCGACCAAAGAUGGGUGAUGUAUACCUAUUUUGGGGGCGUCACAGUUGGUAUUAGAGCUUAGGGAUAUGGUCUCUGGCGGAGAUAGAACUAGGAGGGGAGAGACGAGUAAAUCCUUCGCUAGUGUGUCCUACCUAAGCUUAUUUGUUGGUUGGUCAGAAUAUAGGGGUAUUAUGUGGUAUGUUAUUUUCUUUAAUUAACCCUUGUUUUGUGGCAAUAUUUGAGAAUGGUAGCUGGAAAUGUUAACAACGGAGUAAAUGAGACCGUGGAGACACCUUUAAUCACCAACCAGGAGAACGUGCAACAGGACGACAAUGUUCCUCUUGUAAACAACACCACCGAUCAAAUGAUGAAUGAUGGAUGUUUAGAAGCUUUUUUGCAGUUCAUGCAAAAUCAGACGAGGGAGACUCGUGAACAAAAUACGGGUGAAAAUGAUAGCAACGCGCGGCUUGUCACAGCCAAGUAGUUCAAAGAGUUGGGACCACAAGAGUUUUUGGGAAAGCCAAAUCCGAUUAAGGCAAAAACGUGGGUUAAGAAAAUUUCAAGAUAUUUGAUGUCUUGGGAUUCAUAGAGGAAUAGAAGGUUCUAUUCUCCACCUUUAUGUUCCGUGGUUAGGCAGAUUACUGGUGGGAAUCUGUGAAGCAUACCCAGCCAGCCGCACUCAAUAUAUCUUGGGAAAUAUUUUAGAAACUGUUUAAUGACAAGUACUUUCCUGAAAGUAUUCGUCAUAUGAAGGAGGUAGAGUUUAUUAGACUGGAACAGAACAACAUGACUGUGUCCCAGUACGAGGCUAAUUUUGCGGAGUUAUCCAGGAUUGCACCUCAUUUGGUAGAGAAUGAGGAACGUAUGACGCGGAUGUUUUUAAGAGGGUUGAAACCCAAAAUUUAUCAGUACCUUAUUUCUCACAAAUUUUCUCUAUAUUCAGAUGUUGUUAACAAGGCUCAAUUAUUAGAGUGAGAUAAUGAGUAUGUUCAACCGAGGGCAGCAGUCAUCAGAGCAAUGAUAACCAGCGGGAAGGAAAAAAUACGGACAAAAGCGAUAACCACUCUGGUGGUAAUCAUGGCCAUGAUAGUAGAAGAAGCGAGUCGAGGGGAGAUUUCAAAAAGAGAAGGUACAACAAUGACAAUGUGAAGACGUCAGCAUCAACAUCAACUGUUUCUAGGGGAGGAGAACGACCACCGGUCGUAUGUUAUAAAUGCUGGAAAGAGGGACACAUCAGCCCAAACUGCCCACAACAAUUCAAGGUAUGUUAUAACUGUGGAAAGGAAGGUCAUAUAGCUCGAGAUUGUUCUAUAGAAAAACCAAGUCCAGCGAGGAUGGUGAUUCCAAAGGCUGUCCCGGACAAGUAAAAGUCAACGGUUCCUGAAAGAACGUUUGUCGUGACUGGCCAAAACGCGAGGAGCCCAAACGAGGUGAUCACGGGUAAGCUAAUUAUAAACUCUUGCGAAGUUAAUACCUUAUUAGAUACCAUUUCUACCCAUUCUUUUAUCUCUCUUUCUUGUGCUCAACGUUUGAACUUAACUCCGGAGAAAUUAGACUUUGACUUAUCUAUUGAGACUCCGUUAGGAGAAACUUUCAUUACACUCACUGUUUAUAAAUCUUUCUUGAUCCAAGUUAGCAUAAUCACAUUACCUGUUGAUCUUAUCUCUUUAAAGAUACUUGCAUUUGAUGUGAUUUUAGGAUUGAUUGGUUAAGAUCUCAUCAUGCUAAAAUUGAUUAUUUUCGUAAGGUUGUUAGUUUUCAUAUUCCUAACCAACCUGUUAUGCCAAUUCAAGCGACCAAACUGCUAAAUUUAAUCACUGUCAUAUCAAGCCAUAAAUCCAUUCGUUUAUUAAAAAAUGGAUGUCAAGCUUUCUUAGCCCAUGUCAUGGACUUGAACAAAAACACGUCAGAUUUGAAUAAUAUUUCUGUUGUUAGUGAAUUUCUUGACGUAUUUCCUGAAGAACUUCCUGGUCUACCCCCAGAACGUGAAGUUGAAUUCUUUAUUGACCUUGAACCUGGUACAAAACCCAUUUCUAAAACCCCAUAUAGAAUGGCUCCUAUUGAAUUUCAGGAGUUAAAGGUCUAACUACAGGAGUUGUUAGACAUCGGUUUCAUUCGUCCUAAUACAUCUCCUUGGGGUGCUUCUGUUUUAUUCAUAAAGAAGAAAGACGAGAGUAUGCGACUUUGUAUUGAUUACCGGGAAUUGAACCAUGUCACCAUCAAUAAUAGGUAUCCGCUAUCUCGCAUUGAUGACCUAUUCGACCAGUUGCAAGGAGCACAAUUCUUUUCAAAGAUCGAUCUUCGUUCUGGAUAUCAUCAGCUGAAGAUUAAAACUGAGGAUAUUCCGAAGACUGCCUUCAGAACUCGGUACGGGCAUUAUAAAUUCUUAGUCAUGUCUUUUGGAUUAACUAAUGCUUCUGCUGCUUUCAUGGAUAUGAUGAACCGUGUGUUCAAGGAAUAUUUGGAUUAGUUCGUUGUUAUCUUUAUUGAUGAUAUCCUCAUCUAUUCCAAAAGCCGUAAAGAUCAUGAGCACCAUUUGAAGCUGGUACUUCAAAGGUUUUGUGAAAAUAAGCUAUAUGCCAAGCUGAAGAAAUGCAACUUUUGGUUUGAGGAAGUAGCAUUCCUUGGGCAUGUGGUGUCAAAACAUGGAGUAUCUGUUGACCCGACGAAGAUUGAAGCAAUACAAAGUUGGGAACAACCGAAGUCGGUGACCGAAGUACGUAGCUUUCUGGGCUUAGCCGGUUAUUAUCUUAGAUUUAUGGAAGGAUUUUCUCGAAUUGCUACUCCGUUAACUCAGCUGACUCAGAAAGAUACAAAAUUCGUAUGGAGUGAGGAAUGCGAGAAGAGUUUCCAAGAGCUCAAGAGGAGACUCAUUUCGGCACUUGUUCUAUAAAUACCAUCUAGUUCGGAUGGAUUUGUUAUCUACAGUGAUGCUUCAGGCAAAGGGUUAGGAUGUAUUCUCAUGCAACAUGGGAAAGUUACAGCCUAUGCCUCGCAACAACUCAAAGAAUAUGAGAGGAAUUAUCCUACUCAUGAUCUGGAGUUGGCAGCAAUCGUUUUCUAGUUGAAAAUUUGGAGACACUACUUGUAUGGGGAGAAAGUGGAGAUUUAUACGGAUCAUAAAAACCUCAAAUAUUUUUUCACCCAAAAGGAACUCAACAUGCGACAACGACGUUGGCUCGAGCUAUUGAAAGAUUAUGACCAUACCAUUCAAUAUCAUCCUGGAAAAGUAAACGUGGUAGCUGACGUAUUGAGUAAAAGAUCGUUUACGGGUACGAGUGCGAUGUUUUUAACACAAAGACCCAUUUUGUAAGACUUACAAAGGAUGGGGAUAGAGUUAAAGGCUCCAAGUGCCCAUAUGAUGAUAUCAAACAUAUGAGUAGAACUGACUUUAAUCGAUAAAGUUAAAGCUGCUUAAGCCACAGACCCAGAGUUGAUGCUUAUGAAGAAGAAAGUACAAGAAGGUGUUAUUCUAGAAGCAAUAAUCGAUGAAGAAAGAAUACUUUGAGUCAACUCCAGACUUUUCAUUCUUAACGAUUCUGACUUAAAGCAUAGAAUCAUGAUGGAGGCACACAACACACCAUUUUCAAUCCAUCGUGGGAGUACCAAAAUGUAUCAUGAUCUUCGAUAUACAUUUUGGUGGAACAAUAUGAAGAGAGAUAUCGCGGAGUUUAUCUCGAGGUGUUUAACUUGUCAACAUGUAAAGGCGGAGCAUCAAGUGUCAAAGGGUCCAUUGCAACCACUUGAGAUUCUGAAAUAGAAGUGGGAACACAUUACCAUGGAUUUCGUAAUGGAUCUUCCCAAGGUUUCUCAAGGCAUAAAUGUGAUUUGGGUUAUUGUUGAUAGAUUAACCAAGUCUGCUCAUUUCUUGCCGAUACGGGAGACUUAUUCCCUUGAACGUCUUGCUCGUAUGUACGAGAAUGAGAUUGUGAGAUUGCAUGGCAUGACAGUAUCCAUAGUUUCGGAUCGUGACCCAAGAUUCACUUCAAGAUUUUGGGUUAGCUUGUAGAAAGCUAUGGGCACGGAUUUACGAUUCAGUUUGGCAUACCAUCCUCAAACGGACGGGCAAUCGGAAAGGACUAUUCAAACUCUUGAAGAUCUAUUAAGACUCUGUGUCCUAGAUUUAAAAGGAAGUUGGGAUAAAUACUUGUCAUUAGUGGAAUUCUCCUACAACAACAGUUAUCAAACAAGUAUAGACAUGGCUCCAUUUGAGGUGUUGUACGGACGAAAGUGUCGUUCUCCAGUAUGCUAGGACGAGGUGGGUGAAGCAAGGUUGUUGGGACCAGAAUUGGUACGCAUGACUACAGAAAAGAUCCAAACGAUUCGACAACGUAUACAAAUGACACAGGAUCGACAAAAGAGUUAUGCGGAUCUUCAUCGAAAGGACGUUGAAUUUAAUAUUAGGGAUCAUGUAUUGUUAUGUAUUGCUCCAUGGAAGGAAGUUACAAGAUUUGGGAAGAGAAGAAAGCUCAAUCCAUGAUUUGUUGGUCCAUUUGAGAUUCUUGACCGAAUAAGAAAUGUGGCCUAUAGACUCGUAUUACCUCCAAGCAUGUCUCGUGUUUAUAAUGUUUUUCACAUAUCUAUGCUUCAUAAAUAUGUGAAAGACCCAAACCACAUUAUUGAGUUAGAACCAGACGAGAUAGCCGAAGAUUUAACGUACGAGGAGGUACCUGUCAAGAUCUUAGAUAGGAAAGAGCAUGUCUUACGCACAAAGAUUAUACCAAAAGUCAAAGUUUUAUGGAGGAACCAUGCUAUUGAGGAAAUGACUUGGGAGUUGGAAUCAGAAAUGAAAGUGAGGUAACCUCACCUUUUCGAAACACCAGGUACAUACGUCAAUUUCGAGGACAAAAUUUUAUAAUGAGGGGAGGUUGUAAGACCCCAACUUUUAUAAAUAAAAUUGAAUUUUCUCUUUUCAUUAUUUUGAAAUAAUAAGGUGUUAAUUUGAUAUAAUUCUUUGGUUAUGAGUAAAAUGUGCAAAUUUUGUAAAAUAAGCAAGUGGUUAUAAAAUAUUCAUUGUUGUCGGGGAAUAUUCGUUUGGUUGUAGAAUAUUCUUGUUGUCGGGGAAUAUUCGUACGACGAUGAAUCCAUUUGUGGGCCCCAUAAUGGAAAACAGUCGGAUGAAGAAAACAACAAAUUUGAGUUUUUAUAAAUAAUGGCGUAGUUGUUACCAUUAACACUGUUGGAAUACCUGAUGGUUAAAGUACAGUAAUACGCGUGGUUGCACAGUAGCACACGGUAUUGCACAGUAUUUUUGGAUUAUUGAUUCUUACAUAAGAAGGCACUACUCAAUAAUUUUUACAGUAAUUACUGUUCAAUAUUUUAUUUUAUUGAUUCAUUAAUUAUUAAGUUGAUAUUUUAUAUUAUUGUUAAUUCAAUAAUUGUCACUGCAUAGUAUUUCCCAUUAUCAUAUCAAUAAUUUAUAUUAUUUGAAUAAUAUUAUUAGAUUUUAUUAUUGGCAAUGUCUAAGAAGUUCUAUCUAGGAAAGGGGUUUGGUCACCUAAUUGCGCGCCAGUAAGGAGAAAUCCUUAUCGGAAAGCCCCCUUCUUUCCUGGGAACGACCUGAUUGUCAUAAUUGUGAUUCUGUAAUAUUAUUUGUGAAUAAUUAAUUAUUGAUUUAUAUGAUAAGAAAAUAUUUAUUUUAUGUGGAUAUAAAUGAAGGAAUUAAUGCUGAGGUGUUUUAUCAGUAUUUUGUCAGAAUGAAGGUAUUAAAAAUCGUCCGUAUGUAAAUUUUGGUCAUUUUCUGCUUGGAAUUUGGAAAAAUUUUAUCCUACAAAGUUGUAGAGAAUUACAUUUCCUAUGGAAUGGACAUAAAAUUCGUAUUUUUCUAUGAAAAGGGCAAUUUAUUAUGAAUUAUUGAAGUUUUGGAAAUAAAUGUUUUUUAAUUAAAAAUAUGGGUGGGCCCUACUUUUGGUUGGUAUGAAAAUUCUGAAUUUGGUGGGCCCCACUGUGGUGUGCUGAUAUUUGAUCAAUUGUGGCGUGCGUGAAAAUUUUUGAUAAAAUAUUAUUUUAUUAAUUUAGUCUGCUUUGGCAUUCUAGCAUUUUCCUAUAACUAGGAUUCUUAGUUAGAAUUGAAAAUCACACCAGAAUCAGAAGUUUUCUUUCUCUAUAAUAUCGAGAGUAUUUUUGUGAGUAUUUAGAUACUUUGAGAGUUGCUAUUCAGUGCAAGUUCCUUCAGCAUUAUAUCUGAUAUUUCAGCUAGAAGUGCUAUUCUUUUGAGGUAAGGGAUAUUAUUUUCUUCGUAAAUGAUGUUAUUUCUUUCAAUAUCAUUAUACUGAAAUAUUAGUAUGAAUUUUAUUAUGAAAUUUUUACCUUUUCAUGUUGAGGUUACUAUUCACGAAUACGACACUAUUCACGUAUACGACAUUAUUUACAAAUACGAUACUAUUCACCAAAAAAUGAAAUUUUUUCUUCUUUGUCCCAGAUGGCUAUUAUGGUUACUAUCUUUGAUUGUAUCCAUGUUUUGAUCUUUAUUAUUGAAUUUUUCUCCACUAUGGUUUAUUAUGGAGUAUUUUUGAAUUUGGAUUAUCUAAAGUACGAAUCCCUAAUCUUUGUCCGUUAUUCUCAAUGGAUUCGUUCUUUAAAAUAUUUUUCAUCAUCCUCAGUCUUUAAUGGUGAUACUUGAUGAAUAUCUUUGGCCUGUAGUACAAAGAUGAAUGAUUACCUAAUGAAUAUAUUUGACCCAUAGUGCAAAGAUGGACAGGUGUUGAGAUGAACAUGACCAACUGUUGAUACAAAUGAAUAUCUUUGGCCCGUAAAACAAAGAUGAAUAUUUGGUUCAAGAUGUAUAUUGAUUGAUGUUACAGGGAUAAAAUAUUGAUGAUAAACUUUUAAAUCAUAGAAGACAUUAGAUUUUAUUCUCUACUAAACUCUUCUAAUGAAUUGUUAUUUCCGCUGCGAAUAUUGAUCUAAAACUUAUUGUCCAUUAUAUUUUAUCUGAUUUAUUGAAGGCUAACAAUAAUUUAUUGUUCAUUAUCUUAGUCAUAAUAUUCUUUACCGGGCUAGUUGAGCUCACUAUUUUCCUUUUUGUUUCAUUUUUCUUCUCAGGAGGCGAGAAUAUAGCGGGAACUAGUCGGGGUAUAGAAUGAUGGUUCUAGACAGUUGUUUUAGCAUUCCUCACUAUUUUUGUAAAAUAGUGAAUCAAUAAUUAUAAUGAGGACUUAUUUGAGUGUGGAUAUUAUCUAGAAGACAAUAUUUUUAUUUAAACUCACAGUAUAUAUGUUAUCGUAUUUUGCACGACAAUUGUAAUAAUAAAGUUGUAGUUAUUUUCUAUACCAUAUUUUUGACGAUCCAAGAUGGGUGAUGUAUACCUAUUUUGGGGGCGUCACAGUAGGAAUACAAACCAAAUAAUAUUACUUACAUACUACAGAGUAUGGAAAAAAUAUUAUUUCAUACGAGUAUUGAACAAAAAUAUUAUCCCUUACCUUAGAAGAAGACUGUAUACUAGAAUAAUGAAGUAGCAGAAUACUCUUCUUCUUUCUCUCUAUAGUUUCUCUCUUUAUAAUUUCUCUUGUGAGUCUUAAUGAAUUGGUGAGAAUGAAAGAAGAAUGAGCUUCUAUUUAUAGGAAAACAUAGUUUCGAUAAUUGCACGUUUUGGGGCUCGAAUUAUUAUAGUAUAUUAUUACCUUCAUCUUUUCCUCCAUUUUAAAUUUAGUCCUACAAGUAUUAUCAAACUUGCACCACCUCCCCUAAUAGUACAUGAAUGUGAAUCAAUACUUCCAUUCAUGUGAAUAAAUAGUUAUAUGCAUGUAAACUAAUAGCAAUUAAUUGCUCAUUUAUCCGAUUAAUUACCCGAUUGGUCAAUUUAACCUCCAGAAAUCAAUUAUUAUCGAAAUAAAUGUUGAUUUCCACUAACACUAAUAAUCCCAACACAAUGGAAAUAUCAAUUUUAUCUUUAAUCAACGCAAACUUAUUCAUCUUUAAUAUUAUAACUCAUAGUAUCUAACAACCAGAUCAUUCCCAGGAAAGAGGGGGCUUUCCGAUAAAGAUUUCUCCCUAUUGGCGCACAAUUAGGUGACAAAACCCUUUUCCUCGACAGAACUUUCUAGACAUCGUCAAUAAUGCAAAUAAUAAUAUGAAUAACUUUUAUAUCUCAAUUAUUGAUUUAAUAAUAUAAAAUAUUAUGCAGAUGAUACUGUGACAAUAAUUGAAUCAAUAAUAUGAGAGAUAUUAUGCAGUAAUUAUUGUAGCAAUAAUUGAGUAUAACUGAGUGACUUCUCACGUAAGCAUUAAUAAUCAAAGAUAUUGUACAAUACCGUAUGCUACUAUGCAACCACGCGUAUUACUGUAAUUUUACCACCAGGUAUUUCAACAGUUAACGGUAAAAUUUUCGUCGUUAAUUUUAUAAAAAUAUAUUUCUGUCAUUUUCUAACUCCGACAAUACAUCCAUUAUAAGACCACAACUUUUAUAAAUAAAAUUGAAUUUCCUCUAUUCAUUAUUUUAAAAAAAUAAGAUGUUAAUUUGAUAUAAUGCUUUGGUUAUGGGUGAAAUGUGCAAAAAUUUCAAAAUAAGCAAGUGGUUAUAAAAUAUUCAUUGUUGUCGGGGAAUAUUCGUUUGGUCAUGGAAUAUUCUUGUUGUCGGGGAAUAUUCGUUUGGUCAUGGAAUAUUCUUGUUGUCGGGGAAUAUUCGUACAACGGCGCAGCCAUUUGUGGGCCCCAUAACACAAAAACGGUCGGAUGAAGAAAAUGACAAGUUUGAGUUUUUAUAAAUUACGGGGUAGUUGUUACCGUUAACACUGUUGGAAUACCUGAUGGUUAAAGUACAGUAAUACGCGUGGUUGCACAGUAGCACAUGGUAUUGCACAGUAUUUUUGGAUUAUUGAUUCUUACGUAAGAAGGCACUACUCAAUAAUUGUUACAUUAAUCAUUGUUCAAUAUUUUAUUUUAUUGAUUCAAUAAUUGCUGCGUUGAUAUUUUAUAUUAUUGUUGUUUCAAUAAUUACCACUGCACAAUAUUUCCCAUUAUCAGAUCAAUAAUUCAUAUUAUUUGAAUAAUAUUAUUAGAUAACCUUAUUGGCAAUGUCUAAGGAAGUUCUGUCUAGAAAAGGGAUUUGGUCACCUAAUUGCGCGCCAGUAAGGAGAAAUCCUUAUCGGAAACCCCCUCUUUUCUGGAAACGACCUGGUUGUCAUUAUUGUGAUUCUGUAAUAUUAUUUGUGAAUAAUUAAUUAUUGAUUUAUAUGAUAAGGAAAUAUUUAUUUUAUGUGGUUAUAAAUGAAGGAAUUAAUGUUGAGGUAUUUUAUCAGUAUUUUGUCAGAAUGGAGGUAUUAACAAUCAUCUGUAUGUGGAUUUCAGUCAUUUUCUGUUUAGAAUUUGAAAAAACUUUCUUCUACAAAGUUGUAGAGAAUUAAAUUUCUUAUGGAAUGGACAUAAAAUUUAUAUUUUUCUGAUAAAGGGCUAUUUAUUAUGAAUUAAGUGGAAUGAAGAUAUCAAAUUGAUUUAGUUUUCGAAUUAAAUUUGAAUUCUUUUAUUUUUUUUUUCAAAAAACAUAUGUUAAUGGUGGGUGAGCAAAGGUUGGCUUUAAAAAGUCUUGUUUCAAAGUAGGUGGGCUACAAAUAAUGUGCGUAUGUAAAUUUUAUCAGUAAUGGUGGGCUGACAUUUCCCUAUAAAUAGGGUGCUUAGUUAGAAAUGAAAUCACACCAUAAUCAGAAGUUUUAUCUCUAUAAUAUCAAACGUAUUUUUGUGAUUAUUUAGAUAAUUUGAGAGUUGCUAUUCAGUGCAAGUUUUUUUCAACAUUAUAUCUGAUAUUCCAAUCAGAAGUACUGUUCUUUUGAGGUAAGGGAUUUUUUUUUUUUUUCAUAAAUGAUAUUAUUUCUUUCAAUAUCAUUAUACCAAAAUAUUGGUAUGAAUUCUUGUGGAAAUUUUACCUUUUCAUGUCUAGGCUACUAUUCACGUAUACGACACUAUUUACGUAUACGACACUAUUCACGAAUACGGUACUAUUCACAAGUACUAUUCACGAAGUAUGAUUUUUCUUGUGAAAUUUCUACCUUUUGGUGUCAGGGUUACUAUUCACGUACAACACUAUUCACGUAUACGACACUAUUCACGAAUAUGGCACUAUUUACUGAAAAAAUUAAAAUUUUUUUCUUUGUCCAAGUUGUCUAUUAUGGUUACUAUCUUUGAUUGUAUCCAUGUUUUGAUCUUCAUUCUUGAAUUUUGCUCCACAAUUAAUUAUUAUGGAGUAUUUUUGAACUUGGAUAAAGUAAAGUACGAAUCCCUAAUAUUUGAUCUUUUAUCUCACUGGAUUCGUUUUCUUUAAGAUAUUUUUCAUCAUCCUCAGUCCUAAAUGGUGAUAUAACUGAAUAUCUUUGGCCUGUAGUGCAUAGAUGAAUGAUUACCUGAUGAAUAUUUUUGGCGCGUAUUGCAAAGAUGGACAGGUGUUGAGAUGAACAUGACCAACUGAUGAAUAUCUUUGGCCUGUAGUGCAAAGAUGAAUAUUUGAUUCAAGAUGUAUAUUGUGACGCCCCCAAAAUAGGUAUACAUCACCUAUCUUGAGUCGCCAGAUACAUGGUACAUAAAUCAAAUACAAACUUAAUUAUACAACAGUCGUGUAAAAUACGACAAAACAUAGCUGAGAGUUUAAACAAGAAUAUUGUCAUCUAGAUAAUAUCCAUACUCAAUGGUGUCCUCAUUGCAAUUAUUAUCACAUUAUUCUGUAGAAUAGUGAAGACUACUAAAGCCAUUUAUCCUGGACCAUCACUCCAUUCCCCGACUCGUCCCAGCUAUAUUCUCAUUUCCUGAAGAGAACAAUGAAAGAAAGGGUGAGCUCAACUAGCCCAGUAAGAAAUAUUAUGACUAAGAUAAUGCAGAAUAAAUUAUCCUUAGCCUUCAACAGUAUAACAACUGAUAGAAUACAAUAGACAACAAGUUUUAGAUCAACAACUGCAGCGGAAAUAAGCAAUCCAUUAGAAGAGUCAAGUAGAGCAUAAAAUCUACUAUCUUCUAUGAUUUAAAAAGUUUUUCAUCAACUUUAUCGCUGAGACUCAGCUUAAUAAAUAAAAUCGAAUCAUCCCUGCACCACGGCCAAGGAUAUUCAUGUAAUCAUCAAUGGUCAUGAUUAUACCGAAUAAUCCCUGGUCAUAAUCAUACCAACAACUGUCCAUCAAUGAACUACAGGCCAAUGAGGACUUUUACCACAUCAUUCGUCACAUUACGGUCAUGAUUAUACCGAAUAAUCCCUGGUCAUAAUCAUACCAAGUCCAUCUAUGCACGUAAGCCAAAGAUGACUUUCAUCACAAUAUAAGCAUGAGGAUGAUGACAAUGACAUAAUAAUUCAAUAAAACAAGUUCAAGGAUAAAUUUUAAAGAUUUAUAAUUUAAUUUAUCCAGAAAUCAAUAACGCCCAAAUUGUCAACAUGAUACUGCUUUGUAGAGUAAAAUUCAAGAAUAAUAUUCAUGUACAAAAAAUAAUUUGGACAGAAAAGAAAUAUAUUUUUCGGGUGAAUAGUAUCCCGUGAAUAAUACUUUGGGAAUAGUACCUCAUGAAUAGUACCUCGACACGAAAAGUGUCCCGAAUACCCGAGUGAAUGAUACUAGAGUGAAUAGUAAUUGGGUUAAUAGUAACCCGCGUGAAUAGUAACUCGUGAAUAGUACUCCGGCACGAAAAGUACCUCGAAUAUCCGAGUGAAUAAUACCAGAGUUAAUAAUAACUGGGUGAAUAGUAACCCGUGAAUAGUAACUCAUAAAAAAAAUACCAAAGAAAAUGAUAUUCCAUGACGAGUACAAAAGAAAUGAUAUCUCAGACGAGUAUAAUAGAAUAUACGAAACUGCAAAUGGAUUUUCACCCGCCAUGCGGUAAUCCACGUAGACAGAUCAUUUCCACAAUUUAAUAAAGAAUGAAUACAAAGGAUCAUUCACUAUGCAUGCGGUAAUCCACAUAGAUAGAUUAUUCCAACAGAAUAAUAAAGAAUGGAAUAACAAAAGAAUUCACCAGGCAUGCGAUAGACCACACAGAUAGGUUAUUCCCAACAGAAUAAUAAAGAAUGGAACCAGGUCAUGCGUAAUCCGCACAGACAGGAUAUUCCAACAGAAUAAUAAAAAAUAGAAUAACAAUAGAAUUCACCAGGCAUGCGAUAGACCGCACAGACAGGUUAUUCCAACAGAAUAAUAAAGAAUAGAAUAACAGAAGAAUUACACCAUGUAUGUGGUACUUCGUAUAGACAGAUUAUUCCAACAACAUAAUAAAGAAUGGAAUAACAACCCUUAUGAGUAUUGGAAGAAAAUAACUCUCUUCAUGAAUACGAAAGAAUAAUACCCCUUACCUCAAAAGAAGACUGGAUACUGGAAUAGUGAGGUAGCAGACUUCUCUUCUUCUUUCUCUCUAUAAUUUCUCUCUAUAAUAAUUGCUCUAUAACUUUAGUGAAUUUGUUAGAAAUAAUGAAGGAAUGAGCUUCUAUUUAUAGGAAAAUAUAGUUUCGAUAAUUGCAUAUUUUGGGGCUCGAAAUAUUACAGUAUAAUACCUUCCUCUUUUUCUUCAUUUUUAAUUUAGUCCUGCAAGUAUUAUCAAACAUGCACCACCUCUCCUAAUAGUAAAUCAUGUGAAUCAAUAGUAAAGGAUGUGACUCAAUAGUUCUAUACAUGUGAAAAAAUGAAUUACAGUAUAAUACCUCCAUCUAUACCUCCAUUUUUAACUUAGUCAUGCAAGUAUUAUCAAUCUUGCAUCAACUCCCCUAAUAGUAAAUGGAUUUGAAUAAAUAGUACACACAUGUGAAUAAAUAGUUAUAAUCAUGUUAAUCAAUAGCAAUUAAUUGCUCAUUUAUCUGGUUAAUUACCCGAUUGGUCAAUAUAACCUCCAGACAUCAAUUAUUAUCGAAAUAAAUGUCGAUUUUCACUAACACUAAUAAUUCCAACACAAUGGAACUAUCAAUUUUAUCUUUAAUCAACACGAACUUAUUCAUCAUUAAUAUUAUAAUUCACAAUAUUUAACAACCAGGUCGUUCUUAGGAAAGAGGGGACUUUCCAAUAAGGAUUUCUCCUUAUUGGCGCGCAAUUAGGUGACCAAACCUCUCCUUGACAGAACUUCUAGACAUUGUCAAUAUUGUAAAUAAUAAUAUGAAUAACUUUGUCAUCUCAAUUAUUAAUUUAAUAAUAUAACAUAUUAUACAAAUGAUACAGUGACAAUAAUUGAAUCAUUAAUAUGAGAGAUAUUAUGCAACAAUUACUGUAGCAAUAAUUGAGUAUAACUGAGUGACUUUUCACGUAAGCAUCAAUAAUCCAUACCGUGUGCUACUAUGCAACCACGCGUAUUACUGUACUUUUACUAUCGGGUAGUUCAACAGUUUGACGGUAAAACUUUCAUCGUUAUUUUUAUAAAAAGAUAAUUCUGUCAUUUUCUAACUACGACAAUACUUCCGUUGUGGGGUCCACCAAUGAUUGUGCCGUCGUACGGAUAUUCCCCGACAAAAAGAAUAUUCCCCAACCAAUCGAAUAUUAUAUAACAACUUGCAUACUUUGAAAAAUUUAUAAAUAUUACCAACAACUCUAACAUUAUAUCAAAUCCACACCAUAAUAUUCAAAAAAAUAUUUUGAGAAAUUUAAAUCUUUAUUCAUAAAAUUUGGGGUCUCAUAAUCUCCCCUCCUUAUGAAAUUUCGCCCUCAAAAAUUACGUACGUACCUGGUAUGCCGAUGAGGUGAGGAUACCUUGACUUCAUUUCAUAUUCCAACUCUUGAGGUAUAACCUUUGAGUGUUGAAUAUGAUCCUUCUUAUCCAAGAUUUUAACAAGUAUCUCAUUAUACGUUAAAUCCUCUGCUAUAUCGUCUAGUUUUAAUUUAAUAAUGUUGUUCGGGUCGUCCACAUAUUUACGUAACAUUGAUACGUGAAAAACGUUAUGAACACGCAACAUACUUGACGGUAAAACGAGUCUAUAGGCCACAGUUCCUACUCGAUCGAGGAUUUCAAAUGAGCCAAUAAAAUUGAGGGUUGAUAUUUCCUCUUUUCAUUGACUCUUGCGUCUAGAAUAACGCCUUCUUGAACCUUCUUCUUUAUUUUCAUCAGCUCCAGGUGUGUAGUUUGAGCGGCUUUAACUUUAUCGAUUAAAGUCGAUUCUACUCGUAUAUUCGUUAUCUUCACGUGGGUCCCUAGAGUCUUUAACUCUAUCUUCAUCAUUUGUAAGUUAUACGAAAUGGGUUUUUGUGUUAACAACAUCGCACUCGUAAACGCAUACGAUCUUCUACUCAACGCGUCAGCUACCACGUUCGCUCUUCCACGAUGAUAUUGAAUGGUAUAGUCGUAAUCUUCAACAGCUCGAGCCAACGUCCUUGGCGCAUGAUACGUUUAUUUUAGUUGAAGAAAUAUUUGAGGGUUUUAGAAAUGGGUUUUGUAUUGGGGUCAAUACAAAAUUCGAUUUCACGCUUUGGGGGUAGACCAAGAAGUCUUCAAGAAUACGUCAGGAAAUUUAUUACCUAUAGAAAUAUCAUUCAAAACUGUGACUCUCAUCCAAGACUUGGAUAGCACAUGAAAUGAAAGUUUCUACUAACGAAGUUUCAACCGAUAAGUCAAAGUCUAAUCUCUCAGGAGUUAAAUUUAAACGUUGAGCGCAAGAAAGAGAGAUAAAAUAAUGGGUGGAACCGAUAUCUAAUAAGGUAUAGACUUUGCAAGAAUUUAUAAUUAAAUAACCCAUGCUAACUUCGUUCGGGUUACUCGCUUUUUGAGAAGUCACGAAAAACACUCUUCUUAAAACUACUGACUUUGUUUUGUCCGUAUCCGCCUUUGGUGCCACCGUCCCCAGCUGAACUUGACUUUGGUGCAUGACAAAAUCGGGAUAGGUGACCUUCUUUUCCACAAUUAUAACAUGCUUUGGACUGCAUCACGCAGUUUAGACUGAUAUGUCCCUCCCGUCCGCAUUUAAACCAUACAAUUGGUGGUCGUUCUCCUUCCUUGAAAACCGGUGUUGGUGCUGCUGUCUUUCCAUCAUUGUUGAACCUUCUCUUCUUGAAAUUUCCACUCCUAUUAUCUUGGCCAUGGUUACCACCGAAGUGGUUACCAUUCUUGGCAUGAUAAUUUCCCCCACGAUGGUUAUCAUUGUUCCGAUGGCCGUUGCCACCGGUACGAUUAUUAUCGUGUUAUUGGUCGUUGCCUUUUGGUUGUGCUGACUCAUUAUCGCGCUCCAAUAACUAAACCCUAUUCACAACAUCUGAAUAUAAACAAAUUUUGUGAAAAAUGAGGUAUUGACGUAUAUCGGGUUUCAAACCUCUUAGAAACAUCCGCGUCAUUCUCUCCUCAUUCUCAACCAAGUGGGACGUAAACCAAGAAAACUCGGCAAACUUAGCUUCGUACUGCGCCAUGGUCAUGUUGUUUUUCUCAAGCUUGAUGAACUCUACCUCCUUCAUGUGACGAAUACUUUCAGGAAAGUACUUGUCGUUGAAUAUCUCUUGGAACUUCUCCCAAGACAUCUUGAGUGUGGCAGGUUGAGUACGCUUUACAGAUUCCCACCAAUAAUCUGCCUCUUCACGCAAUAUAAAGGUGGCAAAUGGAACCUUUUGCUCCUCGGAGCAUCCCAAGACAUCAAAUAUCUUGGUGAUCUUCAUUAUCCACGUCUCCGCCUUAAGUGAUUCUGGCUUUCCCAAAAACUCCGGCAGUCCCAGCUCCUUGAACUGCUUAGCAGUGACCAGCCGUGGGUUGCCAUUGUUUCCACCCGCAUUUUGAACAAGAGUCUCUCUCGCCUGAUGUUGCAUGAAUUACAUAAAGCCUCUGAACAUCUCAUCGUUCAUCAUCUGAUCGGUGUUGUUAUUUACCUGAGGAUUAUUGUCUUCUUGUUGCACAUUAUCCUGGGUAUUGAUCGUUGGUGACUCAACGGUCUCAUGUGCUUCAUUGCUUAUCUCAAUAUUUUCAGAUGCCAUUCUCAAACACUAUCAAAAAACAAGGGUUAAUUAACAUGUCACAUAUUAUCCCUAUACUCUGACCGACCAAUUAAAUACCAAAUAAACCUAGGUAGGCCAUACUAGCGAAGGAAUUCCCCGUCUCUCCCCUCCUAGUUCUUAUCUCACAUCUCAGCCAGGGAUCAUAUCCCUAAGCUUUGAUACCAACUGUGACGCCCCCAAAAUAGGUAUACAUCACCCAUCUUGAGUCGCCAGAUACAUGGUACAUAAAUCAAAUACAAACUUAAUUAUACAACAGUCGUGUAAAAUACGACAAAACAUAGCUAUGAGUUUAAACAAGAAUAUUGUCAUCUAGACAAUAUCCAUACUCAAUGGUGUCCUCAUUAUAAUUAUUAUCACAUUAUUUCAUAGAAUAGUGAGGACUACUAAAGCCAUUUAUCCUGGACCAUCACUACAUUCCCUGACUCGUCCCAGCUAUAUUCUAAUUUCCUGAAGAGAACAAUGAAAGAAAGGGUGAGCUCAACUAGCCCAGUAAGAAAUAUUAUGACUAAAAUAAUGCAGAAUAAAUUAUCCUUAGCCUUCGACAGUAUAACAACUGAUAGAAUACAAUAGACAACAAGUUUUAGAUCAACAACUGCAGCGAAAAUAAGCAAUCCAUUAGAAGAGUCAAGUAGAGCAUAAAAUCUACUAUCUUCUAUGAUUUAAAAAGNNNNNNNNNNNNNNNNNNNNNNNNNNNNNNNNNNNNNNNNNNNNNNNNNNNNNNNNNNNNNNNNNNNNNNNNNNNNNNNNNNNNNNNNNNNNNNNNNNNNNNNNNNNNNNNNNNNNNNNNNNNNNNNNNNNNNNNNNNNNNNNNNNNNNNNNNNNNNNNNNNNNNNNNNNNNNNNNNNNNNNNNNNNNNNNNNNNNNNNNNNNNNNNNNNNNNNNNNNNNNNNNNNNNNNNNNNNNNNNNNNNNNNNNNNNNNNNNNNNNNNNNNNNNNNNNNNNNNNNNNNNNNNNNNNNNNNNNNNNNNNNNNNNNNNNNNNNNNNNNNNNNNNNNNNNNNNNNNNNNNNNNNNNNNNNNNNNNNNNNNNNNNNNNNNNNNNNNNNNNNNNNNNNNNNNNNNNNNNNNNNNNNNNNNNNNNNNNNNNNNNNNNNNNNNNNNNNNNNNNNNNNNNNNNNNNNNNNNNNNNNNNNNNNNNNNNNNNNNNNNNNNNNNNNNNNNNNNNNNNNNNNNNNNNNNNNNNNNNNNNNNNNNNNNNNNNNNNNNNNNNNNNNNNNNNNNNNNNNNNNNNNNNNNNNNNNNNNNNNNNNNNNNNNNNNNNNNNNNNNNNNNNNNNNNNNNNNNNNNNNNNNNNNNNNNNNNNNNNNNNNNNNNNNNNNNNNNNNNNNNNNNNNNNNNNNNNNNNNNNNNNNNNNNNNNNNNNNNNNNNNNNNNNNNNNNNNNNNNNNNNNNNNNNNNNNNNNNNNNNNNNNNNNNNNNNNNNNNNNNNNNNNNNNNNNNNNNNNNNNNNNNNNNNNNNNNNNNNNNNNNNNNNNNNNNNNNNNNNNNNNNNNNNNNNNNNNNNNNNNNNNNNNNNNNNNNNNNNNNNNNNNNNNNNNNNNNNNNNNNNNNNNNNNNNNNNNNNNNNNNNNNNNNNNNNNNNNNNNNNNNNNNNNNNNNNNNNNNNNNNNNNNNNNNNNNNNNNNNNNNNNNNNNNNNNNNNNNNNNNNNNNNNNNNNNNNNNNNNNNNNNNNNNNNNNNNNNNNNNNNNNNNNNNNNNNNNNNNNNNNNNNNNNNNNNNNNNNNNNNNNNNNNNNNNNNNNNNNNNNNNNNNNNNNNNNNNNNNNNNNNNNNNNNNNNNNNNNNNNNNNNNNNNNNNNNNNNNNNNNNNNNNNNNNNNNNNNNNNNNNNNNNNNNNNNNNNNNNNNNNNNNNNNNNNNNNNNNNNNNNNNNNNNNNNNNNNNNNNNNNNNNNNNNNNNNNNNNNNNNNNNNNNNNNNNNNNNNNNNNNNNNNNNNNNNNNNNNNNNNNNNNNNNNNNNNNNNNNNNNNNNNNNNNNNNNNNNNNNNNNNNNNNNNNNNNNNNNNNNNNNNNNNNNNNNNNNNNNNNNNNNNNNNNNNNNNNNNNNNNNNNNNNNNNNNNNNNNNNNNNNNNNNNNNNNNNNNNNNNNNNNNNNNNNNNNNNNNNNNNNNNNNNNNNNNNNNNNNNNNNNNNNNNNNNNNNNNNNNNNNNNNNNNNNNNNNNNNNNNNNNNNNNNNNNNNNNNNNNNNNNNNNNNNNNNNNNNNNNNNNNNNNNNNNNNNNNNNNNNNNNNNNNNNNNNNNNNNNNNNNNNNNNNNNNNNNNNNNNNNNNNNNNNNNNNNNNNNNNNNNNNNNNNNNNNNNNNNNNNNNNNNNNNNNNNNNNNNNNNNNNNNNNNNNNNNNNNNNNNNNNNNNNNNNNNNNNNNNNNNNNNNNNNNNNNNNNNNNNNNNNNNNNNNNNNNNNNNNNNNNNNNNNNNNNNNNNNNNNNNNNNNNNNNNNNNNNNNNNNNNNNNNNNNNNNNNNNNNNNNNNNNNNNNNNNNNNNNNNNNNNNNNNNNNNNNNNNNNNNNNNNNNNNNNNNNNNNNNNNNNNNNNNNNNNNNNNNNNNNNNNNNNNNNNNNNNNNNNNNNNNNNNNNNNNNNNNNNNNNNNNNNNNNNNNNNNNNNNNNNNNNNNNNNNNNNNNNNNNNNNNNNNNNNNNNNNNNNNNNNNNNNNNNNNNNNNNNNNNNNNNNNNNNNNNNNNNNNNNNNNNNNNNNNNNNNNNNNNNNNNNNNNNNNNNNNNNNNNNNNNNNNNNNNNNNNNNNNNNNNNNNNNNNNNNNNNNNNNNNNNNNNNNNNNNNNNNNNNNNNNNNNNNNNNNNNNNNNNNNNNNNNNNNNNNNNNNNNNNNNNNNNNNNNNNNNNNNNNNNNNNNNNNNNNNNNNNNNNNNNNNNNNNNNNNNNNNNNNNNNNNNNNNNNNNNNNNNNNNNNNNNNNNNNNNNNNNNNNNNNNNNNNNNNNNNNNNNNNNNNNNNNNNNNNNNNNNNNNNNNNNNNNNNNNNNNNNNNNNNNNNNNNNNNNNNNNNNNNNNNNNNNNNNNNNNNNNNNNNNNNNNNNNNNNNNNNNNNNNNNNNNNNNNNNNNNNNNNNNNNNNNNNNNNNNNNNNNNNNNNNNNNNNNNNNNNNNNNNNNNNNNNNNNNNNNNNNNNNNNNNNNNNNNNNNNNNNNNNNNNNNNNNNNNNNNNNNNNNNNNNNNNNNNNNNNNNNNNNNNNNNNNNNNNNNNNNNNNNNNNNNNNNNNNNNNNNNNNNNNNNNNNNNNNNNNNNNNNNNNNNNNNNNNNNNNNNNNNNNNNNNNNNNNNNNNNNNNNNNNNNNNNNNNNNNNNNNNNNNNNNNNNNNNNNNNNNNNNNNNNNNNNNNNNNNNNNNNNNNNNNNNNNNNNNNNNNNNNNNNNNNNNNNNNNNNNNCGCUGCGAAUAUUGAUCUAAAACUUGUUGUCCAUUAUAUUUUAUCUGAUUUAUUUAAGGCUAACGAUAAUUUGUUGUACAUUAUCUUAGUCAUAAUAUUCUUUACUGGGCUAGUUGAGCUCACCCUUUUCCUUUUUGUUCCAUUUUUCUUCUCAGGAGGCGAGAAUAUAGCGGGAACUAGCCAGGGUGUGGAGUGAUGUUUCGAGACAGUUGUUUUAGCAGUCCUCACUAUUUUGUAAAAUAGUGCAUCAAUAAUUGUAAUGAUUACUUAUUUUUGAGUUUGGAUAUAUUCUAGAAGACAAUAUUUGUAUUUAAACUCACAUCAUAUGUGUUGUCGUAUUUUGCAUGACAAUUGUAAUAAUGAAGUUGUAGUUAUUUUCUGUACCAUAUUUUUGGUGACCCAAGAUGGGUGAUGUAUACCUAUUUUGGGGGCGUCACAUCCGUGGUGGGGUCCACCAAUGAUUGUGCCGUCGUACGAAUAUUUCCUGUUAAAACGAAUAUUCCCCGACCAAUCGAAUAUUUUAUAACAACUUUCUUACUUUGCAAAAUUUAUAAAUAUUACCCAUAACUAUAACAUUAUAUCAAACACCAUAAUAUUCAAAAAUAUAUUUCGAGAAAAAUUAAUCUUUAUUCAUAAAAGUUGGGGUCUUACACAAUCUAUAUUAGACUUAAUUAAAGUCCAUAUAUCACACUUAAUUAGACCAAUUAAUUAGCCUAAUUUAUAUAAAUAUUAUUAAUAUUCUUACAAGUUUAUCUAUGUAUUCAUCUAAAUUUAUUUAUUAUUAAUUAAAUUUAUUAAUAAUGUUUAUUUAUAUCUCUUCUUCUUCGAUAAGGGAUCGACAAGCCAUUACUUCUAUAACUACUCAAAGUCAGGGCGGUAGUUAGCUACCAGCAAUAACUUUAUAGGGUAAAAUGCAAAAUUAACCACUGAAGUUUAGCAAUUUUUGGAUAUUGAGUCCCUUUCUUUUGGUCAACAGAAAUUGAGCUCCUUUCUAUUCAAAAAUUUGAAAUUUGAGCCAUCAGGCGCCACGUGAGCGUUGACCUGCUGACAUGAGAAUUUUUCAAUUUUAUCCCAAAAAUAUGUCGCUCCACUAAUUCGAACUCAAAACACCCAGUUUGGAACUUUGAUCAUAUGACCACUGAAGUACCACGAGCUUAACUGUUAAUAUUUCGCAAGGAUUAAUCUUUAUAACAAAACAAUUCAUUUCCCACAAAAAAAUUAAAAGACAAAACAGAUCCUUAAUAUUAGCUAAGUCUCAUUUUGUCCUUUAUAUUGACUGGAACUUAUUGACGGAUCAACCUAAAAAUAGAAUACUGCAAAUCAAGGAUUUAUUGACAUCCCAUAUACAUAACAAGCACAAACACAAGCUCUUUGACAACAGUAAAUUGAUUUGAACUAAAACAAAAAAUAAUACAUUAAUCCCAAAGCUUCUUUAAUUAACCAGUUCUUGAAUAGCUCCCACACUUUGUGAAUCGCAAUUCUCUGAAUCUCUCUCCCUCGACGAAGUCGCCCCCUGUUGAACAAAAGCACGGCCGUUGUAAUUUCGACUGAUGAUGGAUUCUUCCGAUAUAGGCCUUUUCAGACCUAGCCCUCUUGAUCUAUCAAAUGAUCUACGAGAGCUCUCCAUUUACAUAGUAAAAAUUCGAUCAACCAAAAAACAUAAAUCAAAGCCCUAAUUUAAUCCCUACUUUAUUACAUAGUAAAAAAUUGAAAAAGAAAAAACUAGAUUUAUGGUAAUUAAAACUAACAAGGAUUUCAUACGAGACUUACAAAUCAGAUACCCUAAUCAUUGCCCUAAUUAUGUAUACACAAAAUCAAGAUUGAUACAAAAGUUCGAUCUUUGAAGACAAAUAUUGUGAAUUGAGGAGAGAGAUGAGAUAUGAUUGACAGAACUCCGAUAUUAGUCUUCAAAUCGAGCUGUCAGUUACUUUUUGACUCUGGUUUCAAAUUAAUUAAGUCUCAUUUCGUAAUCUUUCUCAUUUCGUAAUCUAAAUGAGACUUAGUUAAGUAGAGGUUUAGAAAAAGAGAAAGAUAAAGAGGGAAAUGAAACUUAGCUACUCUGAAGGAUCUGUUUUGUCUUUUAAUUUUUUUGGGAGAAAUGAAUUGUUUCGUUAUAAAGAUUAAUCCUUAUGAAAUAAUAAAAGUUAGGCCUGUAGUGCUUGGGUGGUCAUAUGAUCAAAGUUUGAAAUUGGGUAUUUUGAGUUCGAAUCAGUGAAGCGCUCACGUGGCGCCUGGGGGCUCAAAUUCCAAAUUUUUGAAUAGAAAGUGGCUUAAUUUACAUUAACCAAAAGAAAUGGACUUAAUACCCAAAAAUUUCUAAAGUUCAGUGGUCAAUUUUAUAUUUUACCCUAACUUUAUCAUUAUAGCAAACUAUUUCAUGUUGCUCGGAGGAAAAAAAAAAUAUUAGAAGGAAAAAGGUUUGGCCUAUUAGUACUCGGUAAGUUCUAAACAAACCAAACACAAUUAAUAAUUUUAUUUAUUUACUAAUAAUAGUUUAUAUAACUUAUACGUUAUUAAGGGCUCAAAUUUUAUGGGAGUAGUUAACAUAAAAUUAAUUUUGAUUAAUUGACUAAUAUAGUAUCAACACACAAAUUGAAAAAUAAUCUCUCCUUACGUGUCAACAUUAUAUUAAUUAAUUUAUCAUAAAAAUUUUCAUAAUAAUCAGAUCCAAAUUUUAUAUAUCAAAAAUAGUAUGUCGCGUUGGACCUCUAAAUACUACUACUUUACCCACAUUAAAAGUUAAUAAUCGAAAAAAUCUCUCUCUAUUGUCGUUUUAUUUAUCAUUAUCCAAACACUACUGCUCUACGCACAUUAAACGGUGCUGAGAAGAAACGUUGUCAUUGUCCUUUUUCUGCAUGUGUGAUUGAAGGUAAUUUGGGUCUUAUCAUUAUGUUAGAACUUAUGUUAUUAGCUGCUCAUGUUUAACUUGAGUUUUUUUUUUUUGGUAUUUUGCAAGUCUUGUGGUACUGUCCAAAGAGUAUGGAUUUUUUCCACUUUUAUAAUCAUGUUUUGGGUAUUAAUGAAUUUCAUUUUAUUGAUAAAAAAGAAAAAUAAAAUUUUUCUCUCAAAUUAGUCACAUGCGGAUCACAUUAUUGAAUUACAGAUUUAAACAUAAAUUUAUAAGCAAUAACUCUCUUGACUUUUUAAAAAUAUAUUUAAGUCAUUUUUUUUGUCCAUGUUAGUCUACGAAAAACUACUUAAUAGCUUUAAAAUUAAUAUAAAAAAAAAUUACAAUUAACUCCUACUUCUAUACCACGAAGACAAAGGCAACCAAGUGGAAUAGGCGGGUAAUUUAAUUAACCUAAUUGGCUUUAUAUGUUAAAGCUAAUUAGGUUCCACAAAAACAAUAUUGGAGUAGCAGCUAAUAGUGUGACAGGUGACCAUACAAUGGAUAUUUUUCAAUACGUUUCACUUUCAUGACAGAAAACUUUACGGAUUAAUUAACACACAAAAUAUAAAUAAAAAUAUUUUAUCAGUUUUUUCUUAUUAUAAUUAAAAAAGAACUGGAGACUAUAAAAGGGUAUGCAUGGAAGUCUAGAGAUCACAGAAAACACACACUUCAUUUCUUAAGAAAAAAGUUGUUGAAGUUUGAAGAGAUCAUGAGGGCAAUAUAUAUUAUCAGCAUCAUUAUAGUGAGCUUGAGCAUUUUCUCUUGUGGUGGGAAUGCUCGACUUCUUCCUGCUAAUAGAGAUUAUCCAUGGGCAAUGUUUGCCCUAAGGCUUCAAUGGCCAGCUGGAUUUUACGAGGUCAACAAUGACUGUGAUACAAAGUCUCUCCUCAACACAUUUACCAUUCACGGCCUUUAUCCCUAUAACGCGAAGGGGAUCCCAGUGUUAUAUUGUGACGGAACUGCCUUUGAUGUUAACUCUGUGAGUUCUCUCAGUCUGCAUUUAAUUUACUUCUUAAAAUCCUUGCUCUAUUGUCUAUUAAAUAUGUUUUUUUGUGGUAACAUUUAUAUAUAUCUUGAAGAGUUGGAUAUGUUUGUUUGAUAAAAAAAAUGAAAUUGUACAUGCAAUAUAUAUCCAUACAUACUCACAUAUGUUAAACUAAUUUCUCUCCUCCUUUAUUUUGAAAAUUAACAGGUAUCGGACUUUCAAGCAGAAAUGCAUCUUGCAUGGCCGAGUCAUGAAACUAAUACUGAGGACAAACAAUUCUGGGAACACGAGUGGAAUAAACAUGGAAGGUGCUCAGAAGCUUUGUUGAAGCAGACUGAUUAUUUUAGAACGGCGCUUGCUUUUAGAAAAGCAUUUGAUAUAAUUGGGCUACUAAACCAGGAAGGUAAACAUACCCAUUGAUAUAUAAUUAAAUAGUCUUUAAUUUGGUUCAUUAAUUGCUUCCUAAGGGAACUACGUACUUAAUUUAGAUUUUGUGGAUGAUUAAUUGAUAAUGUGAGUUUGAUGAGAUUACUAUUCAAAAAUGUGUAGGGAUUUACCCGAAUAACGACCUUUAUCGUCCUAAAAUGAUAAAAGAAGCAAUCAAAAAGCACUUGAAUGCUGUGCCAGAAAUCGAUUUCACCAAAAACGAAAACUCAGAAUAUGUGCUUACGGAUAUUAAUCUAUGUGUGAACCAACAAGCAACAAGGUUCGUAGAUUGCCCUACCGAUGACGCUACUGAUGACUACCGCCUCAAAUUCGUAAGACUACCUUCUAAAAUGAAAAUUGCGGAUCCGAGGACCAAUUCUAUAAUAUAGCACAAAUGGUACGGCUACAAAAUGGACUACUAUCUUGUUUAAUUAAUGCUUUUGGGAGUAUAUAUUAUCUAUGUAAAAUAGUUAUGAGUGCUAGGGUUGGCUAAUUAGUACUAUGAGGCCAACCUUUAGUAUCUCUUGAAUAAUGUCCAUGUAGCAAAAGUUUAUAGCACUCUGGCCUUGGUGUGUAUGGAUAAUUAUAAUAAAUGACUACUUUUAUCUGCAAAAAAAAAUAAAAUCCAAGUAUUUUCUUUUGUUUUUAUUUUUGAUAAGAAUUUAAUUUUAUGUAGUUUGAUGGCAUAGUUUAUCUAGGAAGCUGAUAUUUUCACAUGUUAAAAUGAUAUUUUCAAACGAGUCUCUCACAAUAUGGAUGUGGGACUUGCUCACUAUUCAUGUGAGAGGGAUUAUGUGAAAAUAUCAAAUUUUUAUGUGAAAAUAUUAGCUCCCUUUAUCUAUUAUAAUGGUGAAACAUGACUUUUUGAUAUUUUUCACAUGAAAAUCGUCGCUAUAGAUCCUUUAGUAGUGGUUUUUACUGUCGCUAUACAUCUCUAUAGCUACAUUUUUUAUAUAAAAAUAUCAAAAAAAUAUGUGGAAAUAUCAAGCAUGCAUGCAUCGUACCAGAAAACAUUUAAAGGGACACUUCAAAGGGAUUUCAGACAAAAAAUAAAACCAAAAAUAAAUGAUUUCAUCACAAUUUUGUUUUCAAGUAUUGUCGCAAAUCAGUGGUCACUAAAAAAAAAAAGGAAAAUAUAUUUGUCGCAAUCUAUAAAACAUGACUGAAAACAGGGGCGAAGCCACAGUUCAGGAUGUGUGGUCAAUUGAUUUCAUUGAAAAAUAUAUAUUUUAUAAUAUAUGAUAAAUUUAAAGAAUAUUUAAGUGUAAUAAAUAAAUUGACUUCAUUGAAAUUUUAUAACCUUUUUAAUAUACGGUGUUAAAUUGAAUUUUUUAUAACUUUCUCAAUUCUAUAUUAUUUCUACUCCUUGAUGUAUGCUUAUUUCUCUAAUAUUUUUAAAAUAAAUAAUAAUUUAAUUUAUAUUAUUUUUAUAUCAUAAGAAAUUUAAAUAUUUAUUAACAAAUUUAUGAUUAAAAAACGUAUUAGGGGUCAAUAAGGAGUUUUUUUGUGUGUGUGUGUGUGUGUGUGUGUAUAUAUAUAUACAUGUUGUUUCAUUUUAUGUCUUUAGGUUUAGUUUAUCAGGAUACUAGGUAGAUUAUUUCAUUUGGGUCUCUCUUGAGCCUUAAUUUUAGGUUGCCCUCUUUUAUAAAGAGGAUGAUUCGAUUUCAACUGCUGACAUCUGUACCAGUUGGUUCAUGGACAAGUUUCUUUUGAUAAGUUAGUAUCAUGGACAAAUAUAAAUAAUAAUUAACUGUUACAAUGAAAAUUAAACUUCAAUUAAGUCUAGGCCAUUCAUACAUUGAAAAAAGCUUCUUGAAUAGGUUAGAGAGUUUGUGAAAUAUUUUUUUAGUUUGCUUAACCCUUUGAAAAGCGGUUGUGGUAAGAACAAAUAUUGAUAAGUUAUUGAAACACCGCUUUUCAAAGGGUUAAGCAAACUAAAAAAAUAUUUCACAAACUCUCUAACCUAUUCAAGAAGCUUUUUUCAAUGUAUGAAUGGCCUAGACUUAAUUGAAGUUUAAUUUUCAUUAUAACAGUUAAUCAUUAUUUAUACUUGUCCAUGAUACUAACUUAUCAAAAGAAACUUGUCCAUAAACCAACUGGUACAGAUGUCAGCAGUUGAAACCGAAUCAUCCCCUUUAUAAAAGAGGGCAACCUAAAAUUAAGGCUCAAGAGAGACCCAAAUGAAAUAAUCUACCUAGUAUCCUGGUAAACUAAACCUAAAGACAUAAAAUGCAGUAACAUAUGUACAUGAAGGACAUAUUGAAACACUGCUUUUUUUUUCUUUUUUGAUAAGUUAUUAAAACACCGCUUUUCAAAGGGUAAGCAAACUUGAUACAGGAAGAGAAGUAACCCUUUGAGCAGCAGGAACCCAUCUGGGUGGAGGCGAAUCCAACAAUCAACUCAGAAUUACAAAAUCCUAUACAAUAAGAUUACACACAAACUCUAAAUUUCAUUCAUUUAGUUAGAAAAUUAGAAAAUACCUUGGGAGACGACGAACUUGCUUUCGAAUUCGUCCGGCGAACUUGCUUUCGAAUUCGUCCGACGAGAUGCUUGGAUUUGCGAUUGAGAAUGAGCCAGAUUUCGUCUGGCGAGAUGCUUGGAUUCGCGAUUGAGAAUGAGCAAGAUGGUCUCUGUCCUUUUUUUGACCCGAAAAGGAUCCGCGGCUAUUUUUUCCCAAAAGGUCUGUGUCUUUUCCUCGCCGUUGGAUGUAUCUCACGAUUAGUAUGAAAAGUUCGUAUUUUUGGCAACAUCCGGGCGCCCGGACCAGAUCGUUUCUGUAUAUGUAUGUAUGUAUAUAUAUAUAUAUAUAUAUAUAUAUAUAUAUAUAUAUAUAUGCGUUGUGAGAUCUGUGGUAUUGUGUUGCAUGGGGUAAUAUAAACUAUGCAAUAAGUGAUUUCUGUGUUUAAUAAAUAUAUUAUUAUAUAUUUGUUAUUUAUUGAAGAGGCAAGUUAUUUGAAGUAAAGAAGAUGGAUAAAAAUUUAUCGAUAUUAAAUAAUUUAUGUGAAAUUAUUUUAUCGUAGUAAGUUGGUGACAUUAAAUAUAUUUGAUAAUCACCAAUUUCUUUAGUAUAUGUAUGAGUAAGUAUCACGUCUAAGGCAGUGCAACCGUACCCUUUAAUGGUGGUUGUGUAGGAGCUGGGCUAACUGAUUCCUUCAGAGAGCGGAGAUAUAUACAAAUUAGUAACCGAUCUAACUUACUGUGAAAACAGUGUAGACGAGAAGGAAAGUAAUUUGUUGGUUAUUUGUGGGAAACCACUCAGUGUACUAUAUUGAAUACUAUUAAAGACUCGAUGUGUGUUAGGUUUAGACUUGUAUAUAUAUACGUUAUUGACGAGAGAAGAAAAUCGAUAUAUCUUUAGAUAAAUAUUGGUUAGAGAUUUAUUGAUUAAUAUUGAGAUAUGAUUAAAUGUAUAGAUUAAAGAAAUUGUGUUGAGACAAUUUAUAGAAAGGAAAGAGAAAUAAUUAUAGUAUAUUUCUAAUAAAGGAUAUUAAAAUAAAUUCUAGCAUUUGAUUAUUUUAAUAAUAAUGGGGAAUAUUAUUUUGAAAUUACCUUAUAGGUAAUGUGUGUGAUUAAGUAAUAUGGUAAAUAUAUUAAAACAUAUUUGCUAUAUAAGUUGAUGGAAACAAUUUAUCAUAAUAGGAAAUAAACUUAUUUUCUAUAUAUAGUGUGUACGUGUGUCGUGCAUGUAAAUAUUUUAAUAAUACAUAGAUAUUAUAUUAACAAUAAUAUCUUGAGAAAAUGAGUAAAUCGUUUUAUUAUGAUUAGUUCCUAUAUUUAGAGAAAACAUGAUAAAAUCAUCGUAUGUUAUGUUAUGGCGAAAUACAUAAUUUUGAUUGUAGUAAUGUAUUUCCAAGAAGGUUAAAGUUAAAAGAAAACUAAGUUAUUCUAAUAACUUGAGUUAUUAUAUUACCGCGAAUGUUAUAAAGAAUAUUUAAAUAUCUUCAUUCACGAUAUAUUUAUAUAUGUGAAUCUUGUGAUAUAAUAGUUCGAUGUAAAUUGAACAUAUUAUAAAUAGUAAGGUUCGUGGUAAAUGAAUAAGUAAUGAGAAUGAGGAUAAGCUUAAUGUAAGCUUGUGAGAUAUGCCUAGUGUGGUAAAGUGAUGGAAUAAACAUUCAUUAAAUAAUUUAAUGAAUGAAUAAUUGAAGGAAUUAAAUUGUAUGUGCAAUGAUUAUAUAUUAUAUAGUAACUACAUCUAUAUGAUAUGAAAUGAAGUGUGACACUUCAAUGGUAACUAUAUAAUAUAUGAAGUAUUUGAAUACAUAUGUAUAAAGACUAGUAUGCUAGCAUUAUGUACAAGUGAGAUAAUAAAUGUAAUAUGGUACAAUAGACCACUUCCAUGACCAUAUUAUAAGAUGUAAUGUUAAGAAUAAUAUUAUUUUGUGAGAUUAUUUUAUUAUAAGCUUGUGGACUAUUAAUUACUAAGUUCACAUAAUUAUGUCUUGUGUGGCAUAACUAGUGAAGUUAAAUCAAAGGGAGAAUUAAUGGAAAGUAUUAAAAGAAAAUAAAUGGUGAGUUAAUAAAUAAUUGAUAUUAAUUAUCAUUAUGAUAAUUGAGGGUAUUUGAGGUAAUAAAGUUUAUGGAAAAUGAUGGAUUGAGAAUAUCCAACUAUUUUAUAUUUAGCCCAAUAAAAAUAUUAAUUGAAAUAAACCAAUGUACAUAGAUUAUAUAAAUUCUAUGUGUAAUGUAUAAGUGAGUGUAUAUGUAUGAUCAUUUUUGGACAAAUAUCAAAUAAACCUAAGUAUGCUAAUAGUAAUACAAAAUGUUGAGUUUUAAGGGUAGUGUCCCAAAUUGUGUGUCAUUUCUCCAUACACGUGAAAUGCAAAAAGGAUAGCUAGCUAGCUUGCUUCUUCUUCUCCAAAAUCCAUAGCUUCCAAAUGAUGAAAAGGGGAGUGAGUUGAUUUGAUUUUCCACCAACUUCUCAUGAACCAUUAGUUUCUUCUUCAUUCCAUUGAGCAAAGUUCCAAUGUUGGUCAAAAAGUUUUCCUAUAAAUGAAGCAAGUUUCAUUCUUGUACUUCUUGUUGAUCACUCUGUGAAGUUCAAAAAUUUGUGUGUGUGAGUGUUGUUGAGUUGGAGAGGAAACUUGAGAUUGAAAGCAAAGAGUUUACUUCACAACUUUAGAAGGUAAUAUCCCUCUAUAUGUUAUUGAAUUCAAGUUUUGCAAAGUUCUUAAAAAAGUACUAAAAUACUUGUUUUGAGUUGAAAAGUUUAUGGUUGAAGCAUGAUAAAGUGUGUCAAUUGAUGCUAGACACUGAUAAUAUAGUCAUAUGCGAAAACAGCGAGAGUUAAACGGACCAAUUUGGUUUAGAAACGAAUUCGUAGUGAAUGAAUUCACUAAACUUUUCAAAACAUGAAAAUUAGUAUGAACAUGAGUUUUGGAUUAAGAAUUAGGUUAGUUAGGGUUUCUGUAAAUUGUUAUAAUUCUAGUAUGUUGUAGUUCUAUGAAUUACGAAUCCAUAGAAUCAAAAACGGACUAAUUUGGACAUGUAUAACUCAAAUUAUGAAGGUUAGAAAGAGGUUUGGCAUGAUAUCUCGUAGCAGGGGAAAUGAAAAUUUUCAAUUUCAACAGCUAUGCCCGCCCCGGCGGGGGUCUUGCUGUGAAAAAGGCCCGCCCCGGCGGAAGAGGUGGGGGGGGNNNNNNNNNNNNNNNNNNNNNNNNNNNNNNNNNNNNNNNNNNNNNNNNNNNNNNNNNNNNNNNNNNNNNNNNNNNNNNNNNNNNNNNNNNNNNNNNNNNNNNNNNNNNNNNNNNNNNNNNNNNNNNNNNNNNNNNNNNNNNNNNNNNNNNNNNNNNNNNNNNNNNNNNNNNNNNNNNNNNNNNNNNNNNNNNNNNNNNNNNNNNNNNNNNNNNNNNNNNNNNNNNNNNNNNNNNNNNNNNNNNNNNNNNNNNNNNNNNNNNNNNNNNNNNNNNNNNNNNNNNNNNNNNNNNNNNNNNNNNNNNNNNNNNNNNNNNNNNNNNNNNNNNNNNNNNNNNNNNNNNNNNNNNNNNNNNNNNNNNNNNNNNNNNNNNNNNNNNNNNNNNNNNNNNNNNNNNNNNNNNNNNNNNNNNNNNNNNNNNNNNNNNNNNNNNNNNNNNNNNNNNGUGUCCUGCAAUGACUUAUUUUAUCUGUUUUGGUAAAACGGAUAUAACGUUUUCAUACAAACUCCGAUUGAGGAGAUUCAAGAUGAUCCGGAACGAGAAUGAAUAGACCCUCAACUUUUGUUCUUUACAUUUUUCAUUUUGAGGUUGUUAGAAUGGGUCAAAACAGUCAUCUUUGUGACUGUUACGUAUAUGUUAUUCUAAGUUAUUAAACAUAAAUAUGUAUGAUAAUAGACAUGUCAUAUAGCUAAGAUUUCUUUACUCAUAAUGAAAUGCGUUAACAUGAUUUUCUAAAAAACACUUAAAAGUUUUUGAGAAACGAAAGUUGAUGAAAUUGGUGUCCAUUGAGUUCUGAGCUUGGACCCUAUGUACGCAUAUCAAUGGACAUGAAAUUUAGUUUUAAAGUUACCUUGCAUAUACUAGAUUGAUAUAGCUUGGUUUAAAGUGUUUUGAAAGAAAAACUUGAAGUUUUGAAAAUGAAACUUGACGAACUUUGUGUCUUUUAAGCUUCGACUUUGGGAACAUGUGAUUGUGGCCUAGUUAUGCGUGUGGAUGGACAAGGAAUGUAAUUUCAAGAUAUAUUGCACAUAAAAGGUUGUCAAGCUCGGUUUAGUAUGUGUUUUAAAUUUUUUUUAAAAGUUUUAGAAACUAACUUUGAUGAGCAUUGUAUUACUUGCAUUAUGACCUUAUAAGCAAGCAUGAUAGAGUUGUCUAUGACUUUGAACAUGAAUGAUAUGUGCACUCAACUAGUCAAGCAUGACCUAAGUUAUUUAAGCAUGUUUUAAAAGUAUGAACUAUGCUAUGUCUAUGUAAAUGAGAUAGAUACAUGUGAUCAUGCUAUUAGAGGCUUAUUAGUACCAAUAUAUAGUUUAAAAGCUUAUAACAUUGAAUCUUGUUAAAGAAAGUUGUUAAGCCUUAUUGAUUAAAAUAAAUCAUUAUGGAGCUAAGUAGUUUGAAUAUGAACUUGAAAAUAGAUCACAACCUAUUUAAUGUCAAGUACGGAUGGUUAAGAUAUACUUAUACAUGCCUAGCUAUUCAAAGAUUAGGAAGAGAAAGUGAAAUGAAGGUUUUACAAACCUAGUUAGGAAACGAUAUAAUAUUUAUUAUUAUAUUAAGAGCAUAUGAAAUGUAUGACUGAUGGAUAUGAAUCCAUGAUUAUAUAACUAUGUAGGAAUACACGCAGUGCAGAUAAGCUUUAAGCAGUUAAGUCAUAGUUGAUAAACUAUGAAUCAGGGUCUUUCAGUUCUUAUUUGAUAUAUGAAUUUGAUAAUUGUUAGUUGAGCUAUAUUAUGCUAUGAGAAUGUUGAUGUAUAUAUAUGAAAUGCAUAUGAGAUAUGUAUGAAAUUGAAAGUUGAUCUUUGAUGAUAUGCUUGUGAAGUAAAUGUCUAUGCCUGUUAUGUGAGAAGUAACAUGUGUAGUAAAUAUUAAUUGAUUAUGAAUGCAUGAACUGAGUAUGUUAUUAUAUGCUAUGUGCUGCAUGAAAACUGUUAGAAUUGCUGGGUUGUCGAGCUCACCCUUGCAAAUAACCACUUUUACAGGUUAAGGACUCACGAUAAAGAUUACGUGCUACUUGAUACAUAAAGUUCAAUAGCAUCAAAGGAGAUUUAUUUAUUUAUUUAAAUAUAUGACCUUGAACCAUGUUUAGGUUCUAGGAGAUGUACAUAAUAGUAGUUUACGAUAAGUAAUACAUGUUAAGUUGUACUAUGUGAUACAUAGAGGAAUUCGAAUCGAGAUGUAAAGAUUUUUACAGUAAUUCGAAUAGAAUGAAUCAUAACAUAAUUUGAUUCAAGGAGAUCUAAUUGAUUCAAGUUAAGACAUCAAUAAAAGAUUUUUUUUAAGAGAUUGAAAAAGUUUAAAUUAUUCUGCAUAUUUUUAUAACAUCGAAUAUGAUAUAAGACAAGAAUGGUAAAUGACCAAGAUUAGAAACUUAUAAAAGUUUGGGGUCAUUACACAGAUCCUGGCAAUAGAAAGAAUUUAUUUUCUAAAUUGUAAUAAGCUAAGUUAUAUUCAUUAAGUUAUGAAUAAAAGAUAUAAAUAGUUUGACGAUAGUAGUAUCAUGGCGGACUGGAUCCGAGGUUCGAAGGGACCCGGAUUUGGGGGCGUCACAAUCACUAUUCAAAUACAUACAUAUAUCACCUGCUUAAUAUUGUAUACAUUCUUCAUUUAUUCCACACGUGUCUCAUAAAAAAUAAUAGAAACAUCCAUUCAUUCUUCUAUAGGCCUUAACCUCACAUAUUCAACAUUUGCCUAUAAUAUAAAUUAGGAUUACUUGAGAUUUCACGUAUAUGAAAUUACAUAUUUUCACAUCUCGACUCUUUACACAAUUUAAUACUUCAUAAUAUCAUAACGUAUCUUAUAUUAUUACAAAAAAUUAAUACAACAUCCUAAUCUAUUACAUCAACAUUAUUCAUUCUUUCUAACAACCGUUUCUUUCUCUUUUAUCUAUAUCUUUUGGACCCUUUUGAUCCUUCUGCCUUUUCUAAAAAUUUGAAAUAAAAUGCAAGAGCGAACAACAGAUUUGCUUAACAAGUUUAAAAAUAGUUUAGAAUAAUAAGCACAAGUAUAAAUCCCAGUCACUGAAUUAACAUUACAGAUAAUAAUCUUAAAAAUUCUGAAACACUCAGCAUCAACAACGUAGCAUAACAAAAUGUCACUACAGGAAAAAGACUUAUCUAUAACCACCUAUUAGUGACUGUACUUGGUCGCAGAUGCAUAUCAGCGAUUGAAUGCGGUCGCUGAUAAUAGUCACAUAUAAUCUGGCCGUUGUGUGGAUCCCAACGACCACUAUUAGUGACCGAUAUAUCAGCGACCGCCCUAUAGCGACCGAUGUCGUCGCUAACCUGAGUCACUGUGAGUCAGGUCUCAGGGGUGACGUGGCCCAAUUUUUGCGACCAACAUUAUCGAUCGACGUGGUCACUAAAAACCUCAAGUCAUUUUUUAGCGGUCGCUGAUACGUAUUAGUGACCGCCUGCGGUUGUUGAUACUUAAAUUUUUUUUUUUAAAAAAAGAUUGUUUUGGGGAUUUAAUUCCCUACACAUAUUAGUGUCUAUUUGUACCUGCUUUAUAUCUUAAAACACAGCUGUAUCAAUAAAUAAACCAACAUCCAUACAAAUACAUCGAUCCAUAUAUAUACACAUCCACACAUGUAUAAACAUAUAUAAACAAAUACCAUCCGACUAAAUUUUUUAUACAAAUAAAAUGUCAUAACAUACAAUAUAAACUCCGUACAUUCAUUCGGUAAAAAAAGAAUAAUACAAAUGUUCACAUAAAAGAGAAGAGAACAAUACAAAUGUCUGCAUGCAUCAAAUAUCGUCCAAAUGAAGUUGUAACAAAAUAUGUUAAAUAUAAAGUAUACAUGUUGAUACUGGCGUGACUUAUGCAAAGCAAAAAAUGACCAUUUAUGAUGUAUUACAAUAACAAAAAGCUAAACAUAAAUAAAAAACUAAACAUGUAUUAUUGAAUGUAAAACUAAACUAAGCAUCAAAGCUAAACAUAAAGGUAAACAAUGACAAGAUUACCUCGACAUCAUUAGCAUGUUGUUAUGAUGUUUUCACCACUACAUAAGCUAACUCUUUAGGACUCAGAGAUUGUAAAUAUCCGCCAAUUAUAAAGUCGGUCGUCGUUAAUAAAGCUUGUCCCCAAUACUCCUUGAGAAGUGUAAUCUAGUUAUGGCUCACCUCUCCAUGAAAUCAAGAAACAUCCUCGGUUUGAAAGCCCUAUGCAUUUCAGUUGUUACUCCUGUUUUUGCAAAAUCAACUGCCAUAGAGUGAAGGGUUGCCAACUGAAGAUAUUUUUUACUCAUAACUUUAUUUGACUCAAGGUCUGUAUGUACCAAAUGUGCAAUAGAGAUUGUACCUAAGGUAUCAUUAAUCAGAUAAUUAAUUAACAGAGAACUUUUGAAUUUCCUGCAAAAUUAGACUUAUUGGAAAAUCUCAGACUAUUAUGAACAUAAAUAAAAUAAAAUUUAGCUUUAAACUACCUCUAAUGUCAUAUCAUGAUCCAUCAAGCGUGGUCUUCGUCUAGUAUAGUUCAUGGGGGGGGGGGUACAGUUCAACGUGGGAUGAGAUUAUCAUCCCAACUUAUGAAAUUGAGCUCAACCAUAUAGACCUAGCUCUUCCAUUCCCAAAUCAACUGCUACAGUUCAUUGUAAUUGAACUAAUUAAGGAAGUAACAGUUCAAUAGAUAGAGAGGAAAAGCGGGCCAGGACUGGAAACUGGAAGGGAGUUAAUGAGAAUACAAAGUGUCACCAUUCUUAGAUGUUUCUUUUGCAUUUUUUGUGUAUAGACAAAUAUAUAAAAAUAAAUGUGGCUAUUUUUCAAUACACUCAUUAUUUCUUGAUGUAAAUCAUAUAUUCUCGAUGCAGAAGAUCAACUAGACACUUUCUAUGACGCCCCUAAAAUUAGUCCACACAACCCAUUUUGGGUCGCCAAAUACACACUACAGAAUCUAAAUACAAAUCUUUCAAUUUAUAACUAUUAAAAUGUUGUGUAAAAUACAACAACACAUAAACUGGGAGUUUCAAUAAAAAUAACAGUACUCACACUCCAAACUAAUGAUACUUUACAUAAGGGUAAAAUGCAAAGCAAAUCUGACGUCAGCAUUUUUUAUUUUAUUUUACAUAGUGGACAGGCUGACAUGGCAAAUAUUGAAUUUACCUAGCAAAAAUUAUGUUUGCUGCCAAGAUUUGAACUUGAGACCUCUAGCUUAAAACUUGAACCCAAUAACCAACUAAGCAAACAAGACUAGUUGUUAUAAUUUUGCAAGGAUUAAUAUUUAUAACUGAACAAAUUAUUUUCCCCAAUAAUAACAACAACAACAACAACAACAACAACAACAACAAUAAUAAUAAUAAUAAUAACAAUAAUAAUAAUAAUAAUAAUAAUAACAAUAAUAAUAAUAAUAAUAAUAAUAACAAUAAUAAUAAUAAUAAUAAUAACAAUAAUAAUAAUAAUAAUAACAACAAUGAUAAUAAUGAUGAUGAUAAUAAUAAUAAUAAUGAUAAUGAUAAUAACAAUAAUAAUAAUAAUAAUAAUAACAACAACAACAACAACAACAACAACAACAACAACAACAAUAAUAAUAAUAAUAAUAAUAAUAAUAAUAAUAAUAAUAAAAGACGUUAUUAAAGACAUCAAAGACUCCUACAAAGACAUCGGAUUAUUAUUCAAAUUAUAAUCCAUCAAAGACAUCAGGAAUAGUGGGGAUGUUUAUUCAAAUUUUAUUUUUAUUUUAUUAUUAUUAUUAUUAUUAUUAUUAUUUUGAAAAACUCCUACAAGAUCUGUUAGUUAUAAUCAGUCCAGAACAGAUCCAAAAUUCAGCCAAAAAUCCCACAACAUUUAUAUGAUUCAAAAUCCCACAACAUUUAUAUAAUCCAAGGACAGAGUAACAGUUUUAUAGAUCUAGAUCUAUAUCAACUAAACCCAUAACAGACUAAAUUAACACUCAAAAUAAGAUCUAGGCCUCCGUCGACUACUCCGUUACCAAAAGAAUCGCCGGCGAAACGACGUCCCACAAGAUCCGCCUCUUUCAUCUUUCAUCUUCCUCUCCAAUCCCAAUUAAAUUGAAAAUACAAAACAUUAAUUAAAUUAAAAGGAAAAAAAUAGCCUUCAUCAGAAUCCACCUCUUUCAUCUUCCUGGAUGGUGUUUUCAGUUCAGUCUUGUCCAUCACCUGUGGAAAGAAAAAAUAAUAAAGAGAAGAGAAAGGCACUAGUGGUCCGGUUAAGAACACGUGAUUAAUGACUGCUACAACAUCUCUGACGAACUUCACAAGAUUUUCUCCUAUAUGUUCACCUGUAAAUGAGAAACUCUACUUAUGUUUCGAUUGUCAUAAUAUUUUGAAAUUGUACAAGUAAUUGAUGAAUUCUCGGUCGAAUUCGACUUGGGGUUUUGUUCAACCAUUUUCAAACUUACUAAAUCUCCCCUUUUAUUUUAUUAUAAUUGUUUGUAAGCUUUUAUAAUUGUUUGUAAACUUUUAUAAUUUGUUUUAUAAUUUCUGGAAAUGUCUAAUAUUUUGAAUAUGGGAUAUUUUUAAGUUUUAAUUUUAAGCUUAUUUUUAAAUAUAUUCUUUUUAAAUUUGUAAAUUAGUUUUAAUUUAAAAUUUUUAAUUUUAAUCUAUAAAUUUGCUAAUGUUAAUUGUUUAAUUUUUUAAUUAAUGUUGAUUGUUUAAUUUGUUAUCCUUUUAAUAUUAUGUCGAGGGAAAUGAACUGAUUUAGUAUAAAUCUUAAUUCUUUUGUUAAAAUAAUUGAAAGUUUUAUGUAGCUCAGGUGGUUUAAUGGUCAAAGUUUCAAAAUUGAGAUUUUGGGUUCGAUUCUUGGGGAACUAAGUUUUUUAACAAUUAAUUGAAAAAUGCAUAGAUAAGUAGCUCCACAUGACAAAAAUAUCCACGUCAUCGGUGCCACGUGUGCCACGUAGGCAGGUCAACGCACCUGGGGGCUCAAUAUCCAAAUUUUCAAACAGAAAAAGGGCUCAAUUUGCGUUGACAAAAAAAAAAGGGCUCAAUACCCAAAAACACCUAAAGUUCAGUGAUCACAUUUGCAUUUACAUAAAGGUACAAUCAAUAUAACGAUCGAGAAAUUUGAAAUUUAAUUUUAAUAUUUAUGGAAUUAAAUAAAUAUUUAAAAUUAUUGAGGAAAAUAAAUAUUUGAUGAAUUGUCAUAAAUUAAUUUAGUAGCUAAAUUAAUUAAUGUUAAUUGAAUCGAGUAAUGAUAAUUUUAUUUGUUGGAUUUAAUUUAAGGAGAUAAUUAAAUUAAAUCAAUUGCUUAAUAUUUAAGAAAUUAGUUAAAUUAAAUGAAUUGUUUAAUUUAAAGGAAAUAAAUAAAUUAAAUAUAGUGAUGUGUCUAAUUUAUUAAUUAAAUUAGAUAUAUAAUUAUUUAUUAAUGAUAAUAAGAUUUUUAUUAUUAGUAUUAUAAGUUAUUUAAAUUAACUAAACUAAGUUAUUUAAAUUAAUUAACUAAAAGUGUGAUAUAAAACUAUGUAAUAUAAAUGUUAUUAAAAUAAUUUAGUUUGGGGAAAGUUGGUUAGCCAAACCAGGCCUUAUGGCCUUUGGCAUUAUUCCAACUGACGAGUCUUUUUAUUUUUCUAACGUAAGGGAACGUGGGAGCAGCUAGCUUAUAUUUUUCCUACGCAUAUUAUUUUCUAAGGCUAGCAUUCAGUUUCUUUUAUUAUUCACGUAUUUGACUAAGGAGGAAGAGCAGAGUUGAGAGAAAAGAGAGAGCGUAAGAAUUGAGAGAGAAGAAGAAUUACAAGGAACUUGAGAGAUUGAGAGGAAACCUAAGCAAUUUCAGUGUUAACAAGGGUUAAACAUAUUGAAGGUAUUCUAUCUAACCCUUGUAUUAUAUAUAUAUAUAUAUAUAUAUAUAUAUAUAUAUAUAUAUGAACUUACGGCAAAUUUGUUAUGUUUUGUUAAUUGUAAUUCUUUCAAAAUUGUUGUGUAACUAAAGUAUGGUGGAUGUGUGGUAUAAUGCUAGAGUUUAUGUUUAAAACGAGAAGUUUGUAUGCUAAAUUCGUUGACAGUAGGAAGAAAAUUUUGACAGUAUAUGUGUUUCAUAUGGUUCAUGGAAAAGUAUUAAUUUUGAUGGCCAAUUCUUAUGUUAAACUAUAAAUUUAAGCUUGUAUAUGUUAGUUCGUUGAGAUACGAGCAUAACGUAAUUUGAAGGAGGUGAUUUGGUCAAAUAAUGAAUUCACAGUGAUGAUUUUUGGGAUAGACUAUCAAAAAUGGAGUUUUAUAUAAAAAACAUGAAAAUUGAGAAAUUAAAAUAGUUUUAGUUGUUGUUAAUUUGUGCUAAGUGGUUGAAUAUGUUAGCAAUCAUGUUUAUGAUAGUUGUAUAUUUAUUUUUCAUGUUGUUAUCACCGUUUGAUGGAUGAAAUUGGUGUUUGUUGGGCUAAAGUCGGCUACUGUUCAUUAGCCUUCUCUGCGUCUGUCUGAACACCGACGCAACUGCGCCGGUGCCAAGGCAAAAAACGACGCAGCUGCGCCGGUCCCAGGCUUAAGUAUGGCGCAGCUGUGCCAUACCCUGGUCUGAGACAGUGAAGUCUGCUUAUUUGCAGAUCAUGUGUAAUGGACUUAUAUUAGUUUAGCAUGCAUGUUAAUGAUGUUGAGGCAUAAUAUAAACUACAAUAACAGAUUGUCAUGCGUUGUUAUAUAAAGUGUAAAAGAAUUUAAGUGAUUACUUGAAUAAGUUUUGUAAUGAACCAAAUGUGACGUUUUCAAAAGUUAAAUAUAAAUGAUAAGGUUUAUAGUGUGAUUGCAGAAUUGUUAAGGUGUUAACCAACGUGGUUAGGUGCUAGGUUAGGGUUAUGACCUAAAUGUUGGUUUAAACCCUAAAAGCUAAUAUUCAUACAAUUAAUUGUUGUUGUGAUUUCAAUGAUAUGUGUAGGGUAAUUGGAGAUUAUCUUACAUUUGUGUAGCUUACAAAAAAGGCAAGUUUUCUAACUCUACCUUGUUAUUAUUGAGCAAGUUCUUAAAUCUUAACUCUUUACAUUGAGCAAAACUUUCUAACUUCAUUAUUUUCAUAUUAAAUGCAAGUUUCCAUUCCUAAAUUAUUAUUGUGCAAGUUCCUAACAUUCUUUAUGAAGUUGAGCAAGCUUAACCUAUCUUGCGUAUGUUUGUACAAGCUUAUAUAACCUAAUUCGUUACGUUGAGCGAGAUUUAGUUUCCUAAUUAUUAUUUAAAGCAUAUAUUGUUCUAAAACAUUGAUUCAAGGGAGAUUGUUUUAACUCUUCUAUAGCGCUUUGCAUGUAUAUCAUGUUUACUCAAUUAUAUAUUAUUGUUAUUCAAUAUUUGACUUUGAUAACCUUGUUCAAAGCUUUAUCGUUGUAUUAAACCUUCAAUUAGUAAGAAAACAUUUAUUAAUUGAAUUAAUCUAUAUUCGAAUAGUGUUCUAAAAUUCUAGAAACACUGAUAAGCUAGUUCCAAACUAAACUUUCUUUAGUGCGGAAAUUCUAAAUCCAAACUGAGACGAACAACCCUAACAUAGGGGAUUUUGUACGUGUAACAUUUAGAUGUUUGUACACAAUACAUGGUACAAAGGGCUGAUCCCCCUAAGUACGUUAAGAAGGGUCCGUAUAGUCUAAAUGACUGUUAAGGUUGGGUAAUAAUACCUAAGUACCGGGGACAUAGUCCAUGGUCUUAAGACCCUCAGAUAAUUAAAGUUCGAACUUUUUUUCUAGUUUGAUUUGUAGAACAAAUUCCUUAUUGUUCAGCUUUUGUUGUUCACUCUCAUGUUACUACCAUUGCUACUUUCUAUAUUAGUGAGCAUUUGUUUGCUCACUCUUGCAAUUAACACUGUAGCUAAAGUGGAGAAAGUUGAUGAGUCAUCGACUAGCAAAGGCAAGGGCAAGAUGUCCAAAUGAUGAAGACUUAUGAGAAUUUUAUUUUAAUGAAUUAUGUUAAAGACUUGUUUUAAUAUGUGAUGUAUUCCGCAAACUUAUGUAAUAAUUUUAAGGUUAGAUUAUCUGGGAUUUAUUUUGAGAUGAUGAUGUAACCCUUUAAUGGGGAAAAUUAUUGUUUAAGUUAUUUAAAAUUAUGUCUUUAUCCUUUAUUAUGGGUAGUUAGAUGUAAUAGUUUGUGAUAAGUGAGCACCAAAUCCUGUGGGAAUGGAGUACCUGGAUUUGGGGGUGUCACAAUCAAUAACUAUUUUAGGAAUUAAAAUUUUUAAAAAAUGCUCAAGGAAGCCUUCAUACAUGGGAGGCCAUGCAUUUAUGUUAUGAUAGAUAUCAUUUGACUUGAGAAUUAACCUUGGUUGACUCAAUAGACCCCAAAGAAGAACGAGAAUAUUACUAUCCUGUUCAUUCCAAUGGUGUGUAUCUUUUUGCCAUAUAAUUAUCUCCAUUGACUCAAACUGAGGAUUAUAUUCUAACCAUACUCCAAGAUUAUAUAGAUAAUGUUCAUAGAUAUAGUCAGCAAGUGGAUGCACACAACUAUAUCUUAUGAUAACACGGAUUUGUAUGUGGUUAAACAUCAUAUAUGAUAGUAUAUGAUAUAUGAUAUGUCCUCCCAGUAUAAUUAUGUCCUCCUCAUUAUAAUGGUGUGCAUUUUUGAUGCUUCAAAAGUCGGAUUCUCAUCACCUUAUUGUUGUUCACCAAAAUUAACUAUUAAAUGACGUAUAAAAUACGACACACACAUUUUAAGUCCUCAAUACAAUUAUAUAUUAUCAUGCUAUUUUAUAAUGUAUUGAGAAACUUCAACAGACACAGACUAUAACUCUAUUCCCCUGUUAUCCCUGCUCAAUCCAGCUACACUUUUAUUACCUGAAAGAAAUUGUGAAGCAAAAGGGUGAGCACAAAUAGACCAGUAAAGAAUAUUAUGACUAAAGAUAAUUAAAUUAUCAAUAGUCGUCAUCAGUAAUAAUAUAUAAAAUAUUUAGAACAUAUGGUAGAUGAUAAAAGUUUUCAAGCAUAAUUACAGCGGAAUCAACAAUCUAUUAGAAGAGUCAAGUAGAACAUAAUGUCUACUAUCUCCUCCAAAUUAAAAGUCCAUCAUUAAUAUUUCAUUCCUGUAAUACCCAUCAAUGGUUCUUUGUUGUACCCAAAACAAAGAGAACUUUUAUCACCUUUCUUCACCUGAACCACCAAAGAUUAUAGUUAAAAUCAUAAUUCAUGUUUAUAAUAAUGUAAAUCAAUAGUUUCUCCUUGCCACAAAGGGUUAAUAGAACUUUCACUCAAUGUUCUUGUCAUAAAGGCUAAAGACACUCAAUAAUCAUAUCGUCUUUACACCUUGCACUAAAGACAUUCAAUUGUAACAAUAAUUGUCAUGAUCAUACCAAUCAAUUAUCUAUCUUUGCACUACGUGCCAAAGAUAUUCAACUGUAAUAUCAGUGGUCAUGAUCAUACCAAUCAAUUGUCUAUCUUUGCACUACGGGCCAAAGAUGUUCAGCUGUAAAACUAAUAAUCAACAGUCCAUCUUUUCACUAUGAACCAAAGAUAUAUAACUGUAAAAUCAAUAAUCAACAGUCCAUCAUUGCACUACGGGCCAAAGAUAUACAACUGUAAAAUCAAUAAUCAAUAGUUUAUCUUUGCACUACGGGCCAAAGACAUAACCUUGUAAAUCCAAUAAUCAGCUGUUCAUCUUUGCACUACAGGCUAAAGACAUACAACUGCAACACCAAUGAUCAUGAUUAUACCAAUACACAAUUCCGUUCAUGGUUAUACCAAUACACAAUUCAUGUUCAUAAUCAUACCAAUCAAUAGUUCAUCUUUGUACUAUGGGCCAACGAUAACUUUCCAACAUAAAUUUAAGUCUGAGGAUGAUAACAAUGAUAUAAAGAAUGAAUCAAGUGAGAUCAAGAAUAAAUAUUAAAAAUUUAUAAUUCAAUUUAUCCAAAGUUCAGGAAUGUCCAAAUUGUUAACAUGAUAACUAAUUGUAGAGUAAAAUUCAAGAAUGAUAUUCAUGUAUCAAAAAUAAUUUGGACAGAAAAAAAUAAAUUUUGUCGUGAAUAGUACCCCGAAUAUUCAAUACACUCAUUAUUUUUUGAUGUACAUCAUAUAUUCUUGAUGUAGAAGAUCAACCACACUUUCACUCAAUAGAAAUAUUAAUCACCUGAGUCUCUCUGAAAUUUUCAACUACUCCAUGAGAGUACAUUGCAAGCAAAGGUUUUUAGCGAUUAAUUCCUAGUGAAUUAAGAGUUCAUUGCUUAAAAGGGUUGUUUCCUUGAGAGAUGAACACUGAAAACCUUUGCAAGCAAUGAACGCUCGGGGUUGGGAGUGUGGUCAACUUACAGAGUUAGAUCUAUGAGUCCCUAACAUCUCUAAUUGAAAUUUCUAAAUUAUCCGGUCCUUGUAUAUUUUUCGGUGGACAGUUUCUACCAAAACAAGACAAAGCUGAAAAAACCGAAAAACCCUACUGCCCUAAAAUUUUUGUGGGUUGUUUGGGCCACUUAAACAUUGAAAUAAAUUUAGGCCUUUUGGGAAAUGAAAAUAUAUGAUAUAAUGAAACUCUGGUCAGAAGAUGAACAAAUUCCUACAUCAGACGAAGGAGUUAUGACCAAUUCAAUAUUAGGAUUUUUCAGAUAAAAACUGUCAUAACUUGAGUUCUACAACUCUGAUGACCACAAAAUUAAAAAUGGAAAUUCAUGUUAAUAUGUAUAAAAUUCUUCCAAGACUUGGGAAUUUUUGGAGUUGAGCAUGAUAUAGUUCAUUUUACUAAGUUACGUACUAAAAUGGCUCUUUGAAAAAUAAGAAAAUUGAAAAAUUGUAAUACAAUUAUUUUUUUGUGGAAAAUAUAUAGGUAUGUGUGUCCAGGCAGAGAAAAAAAAUAAUAUAAUGGUUAAGGAGGCCUAAUGAAGAAAAUAAAGUUACGAGAAGGUAAAAUAAUUACUUACCGACAAGUCUGGAAUUAUUAAAAUAAUUUAUAUCGGCUAGAAUAUGUUGACAUUUGACGUAUGAGUUUAUGUAAAGGUUAAUCACAUAUUUUUAUGAGAAUCUUAUAAUUAUCACGUUUAUGUUUGUUUAAGUCGAAAGAUUAAUUAUCAGAAUAGGUUACGAUAAUUACCGGCGAUAUAUAAUUAUUAUAAAGUGAUGAUUAGUUUAAUCAUAUAAAUUGUCAUGAAUAAUGUAGCUUAUCAUUUGAAGGAAGUUAUCAUUGCGUUUCCACGGGGUAGAACCUCCUCAGGGGGGGGGGGAGACCCGGGGAAAUCCCCUGAGGGGCAUCCGGAGCGCCGGAGGAAAGAAGCGCAAGGGCGUGAAGCUUUCCGUGGACAGGACAGGGUCCGUCAACUAGCUUAGCUACCGAUUGGGGGAUGCUUUCACCUUGAAGGUAUUAACGGGCUUGAGCCAGGCCACGCAAGCAAAGGAAAGAUUAAUUAUAGNNNNNNNNNNNNNNNNNNNNNNNNNNNNNNNNNNNNNNNNNNNNNNNNNNNNNNNNNNNNNNNNNNNNNNNNNNNNNNNNNNNNNNNNNNNNNNNNNNNNUCUGCUCUUUCCGGUAAGUGAGUAGGGCCAGUCCCACACGAUUAGCAUAGAUAAGACAAGUCAGGUAGGAUUGGUCGGAGAAGGAUUGGACAUUUCCAUUGAUCAGCUCAUCCAAUCCAGUCUAUGAUCAGGCAAGGGGGCCUAAAAGUAGACGUAACUAUAGGCUUAAGCUCGCUUAAAUGCAAUUUAUCCUUAGGCCGAAUACCUAGUUGAGAGGGGUCCCUAAUGUGAGACCCUUCGUCCAUUCAUUCAGGAUCAAAAGCGGGCCUAAUUGAAUCAUCUCAUCGAGGAUUGCAUGUGAAAAGAUCGGAUCUUCGAAAUCCCCAAUCGUUCGUUACUGAACCUAAAAACUCGCCGCUUCUCAUGUAAAGUAGUGUUCUCGCUAGCUGGAACGGAACUCUCAAAUGGAGGAACAAGCGUAGGCCUUCUUUGAGUAUAGCUUCAAGUAGCUCUAAGAAGUUUACGUCUCGGUUCGGCACUCGGCUUUCUGAAGUUCUUCCAUUCCAGGGCGUGAAGCUUUCCGUGGACAGGACAGGGUCCGUCAACUAGCUUAGCUACCGAUUGGGGGAUGCUUUCACCUUGAAGGUAUUAACGGGCUUGAGCCAGGCCACGCAAGAAAAGGAAAGAUUAAUUCUAGGCCAGUGAAAUGAAUUAGAUGGAAAAACACCGAUACAGAUAAGUUUUUCAGAACUUUUUUUUAUGUGUAAACUUAUUAAUUGUUAUGGGGAAGUACUUUAUGUAUUAUAUGUAAUUCUUAUGAAUUGUUUAAGAGGUGCACUAUGUGUUUUAGUGUGAUACGAAUUUAUUGAAAUUAAUUGAUGAUUGAAGUUAGUUUAGUUAUGAAAACUUACUAUAUUGUGAUAUGAGGAAUAUGAUAUGUGAUGCCCCCAAAUUCGGGUACUUGAAACCCUUAUUUAGUGCUUCAUGAUAUCAAGUAUUCAACAUAAUAUAAUAUCAAACAUAAUAAAUUUAUUACAUCAGAGUACUUCUAAUCCCAGGUACGUAGACCUAUAAGUGCUUAUUACAUGAUAGUUAAAUAUUUACAACAUAUAUAAACUAUCUACUACAUAAUAUUCCAGUUAUGACAUAACUUUUCCCUUUCCCCUGUCCUUACUAGACCCCUCUGCCUGAGCCUUAUUAGCUGAAAACAUUUAUAAAAAAAAGUAAGAAUGAGCAUUCAAUUGCUCAAUAAGUAAUAACAUUCUUUAAUAGCUCAACAAUAAAUAAAUGUUUUCUUUGAAGCAUGCUUUGACAGUGAAACAAAUAUGUAAACCAAAUAAAUCUUAAAUUAUCCAUACUCUUGGAAUCAUCAUAUCAAUUUUGAAUAGCUGAGAGGUCAUAAGACCAUGAACAUGAAUUUUUUUUCUUGAAAAGGUUCUAUCAGAAAUUUAUAUAUGAACCGUCUUAUCUUAUGGGCAUGGUGGGUGAUCAGCCCUUUAUGCCCUGUAUUGAUCAAUAUUCUUAUCCAAAAUAAUUUUUAUGUUCAACGUCACCACUCCUAGAGUGAAAUAAAAAUAUCCCACAAUAUAGUUGGAUAGCUUAAAUCAUGGCACAAUAAUAUUUUAAGAAUUAUUAUAAAGAAAUUGAAAUAUUUUACAUCUGUGUUUGGCCAGAACAAAUGGCUCAGACUUCCUUGUAAUCUGUUCAUGCAUAUUGAAUUUCAUUUGAUAUACAUGAAAAUACAUAACCCAAUCUUUUGAAGCUGAUUGGAAUAAAAAGGUUAUUUAACCUUGUAUUAUUCAUAAAGAAUGAGAGACAGUUCAAAAUUUAGAGAACAUAUCCAUAUAUGAAUAAUCCCAGAAUACUUGUGUUAGUUCCCAGUAGGCGCGAUAAAUAUCUAGAAGGGGGGGUUGAAUAGAUAAUUAAAUCUUUUUCUUUUAAUCUUUUUAAGUUGAUGGUAUUCAAUGCACAGCGGAAUGAGUAUAUGUGAAAAACCUUCUGUUAUAUAUCUUAAGUUAAUGAGAUUGAGGCAGUUAUGACAGUUAUAGCAGAUAUUGCAGUUAUAGCAGUUAGUGAACACAAUAGUUGUAAGUGGUUCAGAGCACUAAAAGCUCAUAGUCCACUCUUUUACUCCUUGAGUAGGAAAUCCACUAAGGAUGUCUGUUACACUUCUUGAAUCUCACAGAUUCUUUCUAGACCAGCAGUCUAGGUACUUCUUAGUUCACUCUUGAACUCUUCAAGUCCAGCAGACUUGGUCUCUCAUAGUUCACUUAGAACUCUUCAAGUCCUUCAGACCUGGAACUCUUACUUCAGUUGAUUGAAUGUUGUUUAGAUCGUGAUUGAUGCUAUUCAGUUUCUAGUAAGCACUUGUUUGAAAGAACUGAAUAGCUGAGCAAGCUUCCUUUUUCUCAGAUCGUAGAGUUGAGCGUUGAGUGUUCUUAUGCAUUUUUUUUGUUUAAUACUUGCUUCUUCUUUCUUAUCUGUCUUUGAUCUGUAUAUAUGUGAUCUUGAAAUCUAUCCGUUGAAGUCAUCUGAUGAGCCAUUAAAUGCAUUUGACAUUUCUGAGCUUUGAUGGAGACUUUUUUGCACAUCUUCUGAAUUACACUCUAGCCCACUGACACAGUAGACUGCUUUUUCCCCUAACACCUUAAAAGGUGUUUUCCUCUGCCCAAUGGUCCUUUUCUUAGCUUAUUGAGUACGUUUCUUUUGAUCAAUACUAAGGAUAUCUUUUGUACGUUGGGACUGGUGAGAGCUUCAACGUUCAAAACCCAUUCCAUAUUUGUUGGAGUCCAUCUUCAGAUGAACGAUAGGGCUUGAUGUUUCUGACACAAAACAGAUGACACUCUACUAUCAAUAUCAUAGUGUCUUCUCAUAUUGGUGCCUGUUCGUAAGAGAUCACUACGAUUUCUCACAAGGAUUUUCACACUAUGUUCUUCACUUACUCGUCUUGCAAACUCUACAUUUUCGAGAGCACACUACGAUAUUUUAACACUACGAUCUUCACUUGCUCGUCUUGCAGAUUCUGCAUUUUCGAGAGCACACUACGAUCUCUAGUUUCGGCAAAAGUCUGGACCACACUUCGAUUCGUGGAGAGGCCCUUCAAGGCAGAUACACUACGAUCAUCUCAGCACUACGAUCCUGCCUUAGCUUCUGCAUUCUAUUGAUCAACCGGAUAGACUGCGAGUCUAUCUAUUUCUUUCUAGCCAUAGAUCAACCUAACAGAUUUGAUCUCUUUAUCUAUACAAGUGAACAUUAAAGACUAAGAUCAACCUAACACUUUUGAUCUAUCACUAAGUCCUUGUACAUAUAUUCUUUGAAGGACUUUACAUAAUCAUGAGUAGUUUCAUAAAACAUCAAAUCACAAUAUGCAUUCUUCCAACAAUCUCCCCCUAUUUGAUGUUGACAUAACCAAGGAGAUUUGUUGUCAUGAUUAUAAAGUUUUAUAUGCAGUUGCAGAAAAAUAAACAUGACUUAGCAUUUCAGUGAGCAGCUGAAAUUUUUAAAGAAUAAGCAUGAAUUUAUUGAUGUAUGGAGACAAAUUUUACAUUUAAGAAUGACUACAUCAAUACAAUUUGAAAUUCAACUUAUCUCUAUUUCUUUGGCCUUUUGCUUCUUGGAGGAUUUGCAUAUUCCUCAGCUCUCCUCUUUCUGCUUGCUUCAUCUCUUCUGGCCAUAUCUUCCAGCUCACUUGGGCUUAGCCUUGGAUUGUGAUCAUGUCUAUUCAUGAAUGCAGGAUCUCUAAUUGGCAUUCUUAGACCUGUUGUUGUUACCGUAUGAGAGCUGGUGGCUGGCCCUAGACUCCUUAAGGGUUGAGCCAUUAAUAUUUCCUGCUGAUCAGAUCAUUGAGUCUGAUGGCUGGAUUGUGGAGUCUGCUGGUGGAUUUUCCUUACAGAAGGAUUCCUUGAGGAUUGAGGUUGGAGACCUCUACCUUUUCCUUUGCCUCCUGAUCUCCUCCUUUACCUUUAUUCUCCCCCUUUAUGUCAACAUCAAGGGUUCGAAUGUCAUCUGAAAGACGAUUAAGGCCUUGAACAAGCUCGUUGAGCUGACUCUUGGUCUGAGCAAUGUCUUCUCUAUUUUCUUUGAUUAGAGCUUCAGACCUAGCUUCCCUUUGCUGAAGGAUGGAGAGAAUGUUGUCUGUUUGCUCGCCAUUGCUGACAUAGAAUUGUUGAAAUUCUUUGACAGCAGUCUGAAGAUUUUGGAUGCUUUGUAUCAUUAGUUGGUUCUGAGAUUCUUGAGUUUUCUAUAGAAUCAAGACAACAUCCCGAUGUCUUUUAGCUGUGAGGAAGUGAAUAUCAUCCCUGUCCUUUAUGCUUUGUAGCAUUUCUUUGAUAAUCUCUUUGAGUGUUUUAGACAGUUCGGAGCUCAGGGAGCUUGGAAGAUUGUUUGCAGCAUUGAUCAUUGAUGUCAAUCUUAGCUGUAUCAAUGCAGUAUGAUCUUCAAGGCUCUCAUCUAGUUUUUUGAUCACUUUCUCAGACAUGGCUGACAAAUCAGCCUUUGUGGAUAGUUCUGAUAGGAAUUCAUCUAGAUUUGGAAUCUGUGAGGGAGGUGGCGUGCUCUUGAAUUUAUAUUGCAGUGAGUAGAGAGAAAGUUCAAGAUUGAAGCAUUCAUUUCUAGAUGAGGAGGGAAUAUCUGAAGGAGGGGCCUGUGUUUGGAUGUUGGAGCUUAGUGACUCUACGAUUUGUGGUGGAUACUCUACCAGGGGUCUAGAGUGAGGGAUCGUAGAGGUAGUAGGCUGAGUGAGCAUUAGGGAGUUAAUCUUAUUUGGUUCCUCAGUUACAGAAUUUUGAGAUUCUGUAACUAGAAUUGAUUCAGUUGAUGAAGAAUUACUUCCAACCAUUGCGGGAAUUCAUAGAAUUGAUUAAAUGAGGGUGGUGGCAAGUGAUUAAUUCUGACAGGAGUGGGGAUAUAUAAUACCUCAAGUGUGUUCUCUGAGGAAGGGCUGUUGGAGAGAAGCUUCUUGGCAAAAUUGAAUUUCCCUGGGAAUCCAUUUGCAAGUACUGAGAUAGCUGGAUACUCUUUGAAACUCCAGAACAUGUGAUCCCAAGAGUUCAGAAUUUGAGCUCGGUGGAAAGGCAUCAUAGGAAGAUAUGCAAAUAGUUGCUCAUAGGUGGAUCUUCUGUGCCCAUGAAUGCCUACAGCUAUAAUCUCAAUCUCAUCAUCUUCUUCUCUGUUUUCACUAGAGGAUUCCAUUAUGUCGAUUGCUUUAGGUUCUUCAUUAUCUCCUCCAGGAAUUUCUUUUUCAGCUAUUGAGGUGUCAUGAUCCUCCCCCUCAGCUUGAUCAUUCUUUUGAAAUGUCAAUAGCUCCCCCUCAACUGGAGCAUCCUCUGGUGGAAGAUCUUUAGGCAUCUCCCCCUCAGUAUGAGCACCUUCUAUCAUUAGAUCUUUAGGUGUCUCUCCCUCAGCAGGAGCCAUGACUACUUGACAUUCACUUGCUGGUUCCUUUUUAGCACUCAGUUCUUUUGCUUCCCUUCUUAGCACUUCUUCAUUGGCAAGAAUAUACUUCUUAACUAGUUUCCUUCUUGGCCUUUUAGGCUGUGCUACAGCCUCAGGACUCUCUUUAGUUGUGUCCUUCAGAUCAGCUAAGAUAUUUGAUGCAGUUGCUUCCUUGUUUGGUCUAGGCUCUACGAUCGGAGGAGACUUGACGAUCGAAGAGACUUGACGAUCGAAGAGGCUGAUGGCUUUUUACUUUUGUGGCUGGUCUUACUCAUCUUCAGCAACUGAGAUAUAGUUGCUCUAUCUUCUUCUGCCUCUGCUUGCUGUUCCUUUCUCCUUAGGAUCCUUAGAGUCUCAAUUUCUGAGGACUCUACAGGCUUGUUGGUGGUGGAUCCUUGAGGUUCUUCUGUAGUUCUGGCUUUCCUUUUCCCUUUGCUCUUUCUGAUUAAAGCAAUGGGUUCUCCCUGGUUAGUUUCUUCUUCUUCUUCCUCAGUUUCCUUGACAACAGACAUAUUCUCUGGCACUCCUGUUCCUUUUAUCUCACCAGUUCGACCACUGGAUUCAGACAUCAACUUCACAUUUUCAGCUGGAUUUCUCUUCCAGUUUUCAAACAACUGUUGGGUCAUUCGUCGAUUUGGGUUUAUGGCUUCUCCUUCAUCAUCCUCAAUCAGGUCACCAAGAGUAGCCUAUAGGAUAAUGAUGAUAAAUCGUCCGUAGAGCAUCUUCUGAGAGCUCUUUGUCUUCUUGGAGCUAACCAACCAUUUUCUAAUCCAUUCAAGUAAUAAAGCCCCAUAGUUUAGUUAAAUUUUAUAGCAUAUGGAAGUCAUGAGUUUGAGUUGUAUUUCAUUCACAGAGUCAUGACCUGAGCUUUUACAACAUAUGCAUUUUCCAACAAUGUUAGCCAAAAACUCAUACCUCUAUGGAAACUCCUUCUUUUUGUAUCCUUUGACAGAGGGUGAUUUCUUGUGAUGCAUUUUCUUGAGACCUUUAUGGAAGUCUAUUCCAUCUAAGGAUGGAUACCCUUCAGAUUUGAGCCCUAGGGCUAGAUUGAUGUCUUCAGCUCUUAAUUUGAUUUGGACGUUCCUUACUUUCAUGGUGAUGGUGUUGUUUUCAAACACUCCGUUAUUUUAGAAUUCUUUUACCAGCUUUGGGUAGAUCAAUGUGUCAGUACCCAAGGCUUCUUCGAGACCUGCCUUCUUUAGUAGCGACAAUGUCUUGUGAAAUUGGGGUUCAACCAUUUUAAACUCGUCGAAACACAGUCUGUAGCAGGAGACAACACUAGAAGCUGCCAUUGAUUUCUUUGUAGGAAGUGAGGCUGACAGAGCUUGCUACUGAUUUAGGGUUUCUGCUUGAGAGAGGAAGAGAGAGAUGGUCUUUUGAACUUCAUAUUUCAAAAAGGCGAUUUUAAUUUGUACCUGAAACUUCCCUCUCUUUAUUUUGCUUAGUGGGACAGGUGUCAAACUUUGCUUGGCUGUACGAAUUCUUGACAGAGAAGGAUUGUACUGAAUUGCCCUUAACUUCUUCUGGGAUGAUGUAUUCAUUAGUGGGACUACGAUCGUUGAGAUGGUCCUUGGAGUCGUCGAGUCUGUUCUACCAUCGUUGAGUCUGUGUAGCAGUCGUCGUGUCUGAGCUGUAAACGUAGAGUCUGAACUACGAUCAUUGAGUCUGACUGGCAAUCGCAGAGUUUGAAAAAGUCCUUGUGAUGAAUCUUUUUGACUUGGCAUUUUCCUUAAAUUAAGGUAGCUCAGGAAGGGCCAACCUCUUGAAAGAAACAAGGGUUAGGUUUGUUCCUGAGGAACUUAUCAGAGAGAAUGCUUUGAUUUAAUCUUGAUCAUCAUAGGGAGCUCCUUUUGUUUUGUUGAUGUAGUUCUAUUAUCGUUGAGUCUGCACUAUGAUCGUUGAUUCUGUUCAGCAUUCGUUGAGUUUUAUAUACUUUGGCUCUACGAUCGUGGACUUCCUUUGAUCAUGUCUUUUAUUUCAAAUACAACCUUUAAAUCUAUAUGGUUAGCAUAAAAUAAAGCAUAAUAUUUCAUGUUUGCAAGUUAAGCAUGCCUAGCUCACUUAUCAGUUUGUUGAAUCUGGAUUCAUCUAAAGGUUUUGUAAAAACAUCAGCAAGUUGAUUUUCAGUAGGGAUAUAUUGUAAAGAUAUUGUUCCAUUUUGUACAUGAUCCCUAAUGAAGUGAUACCUUAUUUCUAUAUGCUUAGUCCUAGAAUGCAUGACAGGAUUAUGAGUUAUAACAAUUGCACUUGUGUUAUCAUAAUGAAUAGGUAUGGAUUUGAAUUCAAACCCAUAAUCUGCUAGCUGAUUUUUUAUCCAUAGAAUCUGCGCACAGCAACUACCAGUAGCAAUGUAUUCAGCUUCUGCAGUUGAGGUAGAUACUGAGUUUUGCUUCUUGCUAAACCAGGACACAAGUCUGUUACCUAGUAAUUGACAAGUGCCACUGGUACUUUUUCUAUCUAUUUUGUAGCCUGCAAAAUCAGCAUCUGUAUAACCUGUUAGCUCAAAUGAGGAUUCCUUGGGAUACCAAAGCCCCAAGUGGGGUGUACCUUUGAGGUACCUGAAAAUCCUCUUUACAGUAGUUAAAUGAGAUUCUUUAGGACAUGCCUAAAAUCUAGCACAAAUGCAUGUUGCAAAUAUUAUAUCUGGUCUACUGGCAGUAAGAUAUAAAAGAGAACCUAUCAUACCUCUGUAUUGAGUUAUAUCAAUACUUUUACCUUUUUCAUCUUUGUUAAGCUUGGUUGCAGGAGCAAUUGGGGUUUUCAUGGGAGAGGCUGAUUCCAUACCGUACUUCUUGAGUAAGUCUUUAAUGUACUUGGCUUGGUUUAUGAAAAUUCCUUCAUCAGUCUGCUUUACUUGCAGUCCAAGAAAGAAGUUUAGCUUACCCAUCAUGCUCAUUUCGAAUUUGCUCUGCAUAAGCUUGGAGAAUCUCUUGCAUAACUUUUCAUUAGUAGAACCAAAGAUAAUAUCAUCAACAUAAAUUUGAACUAAUAGGACCUUAUCUUUAUGCUUUCUAAGAAAUAGUGUGGUAUCUAAUUUACCUCUAGUAAAUCCAUUUUCAAUAAGAAAGUUAGUCAGUGUUUCAUACCAUGCUCUAGGUGCUUGUUUGAGACCAUAUAAGGCUUUGUCUAAUCUAAAGACAUAAUUAGAAAGAAAUGGAUUGAUGAAACCUAGAGGCUUCUCUACAUUGACUUCUUCUUGAAGUUCACCAUUCAAGAAUGCACUUUUGACAUCCAUCUGAAAGACUUUGAACUUCAUGUGAGCAGCAAAGGCAAGGAAUAUUCUGAUGGCUUCUAGUCUGGCAAUAGGUGCAAAUGUCUCAUCAUAGUCAAUACCUUCUUUCUGAGAGUAGCCCUUGGCUACUAGUCUAGCCUUAUUCCUUGUUAUCACCCCAUCUUCAUCCAUCUUGUUUCUGAAGACCCACUUGGUUCCAAUUACAUGAUGGUUCUUUGGUCUUGGGACCAAUUUCCAAACUUUGCUUCUCUCGAACUGAUUAAGUUCUUCCUACAUGGCCUCUAUCCAGCUGGAAUCUUCCAUAGCAUCCUCUAUCUUCUUUGGUUCUAUUUGAGAUAGGAAGCUUAGAUAGAAGCAUUCAUUUUGAGUAGCAACUCUUGUCUUGAUUCUUGCGUUCGGAUCUCUAAUGAUUAGAUCUUGAGUGUGAUCUCUUGCCCAUCUGCUUCCUGUUGGAACAUCCAUUUUUAUGCCUUCUUGUCUCAGAUCUUCAAGAUUUAUUUCUUCUUCUUGAUGUGGAGGUUCAUUGUCUGGCAUAGGCCUCUCUACGAUCUCAUUCUCUUGCUUAACGAUUUCAUUAUUGGGCACUACGAUCAUAGUAUUGGGCUCGACGACCUCGUUCGCAUUGUCUUGGAGCACUAUUUUGUCUAAGUCUGUUUCAUCAAAGAUGAUGUGAAUUGAGACUUCUACACUCAGUGUCUUCUUGUUGAACACUCUGUAGGCAUUGCUGUCUGUGGCAUAUCCAAGAAAGAUUCCUUCGUCUGAUUUCGGUUGAAACUUUGUCAAGUACUUCUUUCCAUUGUUGAGUAUAUAGCAUGCACAGCCGAACACAUGAAAGUAGCUGACAUUUGGCUUUCUUCCUUUCCAAAGUUUAUAAGGAGUCUUCUUCAUCGUAGAGAGUAUGAGUGAUCUGUUCUGAGUAUAACAUGUAGUGUUGACCGCUUCUGCCCAGAAGUACUCCGGUAGAUGAGCUGCAGCUAGUAGAGUCCUUCCAGCCUCUAUUAAUGUCCUGUUCUUUCUCUCAGCAACUCGAUUUUGUUGGGGAGUUCAUGGAACUGAGAAGUUGUGACUAAUCCCAUUGUUUGUGCAGAACUGAUCCAUUUUUGAGAAAUCGAAUUCUCUGCCAUGAUCACUUCUUAUGUUCUUGAUUUUCUCUCCUUUCUCAUUCAUCACCAGCUUGAACAUCUUGAUUAGUUGGGGGCUUGUUUCAUUUUUUGAGGUUAGAAAAAAUACCCAUGUAAAUGUGGUGUAGUCGUCGACUACGACCAGUGAGUAUCUCUUUCCCCCAUGGCUCAUCAUUGGAAUUGAUCCAAAAAGAUCCAUAUGUAGUAAUUACAGAGGCUUGUCAAUUGAGUUGAUGGUUUUUCUCUUAAAUAAGCUUCUGGUCUGUUUCCUAAGUUGACAGGCAUUGCAGGGCCUUUCUUUAACGAAGUUGAAUUUGGGUAGGCCUGCAACUAGAUCUUUUGAAGCUAAUUUGGACAUGCUUUUGAAGUUGAGAUGAGAUAAUCUUCAAUGCCAUAGCCAGCUCAUUUCUUCAGAUGCUUUAGUCAUAAAGCAUAUUGUCUCGUCUGAGCUUAGUUGUCCAAGAUUUACUGUGUAGACAUUUCCUUCUCUUGUUCCGGUUAGCUUUACUGCAGAUGUCUUCAGGUCUCGGACUUGACAUUGAUUGUUGAUGAAUGUUACUUGAUGACCCUUGUCAUAGAGUUGGCUAAUGCUUGGAAGGUUGUGCUGUAGUCCUUCCACAUAGGCCAAUUUACUGAAUGAUACUGCACCAUUUUCGGCUGAGCCAUAGCCUCUUGUCUUGCCAGUGCCAUUAUCUCCAAAUAUGACUGAGGGACCUUCCUUCUCUAUGAAGUUAGACAGAAGGGCUUUGUUCCCAGUCAUGUGCCUUGAACAUCCACUAUCCAGAUACCAGGUUGUGUUUGUGGAGCUCCUUUCCUGAGGUAACAUUAAGCCUUCAUUUUGGUACCCAUAUUUGCAUGGGUCCUACUAUGUUAGUACCCUUGGGGACCCAAAUCUGCUUUAUUUUGGGUCUCACGUGCAUGGAAUUAUAAUGAUAAUUCGCAGCCUUAUGACCAACUUUGUGGCAUUCAAAGCAUUUGAUAUGAUGCAUGUAAGUGUGUUUGUGAAAGUUCUUCCUCCAUUUGGACUUUUGUGGGUUAUUGGUCAUCCUUCUACUAGGUUGAUAUCCCCUUUUCCAUGUGUUCUCUUGUUUCAUUAAUUGAGGAGAGUAUAUCUCACUUCUACUGUGUCUUCCUGGUUGGUUCGUAGAGUUGAUUUUAUUGGACUCUACGAUCCUUCGAGGUUGAUAAGUAGUAGCUAGAUUACUUCUCUUUUCUGAAACCUAGACCAGCAUGAGAUCCCUUACUCUUGGGAAUAUGAAUUGAAUUAUCCAGACAGGGUUUGACAAGCUCAUCAUUCUGUGAGGAUUUCACAAAUAUAAUGCCUUUACUAAAACCUGAGGCAUUACUAGUGUUAACAUCCUUUGUUUUUUCCACACAUGACUCUGAGAUAGAUCCCCCAAAGCCUAGCCAUGUUCUAUCAGAGACAUUUCUCUGAUUAGAGAUUAAAGAAUCCAUGAUUGAAGAAGAUUUAUUCUAUGUGGAGAUGGUCUUUUUUAGAUCCUCAAUUUUUGAGGUUAGACUAGACUCUUGUUUUGCACUAAGCUCAUUUGUUUAUCUUAAGAGCUUAUUCUCAGCUUCAAGCUCAGAGAAAGAAUUAGCACUGAGAAGGGUUGUUUCCAGUUCUUCUUGAACCUUUUCUUUCUCCUUUUUAAGAAGUGAAUAAUCCUUAGACAGAACUCUAAACCACUUCAUGUAUUGGUGUAGAUCAGAUGUUAUGCCAUGCAAUGUAGUUCUAAGAUCAUCAAUAUCUACAUCAGGAGAGUUAAAGUCAAAUACCUCAUCGAUACUUACUUCGUGUAUGUUAGAGUUCUGUUUGUCCCUUGCAUUUUUGACCAUCAAGCAGAGAUUUGCUAUUUGAGGGUCUUCAUCAUCCCCAGAUUCAGGAGUUGAGUCAUUGUCUAAGUCACUCCACGAUCCUCCAGCUACAAGACCUUUUUCUUUCUUCUGUGGCCCUUUGUUGCCUCUGUAUUCUUUCUUUGAAUGAGAUUUCUUCUUGAGUUCUUCUCUAAGAGGUUUGUUACAAUUUGCAAUAAAGUGGCCUGAUUUCUUGUAAUUGUAGCAUAGGUCAUUCAUUUGCUCCUGGCUGCUGUAGUUGCUGACUUUCUUUGGCUUGUUGGUUUUGCCUCGUCGCAUGAACCUUCUUAGCCUUUUCACUAGCAUUACAAGGUCCUCAUCAUCAUCUUCAUCAUAAUCAGAAUCAACUUCAGUGCUGACUUUGGAGGCGUUAUCUGUUGCUUUAAGGGCUACACCUUUAUCCUUCUGCCUACCUUCAGAUAAGGUUUCUGCUCGUUGAGUCAGCUCCAGUUCAUAUGUGAGAAGGUUGCCAUACAACUGUUGAACAGUCAUUUCAUGUAGAUUUUUGGAUUCUCUAAUGGCAGUGGUUUUGGCAUCCCACUUGCUUGGUAAGGCUCUCAUGAACUUUAUGAUUAGAUCUUUGUUAGGAUAGAUCUUCCCAUAGGCUCGUAGAGAGUUGAGCAGUACAUUAAAUCUUUCGUAAGUGGCAGUAACGUUCUCUCCUUGAACGUGAGCGAACAUCUCAUAUUGCUGAGUCAAGAGAGAUUGUUUGUUUUCUCUGACUUCUUCUGUUCCUUCAUGCAUGAUGAGCAGUGUUUCCCAAACCUCCUUCACUAUUUUGCUGCUGACCACAUUUUUGAACAGAUCAUCUUUUAAAGAUUGGAACAAGAUGUUUUUGGCCUUUUUCUCGAGCUGGAUAGCUCUCUUCUCGUUCUCUGUCCAUUCUUCCUUGACCUUGAUCUGUACUCUGUUUGGGUCAUCUGUAGUUGGUGCAAGCUUUGUAGGAACAUAGGGUCCAUUCUGAACAGUUUCAAAUAGAUCUUCAUCUAUUUCAUCUAUGUAAGCUUGUAUCCUAACCUUCCAGUUAGCAAAUUUUUCUUUGUUGCACAUUGGUGGCUUGCUGCCUCCUCCAGUCUUUGAUUCGCUUGGUAAGUGUGCCAUUGGAUCUACUUAAGCUUUGUAGGUUGUAUUAUAGAACCUUCUUUGAUACCAAUUGUUAGUUCCCAGUAGGCACGAUAGAUAUCUAGAAGGGGGGUUGAAUAGAUAAUUAAAACUUUUCUUUUAAUCUUUUUAAGUUGAUGGCAAUCAAUGCACAGUGGAAUGAGUAUAUGUGAAAAACCUUCUGUUAUAUAUCUUGAGUUAAUGAGAUUAAGACAGUUAUGACAGUUAUAGCAAAUAUUGCAGUUAUAGCAGUUAAUGAACACAAUAGUUUUAAGUGGUUCAGAGCACUAAAAGCUCCUAGUCCACUCUUCUACCCCGUGAGUAGGAAAUCCACUAAGUAUGUCUGUUACACUUCUUGAAUCUCACAGAUUCCUUCUAGACCAGCAGUCUAGAUACUUCUUAGUUCACUCUUGAACUCUUCAAGUCCAGUAGACUUGGUUUCUCACAGUUCACUUAGAACUCUUCAAGUCCUUCAGACCUGGAACUCUUACUUCAGUUGAUUGAAUGUUGUUUAGAUCGUGAUUGAUGCUAUUCAGUUUCUAGUAAGCACUUGUUCGAAAGAACUGAAUAGCUGAGCAAGCUUUUCCUUUUUCUCAGAUCGUAGAGUUGAGUGUUGAGUGUUCUUAUGCGUUUUUUUCGUUCAAUACUUGCUUCUUCUUUCUCAUCUGUCUUUGAUCUGUAUAUAUAUGAUCUUGAAAUCUAUCUGUUGAAGUCAUCUGAUGAGCCAUUAAAUGUGUUUGACAUUUUUGAACUUUGAUGGAAACUUUUCUGCACAUCUUCUGAAUUACACUCUGGCCCACUGACACAGCAGACUGCUUUCUCACCUAACACCUCAAAAGGUGUUUUCCUCUGCCCAAUGGUCCUUUUCUUAGCUUCUUGAGUACAUUUCUUUUGAUCAAUACUAAGGAUAUCUUUUGUACGUUGGGACUGGUGAGAGCUUCAAUGUUCAAAACCCAUUCCAUAUUUGUUGGAGUCCAUCUUCAGAUGAACGAUAGGGCUUGAUGUUUCUGACACAAAGCAGAUGACACUCUACUAUCAAUAUCAUAAUGUCUUGUCAUAUUGGUGCCUGUUCGUAAGAGAUCACUACGAUUUCUCACAAGGAUUUGCACACUACGUUCUUCACUUGCUCGUCUUGUAAACUCUACAUUUCCGAGAGCACACUAAAAUAUUUUAACACUACGAUCUUCACUUGCUCGUCUUGCAGAUUCUGUGUUUCCGAGAGCACACUACGAUCUCUGAGUUAGUUUCGGCAAAAGUCUGGACCACACCUCAAUUCGUGGAGAGGCCCUUCAAGGCAGAUACACUACGAUCAUCUCAGCACUACGAUCCUGCCUUAGCUUUUGCAUUCUGUUGAUCAGCCGGAUAGACUGCGAGUGAACAUUAAAGACUAAGAUCAACCUAACACUUUUGAUCUAUCACUAAGUCUUUGUACAUAUAUUCUUUGAAGGACUUUACAUAAUCAUGAGUAGUUUCAUAAAACAUCAAAUCAUAAUAUGCAUUCUUCCAACAACUUGCUUAAUAAAGAUUAAGAUUUAGAUGUUUGGCUUGUUCGUAGACUAUUGACACAAUUAAGCUUAACUUGUUCUCACAAAGCCUACAUAAUUAUAUUCGCAUUCAUAAGCAUAUUAGUCCAAUAUUCAAGUCACAUAGCUUGUAUAUUCACAUAUCAUAUAAUCACAUUGAUUAUAUUUUUAGUUUGGGUUUUUACUUUUGAGUUACUUGUAUACAUUUUUCAAACACCUCAUCCAUAUUCUUACCAUAACCAUUUUCUUCUUUAAUAGGUUUGACAUAAUCUCAGUUCAUGAAUCUCAUACAAUUUUAAUUCAUAUUGAUCCUUUUGUAUUUUACUAUAUGAAUAUUUCAUAAUUUCCUUUAUAACUUAAGUAUUCCAGGUGAAUACAUAAGAUAUUUUAUGACUUGACUAUGAUUGCGUAUCAUAGGAAUAGAAUCAUAGUUUUCAAUUUACUUUCCAACUCAUAGUAACCAACUAAUCACUUAAACUUAUUACAUUCCUAAGGUAUUCCAAAACAGUCCUCUUGUAACAUUAGCAAUCCUUUAAGGUACUAACAAUUUUAACUUGACUUAAUAGUUCCAUUUUGUUAUACCAAUGCAUCAAUUAUUUUUGCUUUCUUCUAUGAUGUCAAAACAGCCAUUUGAGACUUAAACAGUCCCAACUUGGCUUAAUACAUCCAAUCCAUCCAUGUUAGCUUCUAUUUCAAAGCUUACUAACUUACUUAUACAACCCUUGAGUCCAUUCAAGAUUUAUUCAUAUAAUCUAAUGUGUUAAAGCUAACAUGUAUUAACAUCCCACUAAACAGUACCCUCCAUGUUUCAUGCUUAAAAAAAUAAUUUUAACCUUUUUAUUUGUUAUUUAGAAACUUUUAAAUCCAAACCUUAUGGACAGAUCUUCAACCUAAUCCUAAAGUUAAAGUAACUAGUCUAAAACUAUUAUAACAGCCACUUGUUGUCAACUGCUACUACCCAUAGGCAGCAGCCCCCAUCCCUUGCCCAUUAUUUCAUGCGAUUAUAUUCAUUUACAAUGACAUUUUUAAUAAUAUAGGGAUGAUUUAUACAUAUAUAAUAGUAUGCCAAUAGCUGGGCACUUAGAGCAACAUAAGUGCAAUGAAUGAAAACUCAGGAAGAGCUCCCAGCCCAUGCCACUCAUGCUCACUGCUACUGCCGAGGCAACUGCCCUGUCCCCCUAGUUCCAAACUAUAACUUAUUUACUCUUAUAUGAUACUAUUUUGGGAGACAAGGCACUUUGCCUACCUCUCUAUUUAACAAAUGUUAAACAAGUUGUUUAAACAUCUUAAAUUAAAUCAACUGAGAGCCCCCAACUAAUGCUAUACACAUCCAUUGCUGCUGCUAUGGGCAGCAUCUCUAUUCCUUUUCUCAGGCCAUUUUUGGUACUUCAUUUAGUAAUCCAUUCAUAUCCCACCUUUUCGUUUCCAUUUAAUAAGCUUACACACUCUAACUAUCAUCAUGUAUUGCAUACAUAUUCAGUCCAAGCUUUAACUCCAUCACAUAAUCAAUUUUUAAGCAAAACAGUCCAUUUGGAACUUUUAUCGAACAGUUAGUGUGCACAGUUUUGAUACACAACCUUUAUAGCUAUAGGUUUGCUCUUCCAUCCCAUGUAAGCCUCUUUAUUCCUCCACACAACCAACCUAUCUCCUCUAUUCUAAUUUCACAAACAUGGUUUCAUAUCAGCCACAUAUAUAUGUACAUAUGUAAUCAACAAUUAGCACACUGAGUAGUUUUAUAUAUUAAAGAAUACAAUUCCUUUGACUUACAAAGUUUUAGGGAAAAACCUCCUAUUUGGGUAUUUUACCGAAUACUUCAUCAUUUCAGAACUUUAAUUUCCAUAAACAUAUAGCACAUACCAGAUUUUAUACGGAAGUUACGUGCAACAAACACAGAGACCCAAUUUCCUUUAAACCUAAUACAUACAAAUGAUUUAACACCUAAUAGUAAAGUAACAUUACCUCUUUGGUUUACUUCACUAUUAUCCAAAUUUGGAGCUUAGUUCAACUUCUUUUCUCCCAGUUAUUGAAUAUCAACCCAAUUCUUCAAAGAUCAUCAAAGUUUCAAGCCUUUUCCAUUCAUGGAAUUAGAGAAGUAGGAGGUAAAUAUACAUAAAUUUGUUAUUUGGAGAACUCUGAACAUGAAGAGCAAAGUUUUGAAUUAUAGGAGACCCAGGGGUGAGCAUGGUGCGGUUUGAAGUCCAAACCGCACCUGAAACCGCUUAGAUGCGGUUUAAAAAAUUCAAGAUCGCACACAAAACCGCUUGUGAUUGAUGCGAUGCGGUUUUAAACUGUGCGGUGUGGUUUCAAUUGGUGCGGUUUCGGUUACAAAACCAAUUGAAACAACAAAAAAGUCUAAGUCUUCAAUACAAUUUAACACAAAGCUCACAUCGAGCAUUUAACUUAGUGACAGAGUCGGCAAUGAGAAUUAUAUCUAAAAGAAUAUGAUCCCUUGAUCUUUUCUCAUUCAUCCCUUGGUAAUAUAUACAGAGUAUAGACAAAUAUUAUGCCUACAAGUUAGGCUAAGAAUAAGGAAACGGUAUAAUUUUACAAUAGAAUAAUAUCCUAAAUUAAAUAUAAAAUAUUUACAAUAAUAAUGAGAAUAAUCACAUAUAUUCUAUCACACCCCCGCAGUUGAAGCAGGAGGUUGUCGAACGCUUAGACUGUCCCGGAAGUCAUCAAAAAGUAUGCGCGGGAGCCCUUUGGUAAAUAUGUCAGCAAUCUGAUAACGUGAUGGAACAUGAAAGACACGCACUUUGCCACGUUUUACCUUUUCACGAAAAAAAUGAAUGUCCAUCUCAAUAUGUUUAGUGCGUUGAUGUUGUACUGGAUUGCCGGAGAGGUAUAUCGCACUCAUAUUGUCGCAGUAUACAAGGGUUGUCUUGUGGACCGGACAAUGAAGUUCCAGGAAUAAAUUUUGGAUCCAACAGGAUUCAGAGACAACAUUGGCAACCCCUCGAUAUUCAGCCUCGGCACUUGAUUUAGAUAGUGUGGGUUUCCGUUUAAAGGACCAUGAAAUCAGGUUGUCACCAAUGAAUAGACAAUAACCAGAGGUGGAGCAACGUGUGUCAAGACAGCCACCCCAAUCAGCAUCUGUAUAAGAAAGGAGAUAAUCAAGUUUAGACUUAUACAGAUGCAAACCAUAAUUAAUCGUUCCAUGAAUAUAGCGUAGAAUACACUUGAGAGCAUCCAUGUGCUCGACUUUCGGAUCAUGCAUAUGUAAGCAUACCUGUUGAAUCGCGUAGGAGAUAUCUGGCCUGGUAAAAGUAAGAUAUUGCAAAGCACCAGCUAGACGGCGAUAUUUAGUUGGGUCCUCAUAAGGCUUGCCAGUAGAAACACUGAGUUUCCCUUUUGUGUCAACAAGAGUGGGACAUGGCUUGCAACCUAUCAUACCAGCUCUUUUAAGUAUUUCCUGGGCAUAUUUUGUCUGUGAGAGAAAAAGGCCAUGGGCAGUCCGGGUGACUGCAAUACCCAGAAAAUAACUCAACUGUCCCAAAUCCUUCAUUGCGAACUCAGAACUGAGAAGAGACAUGAUUGAUAAUCGAAGAGCAUCGGAGGAGGCCGUGAGAAUUAUAUCAUCAACAUAUAAUAAAAUAUAAGCAAUGUCAGAUCCAUUUUUGUAGAUGAACAAAGAAUGAUCGGACACACUAUGAGAGAAACCAAUAGUGGCUACAUAGUCUGCAAAGCAUUGAUACCAGGCAUGAGGGGCUUGCUUAAGACCAUAGAGUGAUUUCUUCAACAAGCAGACAUAGUCAGGAUGAACUGCAUCCUUGAAACCUAAAGGUUGAUAUUUAUAAAUAGUUUCAGUUAGAUUACCAUGAAGAAACGCAUUUUUAACAUCCAACUGAUGAAUGGCCCAAGAUUUUGAUAAUGCAAUGCUCAAAACUAUAUGAAUAGUGGCCAGUUUAACAACCGGGCUGAACGUCUCAUCAUAGUCCACUCCAGCUUUUUGAGACCUGCCAUCACCUACAAGAUGGGCUUUAUGCCUCUCAAAAGAACCAUAAGAUUUCUUUUUAUGUCUAAAAAUCCACAUUGAACGAAGAACAUUAACAUCAGAUGGACGAGGUACUAAUUUCCACAUCUUAUUUUGAAUAAGAGCAUCAUAUUCAUCCUGCAUGGCCAAUUUCCAAUUCGGGUCAUUAAGUGCACUCACGGGGUUACGGGGUAUAGGAGAGAUAGAGGUAGUGGUCGAGAGGGCACUUAAGUUAUGGUAUUUAGGGUUGGGCUUGUGUAUACCAUGCUGACUCCUAGUUCCCAUUCGAUGGGCUAAAGGAGGAGGUCGAAUGGAUGUAGUGGAAAUUGGGCCGGGUGGAAUGGAAGUUGGGGUUGGCGUGGCAGUGGGAAAAGGGGAGCGAGUGGGCUGGGGAGUGGGUUGUGUUGCAACGCGGGCUGGGGAGGAAGGGGGGGAUGUUUGUGUGGGCGAAGAGGGAGGCUUAGCAAGUGAAGUGGGUGGCUAAGUCUGUAGAUCUAAUGAGGUAGUCGCAUGCAAUUGAUGAAGGAUAUGGGGAUGCAAACCAUCAUCUAAAAUUCAUAGGAGGAAGGAGAGGGAGUAUGAAGUGUCAAAAAAGGAAAUUUAGAUUCAUUAAAAAGAACAUGUUGGGAAAUAAUAAUUUUCCGAUUCGAAAUAUCAUAGCAUUUAUAACCCCGAUGGUUUGACGGAUAGCCUAAGAAGACACAUAGAGUCAAACAGGCUUGUAAUUUAUUAAUGGUGGUGGAAGGACAUAAAGGGUAACACAAACAUCCAAAAACUCGAAGAUGGGUGUAAUCUGGAGUUUUUCCAUAAAGAAUUUGAGUAGGAGAGUACUAGCUUAAUGUCUUUGAAGGAAGAAUAUUGAGAAGGUAUGUUGCUAUUUCGAGAGCAUGAGGCCAAAAGGAGGGUGGCAUGGAAGCAUGAGCAAGUAAAGUACGAACCAUGUUAUUGAUAGUUUUUAUUUUUCGUUCGGCUUUACCAUUUUGAGGAGAGGUAUGGGGACAUGAGAAGCGAAAAUACAUACCAUUUAAUUCACAAAAUUUUCUAAAGGGACCAUUGUCAUACUCGCGGCCAUUAUCACAUUGAAAUUGUUUAAUUUCUUUUUCGAAUUGAGUUUUGAUAUAUGCUCUAAAUGAUAAAAAAAAAAAUAGAAUAAACUUGUGAUUUUCUAGACAUAGGAAAAGUCCACAAGAAAUUACUAUAAUUAUCAAGAAAAAGAGCAUAGUAACGAUGACCGGAUGAGCUUAAUAUAGGAGAUGUCCAUAAGUCACUGUGAAUUAUAUCAAAUGGCAUAAUAGUAAAAGAACGAGAAUCAUUAAAUGGAAACUUAAUGUGUUUUCCAAGAGGACAAGAUUCACAAAAAGAAUUGUGAACCUUAUUAUAUUUAAUAAAAUUGCUACUACGAAGAGAAUUCAAAACGACAUUUCCAGGGUGCCUUAAACGAGAAUGCCACAAAUCAAAAGAACUAACAGGAAAAGUAGAAGGUAGAGCUGAAGGUGGUGGGCCCCGAAGUUUGGUGAAGGGAUAGAGAUCGCCCGAGCUAUCACAUCUCAGUAGGUGCUUCCCCGUCUGUAAAUCCUUCACAGAAAAUUCAAAAGGAUCAAAUUCAACAGACACCAUAUUAUCAUUAGUAAAUUUGCGAACUAAGAUGAGGUUUUUAAUAAGUUGAGGUGCAUGCAACACAUUUUUAAGCUUCAAAGGUGGAUUUGUUUGGGUUAGUGAGGCACUUCCAUAACCAAGAAUCGAGAUUGUAUGACCAUUACCAAUAAUAAUGCCAUUAUGUUUGCUCAAAUUAAAAUAAGACGAGAGAGUACCAUGAUUAGCAGUCAUGAGGUGGCACCGGUAUCCAUGUACCAAUUUUCAUCCAGUUGAUGGAGGGAGAGAGUGUGCAUAGCUGCAUCAAUAUCUGUAGGUUCGUAGUUCACACUUAGGGAGGCUGCCGUGUAGUGGGCUUGGGAAGGUUGAGGCCCAAGAACUCCUUUUGUAGAUGAUGGACGGAUCUUCCCUAUAGUGGGAAAUGGGCAAGGUGGGUUGGACCAAGUGUGAGGUGACCAGGGAGCCCAAGGAGGCAUGGAAGCCCAUUGUUAUGGCCAUAAUGGUGCUAAAGGUCACUGCUGUCCCCCGCCACGAGAUCCACCAUGGUUGCCACUACGGCCACCACGACCAUCGCUGUAGUGGCCGCGCCGCCCACCACGGCCACCAUAAUUUCGGCUACCGGAAUUAUUAUGCCCAUUUGCAUUUGCUUGCUACUGUUUGGAAUUAUUGCCACCAGAAACAUUAUCAUUUGUUGAAUUCAUAAGCAAAGCAGAAUCCGAACCUGAUUCAAGAGCGGCACAUUAUUUCAUGCUUUCCACUUCUAAUGAAAACAUCGAACGGGAUUGUGCAAAGGUCGGAAGAGGAAUGCGGUGUUGAAUGAUGGUGACGAACCCCACAUAAGCUUCUGUCAAACCACGAAUCAUUUUGAGAACCAUACGCUCGUCGGAUACUUUUGCUCCCACGUUGGCUAAUUGAUCAGCCAACACUUUAAGUUGCUGGAAAUAUGCAACAACAUUAAGAAAGUCUCGAAGGAGAGUGUUGGUAAAUUGGGUUUCAAGGUGAAUGGCCCUCGUAUUGUUGUUGUCUUGGAAUAAAUCUGCUACACGGUUCCAAGCAUCUUUUGCUUCAUCAUUCGGAUCAAAGAUAGUGUUGAGAAUAUCCAAAGAAACCAUGCUAUAAAUCCAUUGCAUGACAAUGGCAUCCAUCCUCUUCGAAGUCGUUGUUUCGGCAUCCGUCUUGGCGGCGGCAGCUUCUGUAGGAGGGAUGAGGUGGUCAAGGACGAGGUUGGCGCGAGCAUGGAGCUUGAAGAGAGUUUCCCAGUUAUUGUAUUGGUCGUUUUCGAGAUCGAGAGUGAUGGGGAUGGCUGUUUUGAUAUUGGUGACGGUGGUGGUGGGAUGGAUUUUUGAGUCAGCCAUGGAUACAAGGAAGAAGAAGAUGGCAGAAGGUAGGGAGAGGAAGAAAACUAGGGCUUUGAUACCAUAAAAGAAUAUGUUCCCUUGAUCUUUUCUCAUUCAUCCCUUGGUAAUAUAUACAGAGUAUAGACAAAUAUUAUGCCUACAAGUUAGGCUAAGAAUAAGGAAACAGUAUGAUUUUACAACAGAAUAAUAUCCUAAAUUAAAUAUAAAAUAUUUACAAUAAUAAUGAGAAUAACCACAUAUAUUCUAUCAAUAUCAAGUAUAGAAACAAAGCUCCUUCUGCCAAACAUGUCAAACUCACCAUGAAAUCAUAGAACAGUGAGACAUAUAAAAUAACUUUAGUUUAUAAUAAAGGAAUGAUGUUUUAAAACUAAAAUAUACGUUAUAUAAAACACCGGAGACCAUAUAUUCGAUAACAAGUAAGAAGAUUUAUCUAGUUCCCCAAAAAUUAAAAGUAUAUACUGGAGAUAGAAUGAAAUUCUAUAUAUCUUAUAUAUUGCAGGGAGGACUUAUAGAAUAUAAUCAUAACUGUACCUAAUUUAAAAAAUAAUCUAUUAGACCAUUACUACUAUAGCAUAGACCUUAACCAAUGCAUCAAGUGCUCGAACCAAUGAAUUUGGCCCCUCAGCUAUAAGCCCCUCCAGUAACGCAUCAAACAAAUUCGAAUUUCCAAAACCCAAAUGUUUAAUUUUUGACUCAAUAACCUCUAACCAUCUUCUUUCAAUUGGUGAAAAAAUGACAAUGCAAGACUGGGGUUUUCUCUGAGCGUGUUCAAGUGAAAAGUAACUUUAGAAUUUACUAGAAAUAAUACAUACAUACAUACAUACAUACAUACAUACAUACAUAGUGUUGUUUUGGUUUUAUGCGUGCGGUUUUGGCUAGUAACCAAAUCGGAACCAUAAAUUUGGUUAUUCAACCCACUUAAAACCGCCACAUACACCGAAACCGUUGGUGCGGUUCGUGUGAUUUUUGGUGCGGUUUUGGUUCCAAUUUAAUUACUUGCUCAGCCCUAAGGAGAUCCAUACUUGGGUAAUAUAUUUUAUAGCUAUGAUUAGUAAUCUACAUAUUAUCCUAAUAAUACUCUAGCUCUAGCUUGAAAUAUUGAAUCAGCUUUACUUAACAUAAUGUAUACGUGGCUUAUUCUAGUCCUUCACAGCUCAGCUCUUUUAAACAUAAGGUUUGUUUAGUUUAUAAUAAUGAGUAUAACUCAUUUUAUUACCUCUUAGUACAUAUCGCAUCAUAUAUUAUGCAUUUUAAAUACAUACAAUGUAGUCCAAAAAAAUUCGGAUAAAAUAUCCAUAAAUUAGAUCCAUCAAAACGGAAGCUAUUUAUUAAAUAAAAAUAUUUUAUUUAAUAAAUAAAUCUUAUUAUAUUAAAAUAAUUUAUUUACCAUAAAUUACCAAUAUCCACUUAAAACAUCCAUUGCAAAAUAAUUUGCUUCCAUAAUUUAUUUAUGCAAUAUAUAUAUAUAUAUAUAUAUAUAUAUAUAUAUAUUGUGACGCCCCCAAAGUAGGUAUACAUUACCUAUUCUGAGUCGCCAAAUACAUAGUACAGAAUACAAAUACAAUCUUAAAUAUACAACAUGAGCUGUGAGUUUUAAUACAAAUAUUGUCUUCUAGACAGUAUUCAAACUCAAAAUAAGUCCUCAAUACAUUUAUUANNNNNNNNNNNNNNNNNNNNNNNNNNNNNNNNNNNNNNNNNNNNNNNNNNNNNNNNNNNNNNNNNNNNNNNNNNNNNNNNNNNNNNNNNNNNNNNNNNNNNNNNNNNNNNNNNNNNNNNNNNNNNNNNNNNNNNNNNNNNNNNNNNNNNNNNNNNNNNNNNNNNNNNNNNNNNNNNNNNNNNNNNNNNNNNNNNNNNNNNNNNNNNNNNNNNNNNNNNNNNNNNNNNNNNNNNNNNNNNNNNNNNNNNNNNNNNNNNNNNNNNNNNNNNNNNNNNNNNNNNNNNNNNNNNNNNNNNNNNNNNNNNNNNNNNNNNNNNNNNNNNNNNNNNNNNNNNNNNNNNNNNNNNNNNNNNNNNNNNNNNNNNNNNNNNNNNNNNNNNNNNNNNNNNNNNNNNNGCUGUGAGUUUUAAUACAAAUAUUGUCAUCUAGACAAUAUCCACACUCAAUUGAGUCCUCAUUACAUUUAUUAUCACACUAUUUAACAGAAUAGUGAGGACUACUAAUACUAUCAUCUGGACCGUCACUCCGUUCCCCGACUAGUCCCUGUUACGUUCUCAUUUCCUGAAGAGAACAAUGAAAGUAAAAGGGCGAGCUCAACUAGCCCAGUAAGAAAUAAUAUGACUAAGAUAAUACAGAAUAAAUUAUUGUUAGCCUUCAACAGUGUUAAACUGAUAUAACAAACAUCAAGUUUAACUGCAGCGGAACAAGCAAUCCAUUAAAAGAGUCAAGUAGAGAAUAAAAUCUAAUAUCUUCUAUGAUUUAAAAGGUUUUUCAUCACUUUUAUUGUUGAGACUCAGCUUAAUAAAUAAACCACAUCAUCCCUACACUACGGCCAAGGAUAUUCAUUAGUAUCACAACCACAAAUUAUCCAUGCACUACGGGCCAAGGAUAUUUGUGUAUUCAUCAAUGGUCAUGAUCAUGCCAAUAACUGUCCAUCAAUGCACUACGGGCCAAUAAGAAUUUUUACCACAUCAUUUGUAACUUUACGGUCAUGAUUAUACCGAAUAAUCCCUGGUCAUAAUCGUACCAAGUCCAUCUAUGCACUAUAGGCCACAGAUGACUUUCAACAUAAUAUAAACAUGAGGAUGAUGACAAUGACAUAAUAAUUCAAUAAAACAAGUUCAAGAAUAAAUUUUAAAGAUUUAUAAGUUAAUUUAUCCUGAACUCAUUAAUGUCCAAAUUGUCAACAUGAUAUUGCUUUGUGGAGUAAAAUUCAAGAAUGCUCAGAAGAAUAUUUCCAUCAAAAGAUACUAGAUGAAGCGCAAAUAUCCAGGAUAUUCUACUAAUUUCAUGGAGUAUAGAAGCCAAAACUUAAACCAAUUGAGUAUAAUAGAAUAUAUGAAACUGCAAAUGGAUUUUCGUCCGCCAUGCGGUAAUCCACGUAAAUAGAUCAUUUCCACAGUUUAAUAAGGAAUGAAUACAAAGGAUCAUUCACCAUGCAUGCGGUAAUCCACAUAGACAGGUUAUUCCAACAGAAUAAUAAAGAAUAGAACCAGAUCAUGCGUAAUCCGCACAGACAGGAUAUUCCAACAGAAUAAUAAAGAAUGGAACCAGACAGGAUGUUCCAAUAAAAUAAUAAUGAAUGGAACCAGGUCAUGCGAUAGACCGCACAGACAGGUUAUUCCAACAGAAUAAUAAAGAAUGGAAUAACAACAGAAUUCACCAGGCAUGCGAUAGACCACACAGACAGGAUGUUCCAACAGAAUAAUAAAGAAUGGAAUAAUAGAAAAAUUUCACCAUGUAUGCGGUACUUCGUAUAAACAGGUUAUUCCAACAUAAUAAUAAAGAAUGGAAUAACAGAAGAAUUUCACCAAGUAUAGGGUAGACCGCGUAUAUAGGUUAUUCCAACAAAAUAAAAAAAUGGAAUAACAGCAGUUCUCUUCAUGAAUACGAAAGAAAUAAUACCCCUUACCUUAGAAAAAACUAGAUAUAGGAGUAGUGAAGUAGCAAAAUACUUUUCUUCUUUCUCUCUAUAGUUUCUCUCUCUAGAGUUUCAGUGAAUUCGUAAGAAAUAAUGAAGGAAUGAGCUUCUAUUUAUAGGAGAAUGGAUUGAAUAGUAACUAAUUCAUGAACGGUCCAGAUUGAUUUACUUUUAAACAGACGAUCCAUAUUAAUUUACUAUGCAGUAUUAAUAAAAUAUUCUAAUAAAACAAAAUCUUUUAAAUNNNNNNNNNNNNNNNNNNNNNNNNNNNNNNNNNNNNNNNNNNNNNNNNNNNNNNNNNNNNNNNNNNNNNNNNNNNNNNNNNNNNNNNNNNNNNNNNNNNNNNNNNNNNNNNNNNNNNNNNNNNNNNNNNNNNNNNNNNNNNNNNNNNNNNNNNNNNNNNNNNNNNNNNNNNNNNNNNNNNNNNNNNNNNNNNNNNNNNNNNNNNNNNNNNNNNNNNNNNNNNNNNNNNNNNNNNNNNNNNNNNNNNNNNNNNNNNNNNNNNNNNNNNNNNNNNNNNNNNNNNNNNNNNNNNNNNNNNNNNNNNNUAUAUAAAAAGUUUUCUGUUUUAUUACAUUUAUAAUAAUAAUAAAACAAAACUUAUCACCUUUAUUAUAAUUCACAAUAUUAAUCGACCAGGUUGUUCCCAGAAAAGAGGGGGCUUUCCAAUAAGGAUUUCUCCCUAUUGGCGCGCAAUAGGUGACCAAACCUCUCCUUAGCAGAACUUCUAGACAUCGCUAAUAUUGCAAAUAAUAAUAUUAAUAACUUUGUUAUCUCAAUUAUUGAUUUAAUAAUAUAUAAAAUAUCGACAAUAAUUGAAUCAAAUAACGUGAGAGAUAUAAUACAGCAAUUACUGUAGCAAUAAUUAAGUAUAACUGAGUGACUUCUCAUGUAAGCAUCAAUAAUCAAUACUGUGUGCUACUAUGCAACCACGCGUAUUACUGUACUUUUACUACCGAGUAGUUCAACAGUUUUAACGGUAAAACUUUCGCCGUUAUUUUCAUAAAAAUAUUUUUGUCGUUUUCUCAAUCCGAUAAUAAUUCCGUUGUGGAGUCCACCAAUGAUUGUACCGUCGUACGAAUAUUCCCUGUUAAAAUGAAUAUUCCCCGACCAAUCGAAUAUAAUACAACAACUUCCAUACUCUGCAAAAUUUAUAAAUAUUACCCACAACUAUAACAUUAUAUCAAAUUCAUUCCAUAAUAUUCAAAAAAAUAUUUCAAGAAAUUUAAAUCUUUAUUCAUAAAAUUUAGAGUCACACACACACACACACACACACACACACACACACACACACACACACACACACACACACAUAUAUAUAUAUAUAUAUAUAUUUAUUUAUCACACCACGUAUCUCACAUACGUACAUUUUAUAUCGCAACAAAUAUGGUAUGCCACAUCAUGUAACUUGUUAAAAUAAAAUUUUAUUUGUUAAACUUCUAUUUUAUUUUUUUAGGAAAAAUGCAAUCACUACUUGAUAAGCAUGAAACAUGUAUAACUGCAUGCUAUGUAUGAACAUUAUGAUGUAUGAAUAAAUGCAAAACAUUAGAAAGUAUGAAGCAUGUAUAAAAUGCGGAACAUGAAAAAUGUAAUGUAUGUACAUUUGAAAUAAGAAUUAAGUGCUAUGUGAUAACUUCUAAAUUUGAUGGGCAACGUAGUUGUUCACCCUUGCUAUAAAUAAAUGUUUUUCAGCUAAGCUAAUGUUGAAGGAUAUGCGUUAAAGUAGAAGAAGACGAAUGCUUUAUGAUAAAAGCAGAUGUGUAUUAAUUGUAAUAUUUUUACAUGAUGUGAUAUUUAUUUGUAACAUAUGAUGUAUUACACUACAAGAAAAAGGGUUAUCUCCAAUGGAAUUAAUUCUGACCGAAUACAUUUCAUCGAUGUUAAUAUAAGUUCGACGGAAUAUUACGUCGACAUUAAUUGCGUCGAGGUUAGACUAAAGUCAACAGAUAUCCGUCGAAAUUAAGCUCAUUUACUUGGCGCGUAGAUUUUCUGCCAGCGCGAGUUUAAUGUCGACGGAAAAUUCGUCGAAAUUAAGCUCAUUUACUUGGUCCGUCGAUAAUAGCAAAAGGGCGACUGAAAUAAAAUCAACCGAAGUCCGUCGAACUUAUUCUUUUUUUAAAAUAAGCGUACCAGUAGCCCUAAUCUCUUUUCAUUCUUUUCCUUUCUUCCCUAAUUAGCAGCAACGGCGGUGAAUUUGGUCCAUAGCUCCUCCAUCUAAUCUCUCCUCCAUAUAUAUUUCUUCUCCUUCUCUCAUCUCAUCCAUAUUUUUUCCUUCUCUAAGCUCCCGCAUUUGGUCCAUAGCUCAUUUAAGGAGGUGAAUUCGACUGGGACUGUUACUGUGUGGUGGUACCGACGGCGGCGGCGGCGGUGACUUGGGUUCGGAGUGGUGGUGUCGGCUGGGGUGUUCUUCUUCCUCCAUAGUUAAGUUCUUUCAAUUUACAAGUUAGAGCUUAAUUUUUUUUGUUAUCAAGUUUAAGAAUUCCAAAAUUAUUUUUAGCCCUAAAUAACGGAAAUUAAAUUAUUGAUUGAUAUGUUCCCUAAAAUUAUCUAUAUUGGUUCAGCAUAUCUAUGUUGGUUUGAAUUAAGAAAUUAAAUUAUUGAUUGAUAUGUUCCUAAAUUGGUUUGAAUAUUCAGUGAAAUGCAUAUGAUUUACCUUAUAUUCAAUGAAAUGAAUUAUCUAUAUUGGUUCAGCAUAUCCAUUUUGGUUUGAAUUAAGGAUUCAUGUUGGUUUGAAUAAUUUGAUUUGUCUUGGUUCAAUAUAUCCAUUUUCUGCCUUUUUAUGUUAUAUGGAUUUGGUUCAAUUUGGUUCAUAUAUAUGAAAUGGUUAAGCAUAUCCAUUUUCUGCCUUAGAAUCAUGGAUUCUAGCAUUGUGAAUUGAAGACUUUGUGUGUCGAAUUAUUUCCGAUGGAAUUUCCAUGGAAGUUAUAGAUGGUAUUAAAUAAAUCAAUACUUAACUAUAAAAGACAAUUAGGACUUAGUUUGACACUAAAAUAAAAUAAAAAAACACAAUAAAGUUAUACAAAAUAAAUAAUAUAAUAAAAAAUAAAUUAAUUAACUAAAAUAAAUUAAUUAAUUAAGGUAAAUUAAAUUAAUAAUAUAAUACAAAAUAAAUAAAUAAAUAAAUAAAAUAAAAUAAAGUAAAAUAAAAUAAUUAAUUAAGGUAAAUUAAAUUAAAUAAUAUUAUUCAAAAUAAAUAAAAUUAAAUAAUAUAAAAUAAUUAAAAUUAAUUAAUUAAUUUAAAUUAAAUAAUAUAAUACAAAAUAAAUAAAUAAAUAAAUAAUAAAAUAAAAUAAUUAAUUAAGGUAUAUUAAAUUAAAUAAUAUUAUACAAAAUAAAUAAAAUUAAAUAAAUUAAAAUAACUAAAAUAAAUUAAUUAAUUACUUUAAAUUAAAUUAAUUAAUAUAAUUCAAAAUAAAUAAAAUUAAAUAAUAUAAAAUAACUAAAAUAAAUAAAUUAAUUAAUUUAAAUUAAAUGAAAUAAUAUAAUACAUAAUAAAUAAAUUAACUAAAAUAAAUUAAUUAAUUAAGGUAAAUUAAAUUAAAUAAUAUUAUACAAAAUAAUUAAUUAAGNNNNNNNNNNNNNNNNNNNNNNNNNNNNNNNNNNNNNNNNNNNNNNNNNNNNNNNNNNNNNNNNNNNNNNNNNNNNNNNNNNNNNNNNNNNNNNNNNNNNNNNNNNNNNNNNNNNNNNNNNNNNNNNNNNNNNNNNNNNNNNNNNNNNNNNNNNNNNNNNNNNNNNNNNNNNNNNNNNNNNNNNNNNNNNNNNNNNNNNNNGGAAGUUAUAGAUGGUAUUAAAUAAAUCAAUACUUAACUAUAAAAGACAAUUAGGACUUAGUUUGACACUAAAAUAAAAUAAAAAAACACAAUAAAGUUAUACAAAAUAAAUAAUAUAAUAAAAAAUAAAUUAAUUAACUAAAAUAAAUUAAUUAAUUAAGGUAAAUUAAAUUAAUAAUAUAAUACAAAAUAAAUAAAUAAAUAAAUAAAAUAAAAUAAAGUAAAAUAAAAUAAUUAAUUAAGGUAAAUUAAAUUAAAUAAUAUUAUUCAAAAUAAAUAAAAUUAAAUAAUAUAAAAUAACUAAAAUAAAUAAAUUAAUUAAUUUAAAUUAAAUGAAAUAAUAUAAUACAUAAUAAAUAAAUUAAUUAAUUAAGGUAAAUUAAAUUAAAUAAUAUUAUACAAAAUAAUUAAUUAAGGACUUCCUUGUAUGCAGGGUUCGACAUAGCAGUUGCAGCUAAUAGUACUCCAACCGGUUCCUCGACAGCAAUUAAAAAAAAGGGUCGUAGUUUCUGUUUAUGUCUUAUACUCGAAUAAUAAAGUUAAUUGAAUUAUUACAGACAUUCCUCACUGUUCCAUCACAACAGAUGCCAACAUACGGAAGAAGUGCCAUUAAGUUGUUGAACAAAGUUCUAGGUUAAGCAACCCUCUAGAUGAGCGAACGAUCACUUCUCUACUAGGAAUGAAUCAUUGCCUGAUAUGGGUCUAAUCCAUGACAUAGACAGUUUCUCACCACUCAAAAUCCCUCACGUGUCAUGAUUAUGAUCGACCGAAUUUCCUCGACAGACUAUUUUCAGUCGGAAUUAUACUAAGACCGACUGAAUAUUCGGUCGAUGAUAAGUCCGUCGACAGUAAGUAUCCCCGACCGAAAGACCGACAGACCGACAGACUUAAUUUCGACCUGCUUAUAUACGACCGAAGUUCCGACCGAAUAUUCCGUCGGAAAUGAGGUUAACCUCAACGGAAUAUCCUUAUUACCGACGAAAUAUUCCGUCGGAAAUAAGCCUUUUUAUUGUAGUGUUAGUAAAUGUCUUAGAACCUAAGUUUAGAUGAGAUGUAUUGUAAUAAAUAUAGAGAUUAUAUUUAUGAUGUUAAAGUUAUGAUGGAUGAUUAGCAUCGUGAAGCAUCGGAUCCGGACUUGAAGAUAGACCCAGAGUUUAGGGGCUUUACAAUUAGCUCGACUAAAAAACAAGUCGAGUCAAAUCAAACUCGAUCGAGUAAAAUAAAACGAGUGAAAUUCAAAUUUGAGUAAAAAUUGUGAAAUCAUAAUUCGACGAAUCAAAAUAUUUUAAAUAGCUGCAAGUAGAAUCUGAAUAAAGUAUUGCUUAACUCUACUCAAGAUCAUUUAAAUCUUGAUGUUGGAGUAAAUAAUAAAAGUGCAUCUGUUAUUGUCAAAAUUUUAGAGAUUGGUAGUAACAAAUGGUAAAAUAGAGUAUAUGUUUUAGACACAAAUUUAUAAUAAUUUGUGGUAUAUUUUAUUAAGAUCUAGCGACGUUUCAUAUAUUACGGUUUUGUCAAUUCACCAAUUUCAUUAAUAAUUAUUUUGACAAUUUACUAAUUUAACAAUUAAAAUUACGUCAUAUUAAGUAUAGUACAUACAUAAACUUGUAUAUAUUUAAUACACACAUUCCAUUUCCCUUUAAUAAUAAUAAAAAAUUGCUUGCGAUAACUAAAAUAUGUACCACUAGAUGUGUCAAUAGUACAUAAUCUGUACUUGAGUAUAUAAGGAGUACCAAAAUACUUCUUCUGGAGAAAUAAUAUUUUUUUUGGGUCCAAAUAUAAGAUUAAUUUCAUUUUAAAAAAUCAUUUUAAGACAUUCUUAAAUUCAAAAUUGAUACGAUUUACUUAAAUUCAAAAAUAAUAAAUAGUUUUAUUAAUAGUAGUUAAUACUUUUUAAAUAAUUUAAAAUAUCUAUAAUUGUAUUGACUAAAUGUAAUAACAUAACUAAAAAACGGACACAAUAAUAGAAGAUAAUAUUUACAAAAUACCUUUCCUUUUUAAGGAAUAUAUAAUUUAAACUUUAUAAUAAAUGCUUUUAAUAACUAUUAUUAAAUUAUGGUCAACUUUAGAUAGAUUGAAGGGCAAUUUAGUUUUGAAAUAUUAUUAUUCUAUAUAUGUGAAUUUCAAAUGCUGUCAUUUGAUUGUGUUUUUUUCCUUUUUCUUCAUUUAACUAUGUUUAAGUUAAUAUUAUCGAGUUUCAUAAUCUCCAAAAUACAAAAAAUACUAAUUUUUUUGAACGAGAGUUAAUUAUGGAGAAUUAAGUCAUUAAUCUCCCUCUUAUCAAAAAAUUGAUUAGAAUAAUAUAUUUCUCUUUGACUUUUCUUGCAAAAUUUAAAUUUGUGUAGUAUAUAAUUAACAUUUUGAUAACAAAUUUUAAAACUAUAACUCAUUAUCUAAAAAUGAUGUUUAAACUCAUACUUUAGCAUUAUGCCAUUUGCAAAACAAUACAAAAUGAUCCAAUUUUUUGAUUGUCCAAAAAUUUAGGGUUAGUCUUCCCGCCUCCAAACUGUCUCUUAUUAGACAAUCUAUACCCUACAUUCACUUUAAAAAUCCACGUGGACGGUAAACAUUAAAGAGUUGUAUAUUUUCCAUUUUUUGUCAUCUUAUGAUUUGAAACUAGAUUCUGCUUACAUAAACAACUACGGUAUUGCUUGGUAGAAGCUCUUGUUUGAUUGAUUGUAAUUGAGGAUCAGAAAUAUUUGUAUGAAAUGUCCUACCUGAGGAGGAGGGAGGGAUAUCCUAACCCUACUAUCAUUUUGCCUUUGCAAUGUUACUUGGUUGAACUCUAUUUGAGAAAUCCUUCUCUAUACAAGUUCUUGAAUUUCAUCACCUCGUAUCCAUUCGCUUCGUAAUGGGAUCAAGUAGCGGAGGCAUUGGCUUGGUAUGAACAUGCAUCUUUCCGUUUCGACGAGUCUUCAUUCUCGAUGACGGAUGAGUAAAUCCUUUAGCGGCAUACCUGGAAUGCAAUGUGAUAGAUGGUAGAGGGCUGCUUGCGUCCAAAAGGGAUGAUUCACUUGUCCCCUUGUUCAUAGAGAUCUUGUGGCAUACAACCGAAACGAUUCCCGCUAGAUAGCCGCCCAUUUCUCUCUUUUUAUAGCCAUGUAGACGGACGAAAGAAGGGAUGAAACAAAAUUUAAUACGAGAAAUGCUAUUUAUAAUAGAAUGUAUAAUAAAUUUAAGUUUUUGUAUCUUGCUUGAAAUUAAAAUGUAUCUGUUGAUCGAUUUCGCAAUCAAUGAAUACGUGCAAGUAUACAUGGUCAACAAGUAAUAAAGUGAAAGUAGAGUAUCGUUCCCACGAGGAAUUAUUUAAUAAAAAUUACCAAUUACUAACUCUUAACCAAAUCAAUUUUAUUUAAACAAUAGCAAAUUAUGAAUUUUCUAAUUAAGAAAACUAAAUUAAACAAUUAAAACUAAGAUUUUAACGAAUGAAUUCAGGUAAAUAAAGAUUAAGACUCCAAUAUCCCCAAUUAUGAACUAUAAACCAAUUAUCCAAUUAUCCCAAUUAUUAUGUCUACUGAAUUGUUAACAGGAAUUCUCAAAUGCCAAAAGCCUUUUUCCAAGUGAUCAAUUGCCUUCUAUUUAAUCCAGAUUAAUUUUGCUAUAUUUCUAUGCAAAACAAUUGAAUUAAACUCGUUACAAUCCCAAUUCCUUAUGUGUUACAUGCGGCAAAUAGAUAUUCUCAUUCUAUUCACAAACCUAAUUAUUCACUGUGCAAAUAACUAAGUCACAUGUCACCAUGCCCAGUUCUAACCCUAGAAUUCCUUUCUCAAUUCCUUCUAGAGUAACAAGGUAAUUACUGAUCAGAUAAUUAAUCAAUAAGCACAAAGCAAGAUGAACAAUUCACUUCAACAUAAAUAAUUAGAAUAAAUCAAAUAAUCAAUUCAUAAUCAUAAAAAGUUCAAUUGAAAUCUUAAUGAAAGAGUUAGUUCAUAAUUAAUGAAUUAAAAUCAAGAAUCCACAAUUGAAUAGACAUUAAAAGAUAAAAGUAAGAGAAGAGAAGAGAAUAUAAUCUAUUGUCAGUAGCCUUGAGACUCCUCUUUCGCUCCUGCUUUGAAUCUUCAAUGGUCUCCAAGUUGCUUCAAUCUCCAAAACUAAUAAGAACUAGGGUUAUGUUCUAAUCUAAAGGAGUGUUUAAUCUAGUCUAAUCUAUGUAAUCUCCUCUUAUUUUAUGCCUUACAUCAUGUAUUUAUAGGUUACAAGUCCAAUUUUUAGUUUAGGAACAAACCCAAUCCAAUUUGGAGUCAAAAAGGUGUCAAAAUUCGCCCAAAACGCGUCCAGGCCAUCACCAAGCCCUUCCCCAGCGCCCCAGCGCUGGGAACGACGCUCAGACACUGCCUUAUAGCGCCCUGGCGCUGGAAAAUGAACUAAGAAUAGCGCCCCGGCGCUGUUACAAGUUUUGACAUUUUUUGCUCCGACGUCCUUUGGAAAAAUGGCCAUAACUUCUUCGUCCGAACUCCGAUUUCGAUGAUUCAAGAUGUUCCGGAAAGAGGAAACAUAGAUCUACAACUUUUAUUCUUUGAGUGUUUCGAAAUAAGGUAUUUAGCGAUACUCAAAUUGGCUCUAAAGUGACUGCUGUGUAAAUGGCAAGCCGAAAACGCGAAUCUAGCCACCCCAAACAUCGAUCCAUGUAACUUUUGUCCCAAUUCCUAUAAAAUAACAUAAAACAUGCAUGAAUAGACACAAACACAUAAAAACAUCCUAAAAGACUUAAGAACAACAAUAAAUUAAGCCCGAAUGUAUCCAAUUCAUGGGUAUAAAACUCACUCAUCAAAUACCCCCAAACUUAAAUCUUUGCUUGUCCUCAAGCAAAAACACAAAAAUGUUAUGCAAUGCAAUGUAAUGAAACUAAUCUAUAUGCCUACGAAUCCAACAGUAAUGACAGAAACAAGUCUAUUCAACCGGCCUUAGAGAAAUCAAGUAAACAUGAUAAUACAUCAUAUUAAAACAAAUCAGUAAUUUCCCAAUCAAUCAUCAAAUCUUAGACUGUUAUCACUGAUAUAGUGCGUGUGUGCUCCACAACAAUGUUAACUGAUAUAAAAUCAAAUUUAAGACAUAAUAGAUAUCUUUGAAGGCAUCAUACAGUGCAAAUUCACAAAAUUCACGAACAAGCUAUAUCCAACUAAAGUCAAACAUCCACCAAGUUCAAGAGUCCAAUCUGGGAUACUUAUGCUUUACUUUUCAUUACGGGGGCUUUUUGCUCUUUUCCCGUUUUUUUUUUUUUUUUUUAACCAUAACUGUGCAAUGUCUCAUUCCAUUAGGCUAACAGUGUCACCCCUUAGCGAGCUUUCGACCAACGACUCCCAGACCAUAUAAGACCUUAGGGCGCUAGGUUUUAAGAUACCCCUUCGGGCGUACUUACUCAAGUAACAAAGGCCCCGAAACAAAACUAGCCACGGUAAUUUUUUUUUUCUUUUUCUCUUUUUUUUAUAGAUGGUUGGUGAGUGCGUUUUACGCUCCAUCUCACGCUUGUGUUUAUGGGGAGUGUUUCUCCUCAACCCACCACAAGACUCAACAUGUUUUUUUUUUUUUUUUUUUAAAGCUUAUAUACCCCAAAAUUUCCCCCCAAACUUAAGUUUUUAUCAAAAUUUAGCCAUCUCCGCCUAUUCAUGUCUUUCAUUCCUUCACACUAGUAUUAUACUUAAGAAAUCCAUUAUGUAUCAAUUUAAACUUAAUCAGUUAACAUAGCUGUUAUUAACGUGCUAACCUUGAUUAUACCAGUUUCAAACAGGAAAAGAUUCAAUUCAUAACAAGAAAUCACAUCAAAGCCUGAAUAUUCAAUACUAUACUUAUCUACUUAACUCCAGUCUCAUCAUUGGCCAAAAUAGACUUUUACUAUCUAACAGUUGGAAUCAUGCAAAUAUAAACUAACUGCAACAAACAUAGUAAACUAACUACUAUUUUUGCGAUUUUAAAAUUUUUUUUUUUAAAAAAAAAAAAAAAAAAAAACGAAUGCAACAACUAAAUGUAAAUAACCCGAAAACAUAACGAACUACAAUGUAAAUAACUAACUAUAUGCAAUACGACACUAAAAUGCCCCCAAACUUAAACUAGACAUUGUCCUCAAUGACUGAAAUAGAAAAAAUUAAAGCAGAGGACUUCCCUGAAAAUAUAGCAAUCUUCCUCCUUGCCCGCUAAGUUUGGAGAAUAGGCUAAGCACAUGGAACAAAUUGGGCACCACACUUGAAUUUGACUUGAAUAACCUGUAAAACCAUGAUAGAAGCAAUUUUAUUAAAUCCUAAAUAAAUGCAAAUUCAAAACUACUAAUAUAAAACUUAAUAAAAACUAAAAAUAAAAAUUAAACUUGGGUUGCCUCCCAAUAAGCGCUUGUUUUAUAGUCUCAGCCUGACUUCUUCAAUUCUCUAUCCAAUUCCCCUACGAAAGUUGAGGAACCCUCCAUCCAUCGGAAAUAAUAUAGCUUUUGGUAGGUUCCCAUUUGUAAUAGCCAUUGUAUUAAAGUCACCUAGAAUGCUUUCUUGAGAUAAGAUCACAUUCAAGAACGUCCAGCAUCUAGGUGGUUUCUCCAUUGUGUCUGCGAAUAUAUUCUGGCAUAGAGGCUUGUCAGACACAACAAUUUCUUCUUCUAUCUUCUCUAGCUCAUCGCACCAUGGUUUCGAAGGUGUACUUGCUUUUACAUCACAGAGAGUAUUGCCGACGACAUGACUACCAAUCGGACAAGGUUUUGCAAAUCUAACCGGACUCUUGAACUGUGGAGGAGAAGGCACUUGAGGCAUAAAUAACAUUGGCUCAUCAUCAUUGGUUCUCACAAUUAGUUCUUCACCGACCUUGUUGUCAUUAUCCCCACUUGUCUCCUCUUUUUCAUCUCGUGGCUCAUCCAGUUGUAGAUUUGGCUCGGGCUCACCAUCGGGCUCGGAAUCCAUGUCAUAGGGCCAGGUGUAUUGAGGACGGUUGUUCAACGCAUGUGCUAUCUGUUCCACUUGAUUUUCCAAAUUCUUGAUCAACGCCCCUUGGCUUUGCAAAUUCAGCUCUACUUGAUUCAUUUUCUUGUCUUGUUCCUCAUUCCUUUUUUCAGAAGCUUUAAUAAAUUUUUCCAAGGCUUCCUCCCAAUUUGAAUGUUCUUCCUGUUGUAGUGGAGGUGGACACAAGAAAUCCUGUGGGUAUGUUGGACUUGGAGCAUAAAAUUGAUCUUGAUUGUUACUCCAUGAAAAAUCCGGGUGAUACCCCCAAUCCUGAUGAUAGUUGUUGGGAUAGACAUAAUUAUUGGGGUAAUCACCACUAUACUGUACCGGCUCGAAACUGAUGGUGCAUUGAUGACUCAUAUGAUUUCCAGCACAAUAAUCACAAGUAACCACCAUACUUUGACGACGCUGAGCUUCAAAAGCUUCAAACAUCCUCGAAAGUGUCUCAAUCUGUGCUGACAAUGCAGAAAGUUUCUCGAGUCUUUCAAUCUCCACUCCCCUUGGUUGAGUCAUGUUCGUGUAUGGCCAUUGAUACACAAAGUCAUCCAUGGUACCUGAAAAGAGAGAAAUAUAGAAAGAGAAUUAAAAAUAAAAAUAAAAAUGUUUAAAUUAAGACUAAUUUGAUUGAAAUUAAUAUUGGUAAAUAAUUAUUAAAUUAAUUCCCCGGCAACGGCGCCAAAAACUUGUUGAUCGAUUUCGCAAUCAAUGAAUACGUGCAAGUAUACACGGUCAACAAGUAAUAAAGUGAAAGUAGAGUAUCGUUCCCACGAGGAAUUAUUUAAUAAAAAUUACCAAAUACUAACUCUUAACCAAAUCAAUUUUAUUUAAACAAUUACAAAUUGUGAAUUUUCUAAUUAAGAAAACUAAAUUAAACAAUUAAAAGAGAUUAGUCUAAAAGAAAGCAAAUAAACAAAACUAAGAUUUGAUUGAAUUCAGGUAAAUAAGGAUUAAGACUCCAAUAUCCCCAAUUAUGAACUAUAAAUCAAUUAUCCAAUUAUCCCAAUUAUUAUGUCUACUGAAUUGUUAACAGGAAUUCUCAAAUGCCAAAAGCCCUUUUCCAAGUGAUCAAUUGCCUUCUAUUUAAUCCAGAUUAAUUUUGCUAUAUUCCUAUGCAAAACAAUUGAAUUAAACUCGUUACAAUCCCAAUUCCUUAUGUGUUACAUGCGGCGAAAAGAUAUUUCCAUUCUAUUCACAAACCUAAUUAUUCACUGUGCAAAUAACUAAGUCACAUGAUAUCAUGCCCAGUUCUAACCCUAGAAUUCCUCUUUCAAUUCCUUCUAGAGUAACAAGGUAAUUACUGAUCAGAUAAUUAAUCAAUAAGCAUAAGGCAAGAUAAACAACUCACUUUGACACAAAUAAUUGGAAUAUAAUGAAUAACUAAUUCAUAGCCAUAAAAAGUUCAAUUGAAAUCUUAAUAAAAGAGUUAGUUCAUAAUUAAUGAAUUAAAACCAAGAAUCCACAAUUGAAUAGACAUUAAAAGAUAAAAGUAUGAUAAGAGAAGAGAAUAGAAUCUGUUGUCAGCAAAUCUGAUGCUCCCCUCUUGCUCUUGCUCUUGAUCUUCAAUGGUCUCCAAGUUGCUUCAAUCUCCAAAACUAAUAAGAACUAGGGUUAUGUUCUAAUCUAAUGGAGUGUAUCUCUAGUCUAAUCUAUGUAAUCCCCCAUUAUUUUAUGCCUUACAUCAUGUAUUUAUAGGUUACAAGUCUAAUUUUUAGUUUAGGAACAAACCCAAUCCAAUUUGGAGUCAAAAAAGGUGUCAAAAUUCACCCAAAACGCGUCCAGGCCAUCACCAAGCCCUUCCCCAGCACCCCAUCGCUGGGAACGACACUCAGACACUUCCGUAUAGCGCCCCGGCGCUGGAAAAUGAACUAAGAAUAGCGCGCCGGCGCUGUUACAAGUUCUGACAUUUUCUGCUCCGACAUCCUUUGGGAAAAUGGCCAUAACGUCUUCGUCCGAACUUAGAUUUCAAUGAUUCAAGAUGUUCCGGAAAGAGGAAAAGUAGAUCUAAAACUUUUGUUCUUUGAGCGUUCUGAAAUAAGGUCUGUAGCAAUACUCAAAUUGGCUAUGAAGUGACUGAUGUGUAAAUGACAAGCCGAAAACGCGAAUCUAGCCACCCCGAACGUCGAUCUAAGUAACUUUUGUCCCAAUUCCUACAAAACAACAUAAAACAUGCUUGAAUAGACAUAAACACUUAAAAACUAAUCUAAAAGACUUGAGAACAACAAUAAAUUAAGCUUGAAUGUAUCCAAUUCAUGUGUAUAAAACUCACUCAUCAGUAUCUCUAGUUUAUUACAUUGUAAUUUUGAGAAAGAUAUUCUCAGUAUUAAUUUCUACUAAAUAAACUCAUUUGUAAAUAUUAAAAAAAUAAUAAUUUUAUUUCAUAAUUACUUUUAGAUUACUAGUUGCAUAGAUUAUCGUAUUGAAAUUAUAAUAAAAUUGCCAUGAUAAAUUUAAAGAUAUAUAGUCACAUUAUAUAGCACUAGUUGAUAACCCAUGUAAUGCAUGAACUAAUUUGAAUAACAAAUUGUAUAACUUGUUAAAAUUUCGAUGCAAAAAAUAUUUUUUUUAUAAUAAGUUAUUUUCAUAUAAAUUUUUCAAUUCAUUUUUGCAUGAAAUGAUCAUCAUAUGUAAAAUAUUGUAAAUUAGAGUUGGUGCAAAGGACCCUAUAAGCAAUGAAUUCAUAACUGUAGUUUUUAAAUUAAUUAGAGUCAAACAUUAUGAUAGGAUCUUAUCCUCCUUCUGCCAUAGACUUAAUGAUGCAAGAACCCCAUGGAAUCAAUCCAACAAAAACUUGAUGAUUUUCUAUUUAACCCUAGAAAUAAAAUUAAGAGAUUGAAAAACAUAUGGUUUUCGUAUGUAUCCGUGUGUGGAGAGAUGUGGGGGAGGGACGUGGCUUACCUCCACUUAAAUUCAACUAUCAAAUUUAUAGAAAUAUUCUAAUUGUUGCGAAAAUAGCAAAUAGACUCCAUCAAUUUUUUAAGUCUAGACAAUAAAUAUAAGUAAACAGAUUUUCACUUUAAUGAAAAUUAAACACAACACACAAAUUCAAAGUUAAAACUACACGCAUACAUGAACUCUUAGCUUACUCUCAAGGCUUCUACAUACUCUUUUUUGAUAUUCUAUUUUUCACUAUGCAAUACAACUUAUGAGAUAAUUUCACUUUAUAAGACUAUCAUAUUAUGCAUUCAAUUGACAUUGUCGACUGAAAGCUGAAAUAGAACUUACCAAUAUUCAAUUUUAAAAGAAAAAUAAAUUUGUCAUUUCACUCCAAAAUUUUGCACGUCAUAUGACAAUAAUCUGCCUUACUCAAGUUUUGGAGCACAAAUUCCCACCUGGUAUAAUCAGAGAACAAAAAAUUACAAAAAGCAACUAUAUUAAGGUGCAGUUUAUCAUGACAUGAAAACUAUGAAGUUCAACAGUAAAUCUGAGAAGGAUUCCAAUAACUAUAAAUGCACGAUCAAUAACAAAAAUAAUCUAGAAUAUCAACUACAAAAUAUAAAUUGAAUUCAAAGAAAUAAAUAACUUACACAUUGAAAAUUAAACAGUGUAUGACCCUUAACAUUUGUUAGUCCGUGUAUGUAUACAUCUAUAUUUAUACAUGCGUACGUGUGUGUGUGUGUGUGUAUAUAUAUAUAUAUAUAUAUAUAUAUAUACACACACACACACACACACAAAUGUAUUGCAGCUUUAAGAGCAACAAAACACUUUUGAAAAAAAAUGGUUGCUCAGGUAAGACUCCAACUUUUAUGAAUAAAAAUGAAUUUUCUAUAAAUAUCAUUUUUGAAUAUUAUGGAGUGAAUUUAAUAUAAUGUUAUAGUUGAGGGUAAUAUUUAUAAAUUUUGUAAAGUACGCAAGUUGUUAUAUUAUAUUCGAUUGGUCAGGGAAUAUUCGUACGACGGCACAAUCAUUGGUGGACCCCACAACGAAAUUAUUGUCGGAUUGAUAAAACGACAAAAAUAUCUUUUUAUAAAAAUAAUGGCGAAAGUUUUUACCGUUAACACUGUUGGAAUACCUGGUGGUUAAAAUACAGUAAUACGCGUUGUUGCAUAGUAACACACGGUAUUGCACAGUAUUUUUGAAUUAUUGAUUCUUACGUAAGAAGGCACUACUCAAUAAUUGUUACAGUAAUUACUGUUAAAUAUUUUAUUUUAUUGAUUCAAUAAUUGCUGCGUUGAUAUAGUAUAUUACUAUUGUUUCAAUAAUUGUCACUGCACAGUAUUUUUCAUUAUCAGAUCAAUAAUUCAUAUUAUUUAAAUAAUAUUAUUAGAUAGUAUGAUUGGCAAUGUCUAAAAAGUUUAGUCAAUGAGAGGUUUGGUCACCUAAUUGCGCGCCAGUAAGGAGAAAUUCUUAUUGGAAAACCCCCUCUUUCUUGGGAACGGCCUGGUUGUCAUAAUUAUGAUUCUGUAAUAUUAUUUGUGAAUAAUUAAUUAUUGAUUUAUAUGAUAAGGAAAUAUAAAUUUUUUUGUGGAUAUAAAGGAAGGAAUUUAAUGUUGAGGUGUUUUGUCGGAAUGGAGGUAUUAAAAAAUCAAAUCACUGUUCUUAAAGCUCUAUUGCGUGAGUUAUAAUUUUGAUCCGACCGUUGGAUCGUUGUGAUUUUUGGAUAUGUUAUACAUAUAUAAGUUGAGUAUAUGUCCACAAAUUUUGAACCGUUAAAAAUUAGCGUAUGAUUUGUUAUGAAUUUUAAGAGGUGUUGAAAAUUGUUCGUUUGUGAAAUUCGGAUAUUUUCUGUUUGGAAUUUGGAAAAACUUUCUUCUGCAAAGUUGUAGAGAAUUUGAUUUCGUGUGGAAUGGACAUAAAAUUCGUAUUUUUCUGAUAAAAGGGCUAUUUAUUAUGAAUUAUUGAAGUUUCAAAAAAUAAAAUAUUUUUUUAUUAAAAUUGGGUGGGACCCACUUUUGUUUUUCAAACUUGUGGGCUGAAAUUUUUGUUCCAAGUUGGCUGCUCGUUUGGUGGGUGGACGUAAAGAUUUAAAAAAAAUAAUAAUAUUAUUAUUUUAUUAUUUUAGUCUCCUAUGGCGUUUUAGCAUUUUCCUAUAAAUAAGCGCUUAAGUUAGAAUUGAAAAUCACACCAGAAUCAAAGAAUUUUUCUUCUAUAAUCUUGAGCGUAUUUAUUUCGAGUUUUAGAAAGUUUUGAGCGUAGAAAAUAGUGAAAGUUUUCUUCAAGAAUAUCCCCGCUAUACCAGUUGGAAUACUCUUCUUUUUAAGGUAAGUGAUGUUAUUUUUGUUCAAUAUUUGCUUGAAAUAAUAUUUUCUUCCAUACUCUGUAGUAUGUAAGUAAUAUUAUUUUGUUUCAAAUUUCAAAUUAUAUACUCGUUUUGUUAAAAUUUUGGCUUUUAUACUCCAUGAAAUUAGUAGAAUAUCCUUGAUAUUUGCGCUUCAUCUAGUAUCUUUUCAUGGAAAUAUUAUUCUGAGCAUUCUUAAAAAGUUUUAACUUUUUCAUGCCGGAAUUAUAUUCACGGGGUUACUAUUCCCGAAGUACUAUUCACGAGAUACUAUUCACUCGAGUACUAUUCACCCGGGGUACUAUUCAUGAUAAAAAUUGAUUCGUUUUCGGUCCAAAUUAUUUUUGGUACAAUAUUAUUCUUGAAUUUUACUCCACAAAGCAGUAUCAUGUUGACAAUUUGGACGUUAUUGAUUUCUGGAUAAAUUAAAUUAUAAAUCUUUAAAAAUUUAUCCUUGAACUUGUUUUAUUGAAUUCUUAUAUCAUUGUCAUCAUCCUCAUGUUUAUAUUAUGUUGAAAGUCAUCUGUGGCCAGUAGUGAAUAGAUGGACUUUGUAUGAUUAUGACUAGGGAUUAUUCGGUAUAAUCAUGAUCGUAAUGUUACAAAUGAUGUGGUAGAAGUCCUCAUUGGCCCAUAGUGCAUUGAUGGAUAGUUGUUGGCAUGAUCAUAACCAUUGAUGAAUACACGAACAUCCUUGGCCCGUAGUGCAUGGACAAUUUGUGGUCGUGAUACUAAAGAAUAUCCUUGGUCGUAGUGCAGGGGUGAUUCGAUGAUGUGGAUUAUUUAUUAAGCUGAGUCUCAACGAUAAAAGUGAUGAAAAACCUUUUAAAUCAUAGAAGAUAGUAGAUUUUAUGCUCUACUUGACUCUUCUAAUGGAUUAUUUGUUUCGCUGCAGUUAAACUUGAUGUUUAUUAUAUUUUAUCAGUUUAACAUUGUUGAAGGCUAACGAUAAAUUAUUCUGCAUUAUCUUAGUCAUAAUAUUUCUUACUGGGCUAGUUGAGCUCACCCUUUUGCUUUCAUCGUCCUCUUUAGGAAAUGAGAACGUAGCCGGGACUAGUCGGGGAACGGGGUGACGGUCCAGAUGAUAGCAUUAGUAGUCCUCACUAUUCUAUGAAAUGAUGUGAUAAUAAAUGUAUUGAGGACUCCAUUUGAGUUGAAUAAUGUCUAAAAGACAAUAUUCGUUUUAAAACUCUCAGUUUAUGUUUUGUCGUAUUUUACACGAAAAUUGUAUUAUUAAGUUGUAUUUGAAUUUUGUACCAUGUAUUUGUCGACUCAAGAUGGGUGAUGUAUACCUAUUUUGGGGGCGUCACAGUUGGUAUAAAAGCUUAGGGAUAUGAUCCCUAGCUGAGAUAUGAGACAAGAACUAGGAGGGGAGAGACGGGAAAUUCCUUCGCUAGUAUGACCUACCUAAGUUUAUUUGGUAUUUAAUUGGUCGGUCAGAGUAUAGGGAUAAUAUGUGAUAUGUUAAUUAACCCUUGUUUUGUGGCAGUAUUUGAAAAUGACAUCCGAGAAUGUUGAGAAUAGCAAUGGAGCACAGGAGACCGUUGAGUCUCCACAGAUCAAUAAUCAGGAUAAUGUGCAUCAGGAAGGCGACAAUCCUCAUGCAAACAACAAAACUGACCAAAUGAUGAACGAUAGAAUGUUCAGAGGCUUUCUACAAUUCAUGCAACAUCAGGCAAGAGAGACUCAUGUCCGAAAUGUAGGUGGAAACACUGGCAACUCUCGGACGAUCACUGCUAAACAGUUGAAGGAGCUGGGACCACCGGAGUUUUUUGGAAAGCCAAAACCACUUAAGGCCGAGACGUGGAUAAACCAGAUCAACAAGAUAUUUGAUGUCUUGGGAUGCUCCGAGGAGCAAAAGGUUCCCUUUGCCACCUUCAUGUUGCGGGCAAAAACAGAUUACUGGUGGGAAUUUGUAAAGCGUACUUAACCUACCGCACUGAAGAUGUCUUGGGUGAAGUUCCAAGAACUGUUCAACGACAAGUACUUUCCCGAAAGUAUUCGUCACAUGAAAGAGGUAGAGUUCAUUAAACUGGAGCAAAACAACAUGACCGUGUCACAGUACGAAGCUAAGUUUGCUGAGUUGUCCCGGUUUGCACCCCACUUAGUUGAUAAUGAGGAGAGAAUGACACGGAUGUUUCUAAGAGGUUUGAAACCCGAGAUACGUCAAUACCUUAUCUCUCACAAACUUUGCUUCUAUUCAAAUGUUGUGAAUAGGGCUCAGUUAUUGGAAUGUGAUAAUGAGUCAACCCAACCAAGAGAGAGCAGCCAACAAAAUGAUAAUACCAGUGGUAGCAGUCAUCGAAGCGGUGACAACAAACAUUGAGGGAAUCAACAUGUCAGAAAUGGUAACCACAUCGGUGGUAAUCAUAGCCAAGACAAUAAGAGUGGACAUUUCAAGUAGAGGAGAUUCAACAAUGAUGGAAAGACGUCAGCACCAGCACCCAUUGUUAAGGAAGGAGAGCAGCCACCUAUCAUAUGCUUCAAAUACGGAGGGGAGGGACACAUCAGUCCAAACUAUGCAAUGCAGUCCAAAGCGUGUUAUAAUUGUGGAAGAGAAGGUCACCUAGUCCGAUUUUGUCGUGCACUGAAGAUAAGUCCAGCUGGGAUGGAGGCACCAAAGGCCGUCCCAGAAAAGUCAAAGCCGGUAGUUCAAGGGAGAGCGUUUGCCGUGACCUCCCAGAAAGUAAGGAACCCGAACGAGGUCAUCACGAGUAAGCUUAUCAUAAACUCUAGCGAAGUCUAUACCUUAUUUGAUACCGGUUCUAUCCAUUCUUUUAUUUCUCCUACCUGCGCUCAACGUUUAAAUUUGACUCCGGAAAAAUUAGACUUUGACUUAUCUGUUGAAACUUCGUUGGGAGAAACCUUCAUUACAUCCACUGUUUAUAAGUCUUGUUUGGUUUAAAUCGGUACCCUCACAUUACCUGUCGAUCUAAUUUCAUUGAAAAUACUUGCAUUUAACGUNNNNNNNNNNNNNNNNNNNNNNNNNNNNNNNNNNNNNNNNNNNNNNNNNNNNNNNNNNNNNNNNNNNNNNNNNNNNNNNNNNNNNNNNNNNNNNNNNNNNAUAGACAUUAAAAGAUAAAAGUAAGAGAAGAGAAGAGAAUAUAAUCUGUUGUCAGCAAAUUUGAUGCUCCCCUCUUGCUCCUGCUUUGACUCUUCAAUGGUCUCCAAGUUGCUUCAAUCUCCAAAACUAAUAAGAACUAAGGUUAUUUUCUAAUCUAAUGGAGUGUAUCUCUAAUCUAAUCUAUGUAAUCUCCCCUUAUUUUAUGUCUUACAUCAUGUAUUUAUAGAUUACAAGUCCAAUUUUGAGCUUAGGAACAAACCUAAUCCAAUUUGGAGUCAAAAAGGUGUCAAAAUUAGCCCAAAACGCGUUCAGGCCGCACCCAACCUCUUCCCCAGCGCCCCAGCACUGGGCACGAUGCUUAGACAUUGCCUUAUAGCGCCCCGGCGCUGCAAAUAGGCUUAAAAUGGGCGCCCCGGCGCUGCCCCAUUUUCUAACAUUUUCUGCUCCGACGUCCUUUGGUAAAAUGGCCAUAACUUCUUCGUCCGAACUCCAAUUUUGAUGAUUCAAGAUGAUCCGGAAAGAGGAAAAGUAUAUCUACAACUUUCGUUCUUUGCGUUUUGCGAAAUAAUGUCCGGAGCUAUAGUCAAAUUGGCUCUGAAGUGACUGCUGUGUAAAUGGCAAGCCGAGAACGCGAAUCUAGCCACCCCAAACGUCGAUCCAAGUAACUUUUGUCCCAAUUCCUACAAAACAAUAUAAAACAUGCAUGAAUGGACACAAACACAUAAAAACAUCCUAAAAGACUUAAGAACAACAAUAAAUUAAGCCCGAAUGUAUCCAAUUCAUGAGUAUAUUACCCAUUCAUCAAAUACCCCAAACUUAAACCUUUGCUUGUCCUCAAGCAAAAACAUAAAAGAACUAAAAAUAAAUAAAAUAACUCAACUAAAUGAAUGCAUAUGCAUAAUCUACUUCCUAAUAUACCUACGAACCCAGUAAUAAAUCAGUAUGAUAUAUAGCAACAGGCCUCAAAGAUACCAUUGAUACUCAAACAAUAUAUCCGAUCAAGUCAAAAUCCAUAACUCUAACCAAUUAGUCAAUCCAAACCUGUCAUCACCCAUGUUGUGCGUGUGUGCUUGUUAACCAUUCUAACCAACCAUAAUUCAAGAUAAUCACAUAACAAACUUCUUAAAAGGAAAAUUUCAGUUCCAAUUCAAUUACUUUCGUGAACAUGACAACUCCAGUUAAAACUAAGCAAUUACCAAGUCUUACGGUAAAUACAGGAUUUAUUUACACUCUUAUUCAACCACGAGGGAAUUUUAGCUCUUUCUCGUGUUUUAUUCAUUUUUUUCUCAUGGCUGUGCAAUGUCUUAUUCCCUUAGGCUUUUCAGUGCUACCUUAACGAGCUUUCGACCAACGACUUCCAGACCAUAUAAGACCUUAGGGCGCUAGGUGUUAAGACACCCCUUCGAGCGUACUUGCUCAAGUAACAAAGGCCCCGAAACAAAACUAACCAUGGUUUUUCUAUUUUUUUUUCAUCAUCUCUUUUCUUUUUUUUUCUUUUUUCUGGAUUUUCUAUUUUUUUUUCUCUUCAUCAAUUUUUCUUUAGUAUAUAUAUCCCAUAGACUCUCCCAAACUCAAGCUUUUACGUCAUUCCAACCUUUACCGCCAGUUCGCUAAUUUCCUUAAAUUUUAACAAAGAUUUUCCCUCAGAAACAAAUUAUGAAACCCUUGAACCAAGUGGAUUAAAACAGUUAAACUUUAAGUGCUAACCGGUUACAUAAGUUUUACACAGGCUCAGAUUAUCUUCAUGAUUAAAAUUAGAACUCAUCAUCAAUUAUCAACACUGUUCAAGUUAACAUGCAAAACCAAUCUUAUCAUAGGCCGAGCUAAGACCACACCAACCUAUCACACAGAUUCAUGCAAAAAUAAGAAAAAAAUGCAAUUAUACUACAUGAACACAUAUAUGAAAAUGCAAAAAAAAAAUACCAUGUAUUAUAUGCAACCUAAAAAAAACACAAUGCUAACACAUAAAAAAAAAUAAACUACUAUGCAGAUAACUAACUAUAUGAAGUACGACACUGAAAUGCCCCCAAACUUAAACUAGACAUUGUCCUCAAUGGCUACAAUAGAAAAAAUUAAAGCAGAGGACUUCCCUAAAAAUAUAGCAAUCUUCCUCCUUGUCCGCUAAGUUUGGAGAAUAGGCUAAGCACAUGGAACAAAUUGGGCACCACACUUGAAUUUGACUUGAAUAACCUGUAAAACCAUGAUAGAAGCAAUUUUAUUAAAUCCUAAAUAAAUGCAAAUUCAAAACUACUAAAAUAAAACUUAAUAAAAACUAAAAAUAAAAAUUAAACUUGGGUUGCCUCCCAAUAAUCACUUGUUUUAUAGUCUCAGCCUGACUUCUUCAAUUCUCUAUCCAAUUCCCCUACGAAAGUUGAGGAACCCUCCAUCCAUCAGAAGCAAUGUCUCUUUUGGGAGGUUCCCAUUAGCAAAAACCCUUGAAUUGAAGUCGCCUAGCAUGCUCUUUGUAGAUAGGAUCCCCAUUAAGAACGGCAAACCACUAGGUGUUUCCUCCAUUAUGCCGAUGAUCAGAUUAGGGCAUUGAAGCUUAAUAAACAUAAUGAAAUCUUCCUCUAUCUUCUCCUUUUCAUCCCACCAUGACUCCACAACUGUACUAGCUCUUACGUUACCAAGAGCUUUGCCGACGACAUGACUUCCAAUUGGGCAUGGUUUUGCAAAACUGCCCGGAUUCUUGAACUUUGGUGGAGAAGUUACAUGGGACACUAAUGAAAUCGCUUCAUCUUCGUUGCUACUCAAAGUUAGAUCUUCUCCGAUCUCCUUUUCUUGGUCUCCAAGUCUUUCCUCUCUUUCAACAUCUAUAUCAUUUGGCACAUCCGGUUGCAGAUUUGGUUUGGGCUCACCAUCAGUCUCGGCAUCCAUGUCAUAGAGCCAAGUGUAUUGAAGAUGGAUGUUCAACGCAUGUGCUAUCUGCCCCAAUUGAUUUUCCAAAUUUUUUAUCGAUGCAUUUUGACUCUGUAUACUCAGCUCCAUUUGAUUAAAUCUCUUAUCACUCUCAUCAUUCCUUUUCUCAGUUACUUUAACAAAUCUUUCCAAGGCUUCUUCCCAACUUGCUUUUCGCACAGGUUGUUGUGUCUGGUUUUGAAACCCGGGAUUGUUUUGUUGUCUCGGCGCUUGUUCUGUAGCUUGGUUAUUACUCCAUGAAAAAUCCGGGUGAUACCCCCAAUCAUGAUGAUAGUUGUUGGGAUAGACAUAAUUAUUGGGGUAAUCACCACCAUACUGUACCGGUUCGAAACUGAUGGCGCAUUGAUGACUCAUAUGAUUUCCAGCACAAUAAUCACAAACCAUUGCUACUUGCUGUGUGGAUGGUGGACUCCAUGUUUUCAUUGGUUGAGUCAUGUUCGUGUAUGGCCAUUGAUACGCAAAGUCAUCCAUGGUAUCUAAAAAGAGAGAAAUAUAGGAAGAGAAUUAAAAAUAAAAAUAAAAAUGUUUAAAUUAAGACUAAUUUGAUGGAAAUUAAUAUUGGUAAAUAAUUAUUAAAUUAAUUCUCCGGCAACGGCGCCAAAACCUUGUUGAUCGAUUUCGCAAUCAAUGAAUACAUGCAAGUAUACACGGUCAAUAAGUAAUAAAGUGAAAGUAGAGUAUCGUUCCCACGAGGAAUUAUUUAAUAAAAAUNNNNNNNNNNNNNNNNNNNNNNNNNNNNNNNNNNNNNNNNNNNNNNNNNNNNNNNNNNNNNNNNNNNNNNNNNNNNNNNNNNNNNNNNNNNNNNNNNNNNNNNNNNNNNNNNNNNNNNNNNNNNNNNNNNNNNNNNNNNNNNNNNNNNNNNNNNNNNNNNNNNNNNNNNNNNNNNNNNNNNNNNNNNNNNNNNNNNNNNNNNNNNNNNNNNNNNNNNNNNNNNNNNNNNNNNNNNNNNNNNNNNNNNNNNNNNNNNNNNNNNNNNNNNNNNNNNNAAGAUGAACAAUUCACUUCAACAUAAAUAAUUAGAAUAAAUCAAAUAAUCAAUUCAUAAUCAUAAAAAGUUCAAUUGAAAUCUUAAUGAAAGAGUUAGUUCAUAAUUAAUGAAUUAAAAUCAAGAAUCCAAAAUUGAAUAGACAUUAAAAGAUAAAAGUAAGAGAAGAGAAGAGAAUAUAAUCUGUUGUCAGCAAAUUUGAUGCUCCCCUCUUGCUCCUGCUUUGAAUCUUCAAUGGUCUCCAAGUUGCUUCAAUCUCCAAAACUAAUAAGAACUAGGGUUAUUUUCUAAUCUAAUGGAGUGUAUCUCUAAUCUAAUCUAUGUAAUCUCCCCUUAUUUUAUGUCUUACAUCAUGUAUUUAUAGAUUACAAGUCCAAUUUUGAGCUUAGGAACAAACCUAAUCCAAUUUGGAGUCAAAAAGGUGUCAAAAUUUGCCCAAAACGCGUCCAGGCCGCACCCAACCUCUUCCCCAGUGCCCCAGCGCUGGGCACGAUGCUCAGACACUGCCUUAUAGUUCCCCAGCGCUACAAAUAGGCUUAAAAUGGGCGCCCCGGCGCUGCCCCAUUUUCUGACAUUUUCUGCUCCGACGUCCUUUAGGAAAAUGGCCAUAACUUCUUCGUCCGAACUUCGAUUUUGAUGAUUCAAGAUGAUCCGGAAAGAGGAAAAGUAUAUCUACCACUUUCAUUCUUUGAGUUGUUCGAAAUAAUAUCCGGAGCUAUAGUCAAAUUGGCUCUGAAGUGACCGCUGUGUAAAUGGCAAGCCGAAAACGUGAAUCUAGCCACCCCAAACGUCGAUCCAAGUAACUUUUGUCCCAAUUCCUACAAAACAAUAUAAAACAUGCAUGAAUAGACACAAACACAUAAAAACAUCCUAAAAGACUUGAGAACAACAAUAAAUUUAGCCCGAAUGUAUCCAAUUCAUGAGUAUAUUACCCAUUCAUCAGACACCCCAUUAUACCUGAAGGUGUCACAAAUCUCCAAAAAGUUGACCAAAUGUUCGUUCGGAUCAUCAUUUCCUAAUCCCCCAAACUGAACUGAGUUUUGAAUCAUCUGAAUAGUCCCAGGCUUAAUCUCAAAUGUAUUCGCAGCUAUAGCAGGCCUGGUAAUACUUGAUUGAAGUUCAGUCACCUUAAGAGUAGCAAAGUCUCUCAACGCUUUUUGGUCUUCGGCAACCAUUGCUUCUUCUUUUUAAAAAAUCUCGAAGUUUUUCCUUGUAUCCUUGAUCCACUUACUUAGCCUUUGAAACCGUCUCUCAAUGUCGUCCUCAAAAGGAAGCAAGUCUGGAUUUUUGGACCAGUUUGCAUAAACCAACUUCAAAAACCUGAAAUAAGAACGAACAAAACAAAAAAGAAAAAAAUAUUUAAGUAAAACUGGAUUAAUUAAAGUGAUAUUGCAAAAUUAUUAAAAUCUAUACUAAUAUUCCCCGGCAACGGCUGUGACGCCCCCAAAUCCAGGUAUUUUCCAACCCGACAUAUGAUGCUCCACGGUGUACAGUUCACACAAAUAUUCAAUUGAAAUACCUCAAAAGAACGAAUAUGUCUUAUAUAUAUUGCAAAUCAAUAUUAACAUUCCCCAGGUUCUUUAUAACCGUUACAUUUGUUCUUAUCAUAAUAUCAAAUAUUAUCAUUACAAACCUGUCGACGUCGGGAUUUUUGGUGUCCCUUUUCGUUACUUGUUCUUUGGUGUUCUCAUGUUAAUCUGAGAUUUAUUUGAAAAACAAGUGAAAAAGGUUCGAUAUGUAUAAUGUCGACGAUUGACUUUAAGAGUCGCCAGUUGGUGUAUUUAACUGGUUGCACCAA
RNAcentral lists this long non-coding RNA (108718 nucleotides) under Panax ginseng (ginseng). Its description in RNAcentral is "long non-coding RNA (PGIN_LNC000844)". Lineage: Eukaryota; Viridiplantae; Streptophyta; Magnoliopsida; Apiales; Araliaceae. The record is from RNAcentral.